UUUACUUGUUUCUCUGUCGGAUCGAAUGAGAAAAGAUAAAAGGCUCAUGAAAUUGACGUGUGGGGUUAGGAAUGGUUAUAUUCUAUGAGUGAGCUCCAGUCCCUUCGUCUCAUAUUUGAUAUUUUUAUUUUCGUCGACAAGGGAGCCCAAAAAAUAACGACGUCGGAGCAACUGAAGCAUAUAAUUGCAACUCUUUUGUGAGCUUCCAUAUGUCCCAGGGUAUGUUAUUCUGCAAUCUUACUACCAUAUCAAAUAUCCUUCUAGUAAUUUUCUGGAAGAAAGUAUAGGGGCUUAUGAGCUACAUCUGACUUUUGUUUCACUUUUUUUUCUUAUUAUAUAUGUAAUUCUGUUGGAAUGCAUGCAAGUCAUAUGUUUUGUUAAAAUGCAUGCAUGAAAUAAACAUGUUGGAUGACUAGUGAAGUUAGGCUAGUCAACAUUCUUUGUGUAAAUUAGGCAAGUUAGGCAAGUUAGGAAAUUAGGCAAGUUAGGCUUAUGUUCUCUUUCUUUUCCUAUAUAAUGUUUCAUCUUGUAAUUGUUUUGAUAUGAAAUACACAUCCAAAAUUCUACAUGGUAUCAGAGCAGGAACUCGAAAUUCCUGGCUCUGUUGAUCGUUUCCGCUAAGUUUCUUUUACUCUAAGCCAAGAUGGCUGGAGAACAUUUACUCUAAGCCAAAAUGGCUGGAGAACUUUUACUCUAAGCCAAGAUGGCUGGAGAACAUUUACUCUAAGCCAAGAUGGCUGAAGAACAUUUACUCUAAGCCAAGAUUGGCUGGAGAACAUUUAUUCUAAGAAGAUGCUGGAGACAUUAUGCUGAGAGCUCGAUGGAUGCUUUAGCUCUACCUAACGUUGUUCAAGUUUUGCGGCACGAAGCCAUUUCAAGUUUGUUUGUUUGCGGCACGAACGAAGUCAUUACUGUUUUGUUUGCGGCACGAAGCCAUUUCAUUUCAGUGGGAAUUUGGUAACAUGGCGCAGCAAGAAGCAAAGCGUUAUUUUUACUAAACCUCUUCCUACGGUUCAGUUCAUGCGCAUUCUGUCCAAGCUUGGCUCAAGGAAUCCCCUCGAUCCAGCUUGAGGGGGAGUGUUGGAAUGCAUGCAAGUCAUAUGUUUUUUGUUAAAAUGCAUGCAUGAAAUAAAUAUGUUGGAUGACUAGUGAAGUUAGGCUAGUCAUUAACAUUCUUGUUAGUAAAUAGGCAAGUUAGGCAAGUUAGGCAACAAGUUAGGCAAGUUAGGCUUAUGUCUACUUUCUUUUCCUAUAUAUAUGUUUCAUUUGUAAUUGUUUCUUCAUGAAAUACACAUAAAAAAUUCAACAAAUUCAGAUUCUGAGCAUUCAUCAUCAAACACAAGACUUCAAAUUCGAUUUCUUCUUCAACAACAUUGCCUGUAAAAAAAGGGGUGAGUUAUUGAUUUAAACGCCAUUAAGUUGAAUUUGGUUGGAAGUCUAGUCAAUAUUAUUUGGUGUUUUAUUUUAAUAAUUUAAGCAAGCAAACGAGUUAUAUUUAUCGUGUUUUCGUUGUUUUGUCAUAUUCGUCAUUUUAACAGAUAAUAUUGUGUCAAAUAUGUUAUCCUAAUAAAUUCUUCACAAAUGACCCCAAUAACGACUUAAUUCGUUAACGAAUUGUGUCGCCUCACGCAAUGAUGAAGCCAAAAAUUAUCAAGAGGAGGGGCAAAAGUUAAACGGUUUAAGGUCCCCAAAAAAUGUGGACAUCCAUUCGAGGCCGAAGUCUAGUGUUUACAUGAAGAAUAUGUGAACUACCUCGAAUAUUUGUAGGAUAAUUUGCACUAACUGAAUAUUCAAAGUAGGAAUUGGACAUGACCUGACCUAGGCGGAUUAGGCGAAUUUGAAUUUUUUUAAUUAUAUAUUGUAUAAAUAAGUGUUUAUUUAUUAUAUACAUAUAAUAUCUAAGAACAUUGACUAUAAAACAUACAAUAUAUAAAAAUAUAAAAAAAAAAAUUUUACUUUGUUGUAUUUAACAGUAGGAGAUAAAAAUUCAAAUGAUUACAAGUUUUUAAUACUUUACAAAAUAUUUUUUAAAGUUCGUAUGAAUUUAUAGUAAAUUUGAAGAUAAAUAAUAAUGUAAAAAAAGUUAAAAAAAUAUUGAAAAAGUGGGCAAAUUAUUCAAACAAUAAUUAAAAAACAAAACAAAUCUCAAUAUAAUCAGCACAUUAAAUAGCUAGCUAUGUGGCCCAAACUUAUUGGGUACAAUAAUUGAAAAACCAAAUUAAAGUGGGUAACUUUGAAACGGCAUGUGGGGUGGGGUGGGUAAGAGAGAAAGUUACUUUUUAGUAGCUGCAAAAUUGGGUAUUUUGAAAAGAAAAAAAAAAGGAGAGCCUGGGCGUAGGAAACCCAGAACACCAAAAAAUCAGAUGGGACCAAAGGGACGGAACCACUGAUCCUAGACUUGAUUUUCGGCUUGGGGAGGGGCGACCCUUAUGUAGCUUUGCCCAUGAUCUCAUGCCUAUUUAAUAGGUCAUGCAAGAAAUUAAUAUACCUAAUACUAAUUUAAUAGUUGGGAACUCCCCCGUGAUAAGUGUUGAAUUGGAUCAGAGAUGGAAGUGUAUAUAAACUUUUGUAAUGUGAAUUAAAAUUACAGUGCGCUUGAGUGAUUUUUCAAAACCUUGUGUUUGUUAUUUGAAAUAAGAGUUUUCUAUUAUAUUUUUAAUUUUAUUCGUGCACCAAUUAUUUUUCUACCGAUCCCAAAUUCGAAGCGCAACUUUAAUAUAUGACCCCACCUCGCAAUUAUUGUCGGCGAGCAAAAUACAUCCUACGCGGUUUCAGUUCCACGGUUUACAAAUUGCCACGUACAUCACGUUAUCAUCUUUGUCCAAAGGUUUUUGUCUUGGGCUGAAAUUAUUGGUCUUUGUCAGAAAGUAUUCGUAAGGACCAACAAGUCCUGGUCUUUGAUUCAUGACUUCCAUCAUAACUUGCAAUUGUUUCUAAUUCUAAAGUGAAUUUCUCUAAUUUUACUUGUUUCUCCGUCAGAUCGAAUGAGAAUUGAUAAGAGGAUCGUGGAAUUGACGGAAGGGGUUAGGAAUGGCUAUAUUCUCCCUUCGUCUCAUAUUUGAUAUUUUUAUUUUCAUUGACAAAGGAGCCCAACAAUAACGACGUCAAAGCAACUGAAGCAUAUCAUUGCAACUCUUUUGUGAGCUUCCAUAUGCCCCAGGGUAUGUUAUUCUGCACUCUUACUACCAUAUCUAAUAUCCUUCUAGAAAUUUUUUGGAAGAAAGUAUAAGGGCUUAUGAGCUACAUCAGACUUUUGUUUCACUUUUUUUUUUGUAUGUAAUUCAUAUUCUGAGCAUUCAUCAUUAAACACAAGACUUCAAAUUCGAUUUCUUCCUCAACAAUUACGUAUAUUGAAAAAAUAAAAUGCAAAAUGAAAAUUUUUUAUUUUCUGUAAAGCUUAUAACAAUUUAUUGAAAAAAAAAUAAAAGUAUUCAACAAGUCUAUUACAAUAUCUUGAAAAAAUAAAAUGCAAAGUGAAAGUUAUCUAUUUUCUGCCUAGACAGGUCUAGGCGGUGCCUAACUAGGUUUAGGCGUCCUUGCUUAAUUUUCAAAUUCCUAAGCAUUAAUUGGAUCGAUGGCCAACCGCCUAGUGCCGCUGGAAUUUUUAGAACAGUGGUUAACGUGUUGACCCCAAGACCUGUUAUUUUCGUGUUUUUCAGCGUCUGAUUAACGGGUCGUGCAAAAAAUUGUGUGGUAUUUGUGUAGAGUCCAAUCUACUAUACCCAAAACAUUCCGUUCUUUUCGACGUGUGUACUUUCAUUUAACAACAAUUUUGUGGUACUUGCCAACUGCCACCUACAAAGAAUUGAAACUUUUGGUUAUCCUUUAACACUGACUAAAAUCCAUGACAUUUGGUGGAAGAAUUAGAUUGAAUGAGUUCGAAAUUUUCAAUCAUAGAUUUUUGUUAUGGAACCAAAUUCUUUAAUUAUGUGUUCUUGCAAAAAAGACUCGAGAAGUAGUUUUCGGACUUUUGAAGUUUGGCCCUUUGUUAAACUGAAUGAAAGUUAAGAACAGAAAAUUAAAUUUCUUGUGUACCUUAUUUAGAUCUUGAUUUCUUUUGGCUUGUGGUUUUGUUUUGAAAACUAAGCACAUAGUUUGUUAAAUACAAAAAUUUAUCCAUUGCGUUCUUUUUUUCUUUUUCUGUUGUUUUGAAACUUGUCUUUUCUGCAGACAGAUUGCAUACCAAGUAUCGAAAGCCAAAAUGGAGUCAGCUGCAUCACUAUUGGUUGGGAAAAUUGCGGCCAUUCUUGAGAACGAAGCAUCUUCCAUAGCGGCAGUCCGUGAUGAAGUUGAUGAGCUUAAGCUGGAGCUCAUAAGCAUGAAAUCUUUCUUAAUAGAUGCUGAAGGCAAGGAACCACAAACAGAAGGAGAGAGAACGUGGGUUACAAGCGUCAGAGAUUUGACCUGCGAUGCUGAAAAUGUCAUUGAUGAGUUCCUGUAUCACAUAUAUGACAAGCAAAGUGCGACUCCAUUUGCAAAAUUGCUCCACAGAACCAUUUACUUUCCAAAGAAUCUUUGGUAUAGGCAUCGAAUAGCCAAAAAAUUACAGAAAAUCACGAAAAAGAUCAAAGCCAUUCCAGAGAGGAAUGAGAGAUAUGGUGUCUCUACAAUAGAAGGAACAAGUUCGGGUAGUGUUCCCAGAUGGGUGAAGAACAAAGCCGAGUCUUCUCUUUAUAUUAUGGAAGAUGAAUUAAUCGGCAUUGAAGACAAGAAGCAAACGUUAAUGGGAUUGUUGAUGAAUGGCGAGGAAAAUGAAAUGGUUGUGUCUGUGGUCGGGAUGGGAGGAUCAGGCAAGACAACUCUAGUUGCCAAUAUCUUCAACAACGAAAAUGUAAAGCGGCAUUUUGACUGUUAUGCAUGGAUCACUGUUUCUCAAACUUUUGUGAUCGAAGACUUAUUCAAAAAUCUGAUCAAGCAAUUCCACCAAGGAAGAAAGGAAGAGGUGACAGCACAAUUGGAUUCCAUGAGUUACAAAGAAUUGUUAGAGAUGUUGUCGGCAUACUUGAAGUCUAAAGGUACCUCGUUGUAUUGGAUGAUGUGUGGGAUAUUAAACUUUGGCAAGAAAUAAAGAUACCACUUCUUAAUAGGCAUCAUGGAAGUCGAAUCAUGCUUACAACUCGAAAGAAAGACAUAGCAUCCUAUUCUUUUGAAGUUGAAAGUCGUCCUAUUGAAAUUGAACCCUUGGGAAACAAUGAAGUUUGGGAGCUCUUUAGCAAGAAAGCAUUCUCAACUUACGAUAAUAAAUCUUGUCCACCAGAGCUUGAAUCCUUAGCAUGGAAACUUGUGGAUAAGUGUGAAGGCCUACCUCUGGCAGUGGUAACUUUAGGUGGUCUAAUGUCUUCCAAGAGGUCAUCAUCGGAAUGGAGAAGUGUAUAUAACAGCUUAAAUUGGCACUUGACUAACAAUCCUAUGCUAGAACCAAUGAGCAGCAUCUUGUUGCUUAGUUUCAACAAUUUGCCCAACCGGUUGAAGCCCUGUUUCCUAUAUUGUGGCCUUUUCCCAGAAGAUUAUCUCAUCAAAAGAAACAGGUUGAUCAGGUUGUGGAUAGCUGAAGGGUUUGUUGAACCAAUUGAUGGGGUCACACUAGAAGAAGUUGCAGAGGGCUAUCUUGUGGAACUUAUUGUUCGUAGCAUGCUACAAGUUGAAAAGAAUGAAGCUAGAGGACUAGGAGCAUGUAAAAUGCAUGAUCUUGUGCGUGAGCUUGCUUUGUCGACAUCAAAAAAGGAAAAGUUUGGUGCUACGUAUGUUGGCAGAGAAAUAGUUGAUAAAGCUGAAAUCCGGCGAUUGUCAAUUCAAACAACUGAAAGAGAAAUUAAUUCUUGCACAGGUAUGUCAGAGCUUCGCUCCUUUAUUGUCUUUGGCGCGUUAAAGAAAUUGCCUUCUGGAUUCAAGUUGUUGAGAGUUCUAGAUCUGGAGGGUGCCCCAAUUGAUAGAUUUCCAGAUGAACUAGUGUACUUGUUCAACUUAAGAUAUUUAAAUUUGAAGGGAACUUUAAUUGAGGAGCUUCCAGAAUCCAUCGGACGGCUUCGCAACCUUCAAACCUUGAACAUCGUGACAGUAAGAUAAAGGCACUUCCGAAAGCAAUCUGCAAGUUAGUAAACCUACGCCAUCUAAUCAUGCAUCGUUACACUGGUGAUCAUUAUAGCUUUAUAUAUGUCAAUGGGACAAAACCAGCAUCCGAUCUAAGUAAAUUACAGAAACUGCAAUUUUUGCGAUGUGUUGAAUCAGAAGGAAAGAUUAUUAAAGGCAUCAGGAAUAUGACCCAACUUACAAACCUCGGGAUUACAAAUGUGAAAGCAAGUGACGAGAUGGACCUAUGUGACUCCCUUCAAAAGUUAGAGCUCCUUCACUCUUUGAUUUUAAUGGCAAGUGAUGAAGAGGAGUUUCUUCGAGUUAAUGCACUACGUUUGCCUCCUCCAUACCUUCAAAAGGUUUGUUUGGCCGGAAAACUAGAAAGGGUACCUCUUUGGUUUGGUUCACUCCAAAACCUGACGUGUAUGAUUCUAUAUUGGUCUAGACUUGAAGAAGAUGUGCUACCUCACAUUCAAGCAUUGCCGAAUCUUGAAGGGCUUGAGCUAUAUAAUGCAUAUGUUGGCGAAAAAUUAUGUUUCUCCAGAGGCUUCAUAAAGCUUAAGCGUUUGGAAUUACUUGACUUCCCCUUAUUGAAUAGUAUAGCUAUAGAGAAAGGGGCGAUGCCAAAUCUCCAGGUCUUACGGAUUAGGCGUUGCGCGGAGAUGAAGACAUUGCCGCAGGGCAUCGAGUUCCUUGCUGACGUAGAACGCUUGAUUCUGUUUUCUGUUCCAAUGGAACUUAUGGAGUCCGUAAAAGGAGGCAUGGAUCAUCCAAAGGUACAACACAUUCCUGAAAUCAACAUGUAUUACGAGAGACAAAAUAGGUGGUGUCAUGAAAGCUUUUCUGGUAGAAGGUACGCACUCUUUUAUCCUUGCAUAAAAAUUUAAUUAAUGCUAGACUUACUAUAUAUUUUGUAUCACAUUUGUAACCCCUCUUUUAUAAAGGUAAGGCCCAUUGACAUAUGUGGGUCUCAUUUUUAUUAGAGAAGUGGUACAAAUGUGGUAUGAAAAAUGUGGUAAAAGUAAGUUUUUGUAAAAAUUUGUAAAAAAAAAUUUCCCCAACGUAAUCAUUUGAACUAUUAUGUUAGAAAGUUAAAAGGUAUGUGAUUUUUAUACUCCUAUUUUUUUUUCUUAUGCUCUCCUCUUUUUUUUGUUUGUUAGUGUUUUAAUUUAUUCAAUUGUUAGGCUACGAAAAAGAGGAAGUAGUGCAUCGGAGUGUAAAAAUCAUUUUCCCUUACAAUUUGCCUGUCCAAUCUUAUACAGAAGUCUGGCAAAGACAUAAACAUGCAUGCAUUGAGAUUUUAUUCGAUAACUGUGUUUUUUUUUGUUUUGUAAUAUCUUUUUUGUAGAAUCAAGCCUCAGAAGCACUUGUGAAACUGCAGUGAGUUCUCCUUUCUGCCAGUUGAUUUUGCAGUGAAUCUCGACUUUCGUAAUAGUAACAUAGUUGGCUAUACACGUGUUGAGUCAUUUGCCCUGCAAGGAAGAAUUCGUUCGUUGUUUGUGUGUUGUGAAGUUGCAAACAUUGAUCGAUCUUGGUUUCUUAUUUGCCCUUUGUGAAAUUGAAUAAUGCCCAAGAUUCUAUUUGUGUAACUAAAACUUAUAUUAUUGAUUGUUUGCGUGUGUUUUGAUGUAAUAAUAUUGGUUUGGAACUGAAUCUAUCACUGAUGAGAAUAAUGCCCAAGAUUAUGUUUGUGUAGUAUGAACUUAUAUUAUUAUUUGAUUGCGUGUAUUUUGAUGUAAUAAUAUUGGUUUGAAACUGAAUCUGUCACUGAUGAGAUCAAUUCUAACUAAACCAAUGAUUAUGACCCAUUUUUCAUUUUCGAUAUUUAAUGUUUUUAUCAAGUUUUCAAAUAUAAAUUUUGUGGCCGAUGUUUUAGGGGGGUGUAUUCAAUUGAGAUUUUGAGAGAUUUUAAUUCUUUUAAUGAAUCUAGAGGUAUUCAAUCAGGAUUUUCAGUGAUUCUCUAAAAUUCAAGGUGUAUUCAAUUAGAAUUUUAAGAUAGUUUAUUAAAAUCCUUAGAAAUCCGGGUGUAUUCAAUUAAGAUUUUGUUGACCCUAGAAACUACAAAGCCUAUGUGGCGCGCAUGCCGAGUAAUUAAUAAGCUAACUACGUCAUUCGGUGAAUGCGGGGCGUGCCAACUCGUCGGCCGAGCUCGGCCGAGGAGUAAAUUUUGUUGAUGUUGCGUUGGGUGCGCGACUGACUUCUGCGUCUUGCGAUUGCGGCCGAGAAAGGAACACGUCUCGGCCUUUUGGGCUCUCGAACCUGAAGACAAGGUUACUAUUCUUACGAAGUUCAAUAUCAAAUUCGGCUUUCAAUGUGCCGAAUGAAAUAACUGUAACACCUCACUUCGCCGAGAAGGCUGAUGAGAUGACCUCAACCAAUAAGGAUUUAGAAACCCUUCUCGACGGAGACUUGGAUAGGUAAUCAACCGCUCUCGCCGCAGUGUUGUUGAUGCCAACGGAAGAUACUGCGAGAACGACUAAUUCUACGGUGACAAAGCUAUCUAUGCCGACUUAAGAUAUCACCGGUUGCUUCCACAGUGCUGUUGAUGCCAACGGAAGAUGUGUCAGCGAAAAGGAAAAAGAAAAAUCACAAGUUGUGAGAAUUUGCGCAGGGCAAUUUUGUGUUGAUUUGCAGGGGCUUUGAAUGAUGUGCAACCUCUUAUAUUUAUAGCAAUGGCUCCCCCCAAGGUCGAGUUAAAAACCUACUCGGACUAGGUUUUUCUUUCCCUGAUCAGCAUCAACUCAACCAGUCCUACCUUCACUAGGACUGUGAACCUAGUCCUUUACCUGAGCUGGAUUCACUUCCGGGUCUUGCCGAGACUCCUUAUUGCACUAGGAUUCGACCUCUUGCGUUAUGACCUAGCCGACCUAGGUUUGGAGGCCCACAUACUGAACGAUCCAUGGUAUUCUUGUCGCAAGGCUUCCCGGGCCGAGAAUGACCCUACACUCGGCCCAAACUGUUAUUUUGGGCCCAAACAUUGCCCCCUCGCUUCUGAGGUCCUCGGCCUGAAUUCUUUUGGCCGAGUUUCGGCCUUGAAGAAGCGAAUCUACCACUUAGAACCCUAAUGCCCGAGUUCCAAGGCGCAUUUAUUGAACAUGAUUGCACGAUCUUGAUCCUGUUAACCGAACCCGCCACGUGGCGUCCUCUAACACGACCAAUCCUAAUAAUGACGUCCAAGGCGUGCGGCUGCCUGAACCGUCUUGCCAUUAUGACCACUAUCUCAAUCCGCGAGCCACUUCCUCAAGUCGUGAGCCCACUUGUCAUCGUGCAGGCGUCGAAACGUCUUCCGCCAUUAAUUUCGCCGUCACACGCAAUCGUGCGCCCCCAACAUCUGAAACCUUCGGUCUUUUCAACUGCAUUUCCCAAAUGUUCAUCAUGAUCAACGAUUCUUUCGGUCGAUUUUGCCCUUUGUUUUGAAUUUCAAACGAUUGCCCUUCCUGCCAAAAGCCUAUAAACUGAAACUCUCUCAUUCGCACUUUACGCUCCCAAAACUUUCUAAAAACCCUUGCUCUUAUUCUCCAGCACAUUUCUUUUUCCAGGUCUUCGUCUUCAAAUCCCCCAACCCAGAAAACCCUUUUACACCGUGCUUCCUUCUUACAAUGGCGUCCUUCAUCUCCAAGCUUUCCAGGGAACGUGACCAACAUCAGAAGAUUCUUGAUCGGAGCUCGAUCAAGACUAUACGGUUUGAAAGUGACAUGAGCACCGUCCACCAAAUCUUAGGUCCUCUCUUCAAGGCUACAAUACCGCCGACCAUUACUGGUCUUCUCCAGGAGCACUGCCUAACACCCUUGCUACAAGGGUUUGAAUAGUCGAGAUGGGAUGCGGCGAAACCCCAAGGCUCCUGGCCCUCGACGACCACAUCCUGGGCAGCCUGGGUUGUUCGAAUGGAACGGCUCUUCGGCGAGCAAUGGAAAGCCCUCGGUAUCUACGACGCCAUCCUCCUCUCGUCAAUGGAUGUCGUUCUCGACAAGGAGCUUCUCCUAGCCGCCUUGUGCUUCUGGUGCUCGGCCACCAACACCCUGGUUCUUCCUCUUGGUCCCAUCGGUCCCACCAUCCUUGAUGUCACCGCCAUUCUGGGGAAUUCGGCAACCGGGAUCCCUAUCGACGCGGCCCUCUCUGGGCACCUGUCGAAUAUUGAUCUGAGGAUGCUUUUUGAUCGACGAGCCUUCGAGGCCUUGAACCGUGACGGUCAAAUCUCGUCGAAAGAAGACAUCCAGAAGCUCCACAAGAACUUCUUUAAUUACAAUACCCUCUAUCUUCACUUCGCCGGCCGAUGAGAGGAGGACCUGCGAGAGGGAGAGCAUGAAGCCUUCCUCUUCUAUUGGUACAACAAGUACAUUUGUUGUACCAAGUCAAACAAAUGCUUGGUCGAGAAUAUGCCGGUAACCGAGGCCCUGGCCAGUGGUCACGUCCUGGCACUGAGCUCCAACAUUCUCGCCCAUCUCUUCCGCUGCCUGGCCGAGGCGACCCUCCACAAAAUCGAUCCACACCAGAAUGGUCCCCUCUGGGUCUUCCAACUCUGGUUACAAGUUUACUUCGCCUCCCUUCGGCCGGCCAUAGCUGACUUCUCACCAACGGAGGCGCUUGGACCUCAGCUGGCCUCUCGACCAACACCUCCCCAUCAAGCCAAAGAGGUAUUUUGGUACCUCUUCGCUCUCGACGACUUCUCCAACGACGAGUUCCUGAUAUGUCGUCGUCGAGACUACCCUUCCUCCAUCAGGCUGCCUACCUCUACGUGGGGCUCGGAGCAGGACGCCGUUCUUCGUCAGACCUGGGGGUCGUUUGUGCUUGCUCGCAACCUCCCUCUCGGCUGCGAUGGGAAACGGUCGGGUUGGGAAGUAUAUCAUCCGAACUUCCUUGCCCGACAGUUCGGCUAUCUUCAGGGUUGCCCCGUCCCCCUUCUCUCCUCCCGAACAGUCCUAAGCCGUGGACGUGAACCUCGUUCCUCGAAGAAAGAAUGUAAAACUGCCGCGAUGGAGUUCCAAGAGUACUGCCAAAAAUUCCGCCUUCGACCGGCCACCCUAGAAACCUAUUGUACUGACACCUUCGGUGAGUGGUGGGAAAAUUACACCCAGGAGUUCUUUGGUGCUCCGGUCGAAGAGGUGCUGAACAAACUCUUCGGCGACCGACCUAAGAAAGCCUCGGCCCCACAAACUCAAGGUAAUUGUUUCAUUUCUCCUAUUUUCCUUCAACCUUGCAUAUUGAUUUGCCUUACUGAAUUGUUUUUUAUCUUCUUAGGUAGUCGGCCUUCGAGAAAAACGGAGGCUGUUGCCGCGGCCAUGGUCGAGAAAAAAUCGGCCGUGGUUAAAAGGGAUAAGGCUGCUGGUCGGGCCGUGCUGACCAAACGCCCUCGCCAAGAGGCCGAGCCGGUCGUCGAACCCCCACCGCCUGGCAAGCGGGUAAAACAGCUGGCAAAGAAGGGUGCACGGGAGAUCCACGUCAUCUCCAAUCAAACCACAGGGGCGACGACUCCCAGUGUUUCCCCUUCUCCUGCCGUUGUUCAACCCUCAGUCGAGAAACAACCCGCCCCGGUCGCAGCGACAGUUCGAACGCAGCCUAUCUCUGGGACUGGUACACCAGUUGUGUCUCCCUCCGUCGAGGAAACACCCGUUCCAAAAAAGGUGGUUUCUGCGACCGAGGGAACAGCCCCUAAAAAUCCAAAACCCUUGGUCUUCAUUCUGGAAGAGAGUGAGGGGAGCGACGAGGUCCCGCUGGCAGAUCGUCCUCACUCUCGUCGGCAACCUCUCCCAAGGUCCGAGAUGGUGGUUCAAACCGGCCCCUCCACGGCUGAUCGUGGUAAGCGCCCGGUCGAGGAACCGACGGCGGCGGCCGAACCCCUCGCUCCUUCCCAGGACCAGGAUGUCCCUGCCUCAUCCGAAACAGCUAUUCCGGUCGGCCCAUCUGCAGCCGACCGUGGCAAAUGCCCGCUCGAGGAACCCGAGGCAACGGCGGAAUCGCCCGUUCAUCCUCAAGACCAAGGCUUCCAUAUUCCUCCACAGGAGGUUACCUCGGCCUUCGUAAGUAUCUUCGACCAUCUUUCCUUGAUUGCUUUUUUGCUUUAGAAUUCUAAACGAGGAAAAUAAUAAAUGUCAGGUGCCUGUACAUUCUUUUCACCGACAAUUCUAUGCGCCGAAGGGCGUUAUCUAUAUUUCUUGGCCGCCUCAGUGGCCAUCAAACGUAGAUAACCUCCAUCGGCCGCGUGAACUGAGAAGCAACCUGAGACACUGGGCUCGGCCAUUGAGUUCUUUAGGUUUGAGCAACGAUCCUGGGGACAUGGCCGAGGUCUCCUCUCGGCAGGUUAAAAAAACGAAACCUUCUUACUAUUCUCGCCCUGCAUUCCUUUAAGCCUAAACUGAUUUGUAUAUGCAGGCUUCGUGGGAGGUCGAAUUCAAAGCCUUCCUCUCCAGCACAACUGCCGAGUCCGGCCCUUCGGCUGCUCCGACUGAGGCUACCGAUCCAACCGCUCUAACCCAGCUGCGAGAAGUUCUAUCGCUUUCAGCACCGCAAGUACUCAAGCGCAACGGUCUUGAUCUACUUGGCGUGUGUCUGAACGAUCUUGGGGCCGACGGUCGCCUGAGCGGAAAUGCCAUCGUUCGGGCAUCGUCUGCUUUGGAGCGGGUUCGGGAGACAUUCAGUGUCUUCCAGACCGCCCUAAAGGCCGAACAGGACCUGCAAGCUACCACGGCCGUUCAAGAUACUCUCCGUCCGAAAAUCGACUCUCUAAGGGCAAAAGGAGAAGUACUAGCUGAGCUCGACCGUCAGAUGGCCGAACUGGCAAAACGUCGAUCGGCCAUCGCGUCCGAGCUUGCUAGAGACUUCGAGUCGGGCAAAAAAAGAUCGCCUAACUGAGUACGCGGCGACAACAAAGCGGGUCGAGCGGUUGAAGCUGGACAAAAAGAAUCGGCAAGCUGAAGUUAUCAUGGCCGAGGUGCGGUGGUUGGAAUUGAAGGCCCUUCUCAGCACCCUCUUACCUUCUUCCCCUUGAAUGUACUUAGUUUUAUCCUGAAUGACCUACUUAGCUUGUACAUGCUCAUCAAUCUUAAUGAGAUGGUUUUGUUUACUCUCACAUUUCCCACGUUACCGGGUAAUACUUUUUCAAAAACUUCCCAUUGAUCGGUAAUCUGUGAACUACACCGGUUCGGUCUUUAAGAUGAUACGCCCCAUUUCCGUAUACUUUAUGCACAAUGAACGGCCCUUCCCAAUUCGGGGACCACUUGCCGAACCUAGGAUCUUUUAGUCCUACGGGCAACACCGUUUGCCACACUAAUUCACCCUCGCCGAAUGUUUUCUGUCGCACCUUUUUAUUAUAGGCCCGCUCGACAAUCUGUUUUUGUGUGCCACCAAUAAGUUAUAAGCGUCAAGUCGCACUUCUUCCAAAUCUUCUAGUUCCUGUCCCAUGGACUGAUUAUAUUCGGCGCUAAACAAACUACUUUGUUCAAUUAAUCGCAACGAAUUUAUGCUCAACUCGACUGGUAACAUUGCAUCGUGUCCGUAGGUUAAUGCGUACGGGGUUGUCGCAGUCGCCGACCGGGGCGACGUUCGGUAUGCCCACAAUGCCUCGUUCAACCUCAAAUGCCACAUGCCAGGCCUUUCUUUUAUUAUUUUUUCGAGGAUGCCGAUCAACACUUUAUUACUUGCCUCGGCCUGCCCAUUCGCCUGUGGAUAAUACGGUGUGGACUGUUCCAGCCGAAUUUUCAAAUUUGCCGUGUAUUCUUUAAACCUUUCGGCUGUGAAAAUUGUUCCAUUGUCGGUUAUGAUCGUUUCCGGUACACCGAACCGGGUCACAAUGUGUUCCUCCACGAAGUCGCAAACUUUUUUAGAUGUUAACUCGGCGUAUGAUUUUGCUUCGACCCACUUAGUAAAGUAAUCAGUUGCGACUAUUAUCCAUGCAUGCUUAGCAGCUCCAGAAGUCGGCGUGAUUUUGCCGAUUACGUCCAUGGCCCAUCCUCUAAACGGCCAUGGCUUAAUGACCGAAUGUAGUGACUCGGCCGGGACCCUUUGUAUAGGCCCAUGGAUUUGGCACUGUACGCAUCCUCGUGCAAACUCGAUACAAUCUUUCAGUAUUCUUGGCCAAAAAUAGCCGUGUCGUCGGAGUAGCCAUCGCAUUUUCCGUCCGGAUUGAUGAGCUCCGCAUACCCCUUCAUGAACCUCUGCGAUCGCCCGAGCAUUCUCUUGGGGGCCGAGGCAUAGCAGUAACAAACCAUCUUCAUCCUUUCGGUAUAACUCGUUCUGGUACGUGACAUAGUUCGUGGCGUGCACCCGUGUCCUGCGACUAUGUUUCCCGUUAUGAUUGCCAAUGUACUGCAUAAUGGGUGUUCUCCAAUCAUCCGGUAUCACCUCGGUCGUGCAAAUCUCGACAGAGUCCUGCCGAUCUAACAACGAAGGUAAGGACAUAACCCUGGUGCGUAUCACGUCGUCCCGUCGGAAGAUUUGCUGGUUAACCAAGGCCGGGUAUAACUGUCGUAUCACUGGUAUCUCUUGGCCUAGUUUUCCCCCCAAGAGUUGUGCGCCGGAGGCAAUUUGAGCCAAUUCAUCCGCGUCGGUAUUAUAACACCGGGAAAUAUGUUGAAAUGUAAUACCGUCGAAGGAUUCGGCCAAAUAGCUGGCGACCAUAUGGUAAGGUGCCAGGGUACAACUCAUGCAACGAAAGGAACCAUUAAGUUGGUUAAUCACAAGCUCGGAGUCACCGAGGACGAGGGCGCGGGUUGCCCACAGGUCAUGGAGAAUUCCAAGGUCGACGAUUAGGGCUUCAUAUUCGGCCUAAUUGUUGGUGCAAUCGAAAUCCAACUUAAGUGAAAAGAACUAGCGAUCGUGAUUCGGGGAUUGAAUGACAAUUCCCACGCCCGCCGAAGAUGACGUACUGGAGCCGUCAAAGUACAUCGUCCAGUGGUUGUCGCGCGUCUGAACCAUGCCGAUGUCAACGUCGUUGCCCCCAAAACCGUAUGGGGAGGGAUGUUGAGCAAGGAAAUCAGCCAAUGCUUGGCCCUUGACGGCUUUCUGAGCUACAUAUUGCAAGCUAAACUCGGACAGUGCCAUGGUCCAUUUCCCAAUGCGGCAUUUUACGAUCGGUCGGGUGAGCAUGUAGCGGAUGACGUCGGUCUGCGCAAUAACUUGGGUGACCGAUGGGAGCAUAUAAUGCCGAAGUUUGGAAGCGGCGAAAAAAACGGCUAGGCACAGCUUCUCGACGGCUGGAUAAUUGAUCUCUGGUUGACUGAGAUUACGACUGAGAUAAAAAAUAGCCUGUUCCCGUCCGGCGUCGUUAUCUUGCGCGAGGAGACAACCGAUGGACUCUUCGGCCGCCGAGAUAUAGAGCUUAAGAGGCUUACCGCGCCAGGGAGGAACCAAGACAGGUGGGUUCGUGAGAGAGACUUUGAUUUGCGUAAACGCCGCCUGAUGCUCGUCGUUCCACACAAAUUUAUCUGAGUCCUUGAGUUUUAAGAUUGUGGAAAACGCUUUCAUUUUUCCUGCCGAGUUGGCAAUAAAUCGGCGGAGGAAAUUGAUCUGUCCGAGUAAAGACUGGAGCUGUUUCUUCGUCGUUGGGGGUGGGGCAGUGAUGAUUGCGCGUGCCUUAUUCUCAUCGACUUCAAUCCCACGAUGAUGUACGAGGAAACCAAGAAAAUUCCCGGCCGAUAGACCGAAUGCACACUUGGCAGGAUUCAUCUUGAGGUUGUGCUGACGCAUGCAGAGGAAAGCCUGUCGGAGAUCGUCCAAAUGUGUCUGUCGGCGUUUAGAUUUGACGACAACAUCAUCGAUGUAAACUUCGACGAUGGUGCCAAUUAAAUCAUGGAAUAUGGUGUUCAUCGCCCGUUGGUGCGUGGCGCCGGCAUUCUUGAGGCCGAAUGGCAUGACAACCCAUUCGUAAGUGCCGAAUGCCCCCGGGCAACGGAAAGCAGUUUUGUGCACAUCGGCUUCGGCAAUAAAUAUUUGGUUGUACCCGGCAUGUCCAUCCAUAAAGGAUAAGAUCGCAUGAUUCACCGCGACGUCGAUUAACAGAUCUGAAAUCGGCAUUGUAUACUCAUCUUUGGGAGUUGCCAGAUUCAGAUUUCGAAAAUCGGUGCAGAUGCGCAGUGCACCAUUUUUCUUUAAUACAGGAACGAUAUUUGCCAACCAUUCGACAUAUCAAGCUGUCCGAAUGAAUCCGGCUUUCAAAAGCCGAACUAGUUCGUCCUUGAUACUGAGUUGUACUUCGGUCGAGAAUCGACGAGGCGGUUGACGGAAAGGUUUAAAUCCGGGCUUAAUACGUAAUUCAUGCUCAACCAGAGUACGAUCUAAGCCGGGCAUUUCAUGAUAACUCCAAGCAAAACAAUCUUUGAAUUCCGUAAGCAAGGUACGAAACUCGUCUUUCAUUCGUUGGGGAAGUAAAGCACUAAUAAACAAAAGCCGUGGGUCAUCGGCCGUCCCAACAUUAAUCUCUUCUAAAGGGUCCUUAACUAGGGGCCGACGAUCUUCGAGCUCGGCCGGGACGGCUCGAAUUUUAUCAAAAGAUAAUACAGGCCCAUUAUCUCCCUUAGCAAGGAACUCGACGAGGUUGACGCCCGAAUUGGGUUGCUUAGAUAUCGUAUACCAAUGGGCCAGCAGUCGUUCCAUAGUAGAUGAAACCGCGGCCCUGCGUGUUUCCCGAUCGGCGUCAAACAUCAGCUUCGGGGAGGAAGUUGGCUAAUCCGAGUCUCGCCGAAUCCUGCUGGACAAUCUCGGCGCCAACCUCGAUAGCUUUCUGAACGGAAAUCCGAGUCGGCCGUCCCUCUUCAUUGAAGCCUUGCAAAGUAAUAUAGCCGACGUGAUCGUCAUAAUACCGUGCUUGGAUCAUGUUAGCUUCGAAGGGCUGGCUAUCAGCCGGAUGAACAGUGACCGAUUUGCCGUCCCAAAAAACAAGCACUUGGUACAAUGAGGAAGGAAUACAACUGGUUUGAUGAAUCCAAUCUCGGCCGAGCAGUACAUUAUACUCGGUUUUGGAAUUAACCACGAAAAAGGCGGUCAUGUGGGUGCGACCGGCAAUAUUUAUAGUUAACGGAAGUACACAUUUGGUGUGGGAUUUGUCACCGAUAAAACUACUCAUUGUGAUUCCUGACGGAAUAAGCUCGUCAUUUGAACGGCGUAAGGCCUUCAUGAUAUUCAGAGGCAUGAUAUUGACGGUAGCUCCACAGUCGACAAAAACUUUAGAAACUGGAUAUCCCUCGAUGUGGGCCCUCACAUACAGUGGCUUUAAAUGGUGAAGCUUGGCCGACGAUGAACGAGGGAACAAUUCGGCCAAAGCGGCCUUUAGACUAUCAUCUUUUGCUGUUGACUCGCCUUCAGCAAUCGAUACAAAAUCAACAUGGUCGGGUUCCUCGGCAACCACAUCUCCAUCAAGGAAAUUUGGUUAAGCCGUGCUUGAUUGAAAAUCGGCGGGUAACACAUGGACCAUACUGAUUUCCAUAUUAUCCAGGACUGACGGACCCAUCUGGUCAAGACCCUCCUCGUUUGGUUGGUCGGCGACUACGGACUCAGGUGUCGUCAGAGUCGGACAACGAGACUCUUCUGUCCCUUCUUCAAUGACGUCACUCGGCGGAGCUGCUUCGGCCACUUGUUGGUUCUGCGUGACCGCCUCAGGUAAGGUUGAGAUUGACAAUGAACUUGGGGUCAGGACCUGAACCUGCUCCUGGUAAUGUAGCCGAGCAUCCCUAGUGUCGAGAUAAGCAUCCAGACGAGCAAUACGUGCGAUUUCAUCGGUUGUAAGGCCGAAGAGAGAAACCGCCGAAAAUACUUCAAAGUGAUAUCGUAAAUACUGAAGGUCUUCCAGCGAGAAAGGAAGGUUGGCUACAUCGAUAUCGGUGUACGGGUCGACUUCAAAUCUAAAGACACGAGCUUCUCGUAUGUGCUGGAACCUUGCUUUCAAUCCUGGAUCUGAGGUCUUCUGGAUGAUCCGCUCAGCAUCCGGACAAGUUAGGACAAGAUCAAUGGUGUCUUGGCAUGCCUUCGGCAAACCAUACAGAUCGUUGGCUGAAUGUUUCUUAUGAAAUUCUCGCAUAUAUUCCAAAGACUCCCCAAGGAACGGGGGAUGCAAAUUUCGUCGAAUUUUGACCAAAGGUUCUUGUAUAGCCGGCGGGGAUAAUUUGCUUUCGGCCUCUUGCCUGAAAUGUUCAAGGCGUGCCUUCAUCUCCCCUGGUCGAAUGAGAAGUUUGAUCCGUUUAUCAGCUUCUUUAAACGUGGUCUCGACAUCUCGAUCGACCAGCCGUUUCCCCUGAACCAACUCUGUCAUAAUUGCUGGAGGUGGUCGCUCAUCAUCAGUGGCAGCUGUGUCCUUCGGCCGCCACUUAGGGGCCGAAGUUUCUUGGGCUGUUCGGCGGUGAGCCAUGCAAUCUAUCCGUUGAUGCCGGCGUUUCUGAGAUUUGGACAACGCGGUGUAGACGCCCUUCGAAGAAUGAUAUGUGUACCAACGUUGAUCUCUAGGCUCGGGAGGCUUGAAGGUCUUUUGGCUCCGCGAUGAUUCUGAACUGCUAGAAUUACGCUUAUGGUAAUCAUCGUCAUAGAAUGAAGCAUCAAAAUCGAGGCGCCGCCUGACCGGGAGUGUCUCUUCCAUCCGUACUUUAGGACCGAGCCUCUCAAAAACCCCGUGAUGUUAGCCUUCGUUGGCUACCUUUUGCCGAGUUGCGGCCGCAGGUUGCGAAAGAAAGCUUCUCCUUUGGUUCACUGUUGACCUUCGCUCUACAUUUCCUGCACAAAACCACCAUCCCACUGUCUUCAUCGGUGCUAUAAUCCAUCAUAGGUUUGACAAUAGCUGGCCCCGUUAAAGCCGUAGGUGGUUUGUUUGAACGAAAAUCGGCCAUGAACCGUGGCCGAAAAUUCUGAUUCCGCGGGCGUUGCGUCUCAACCACUUCGGCCUUGCCUUUCCCUUUGUCCUUGGGUAGGUACGCGUCGACCAUAUUUACUGUUGCCGUGGGGAACGGAUCAGUAUCAACACUCAUCCUCUUCUCGGGAAACUUCAGUUUGCCAUUAUCAAUCCAGCUUUGGACGUUAUCGCGAAAUACAACACAAUUGUUUGUCGUAUGUUUGCUUGAAUUGUGGUAUUUGCAAUACACAUUUCCUUUAAGCUCUUCGGCCUUAGGAAUGUUAUGACCAGGCCGAAGCUUGAUGAUUCUUGCUGAUAACAGUUGCUCGAAAAUUACGUCAGCCUUGGUAAUAUCAAAAGUAUAAACCUUUGACGGUUUCAAUGUUCCUUCAGUGGCCGAGCGACUUUUGGCUUCUCUAGAAUCAACCUGAGUCAAUGCCUUGCAAACGUAUGGCUUAUCGAUCACUAUCUCAGCCGCAUCCACACUAACGCAUUCAUCCUCGGUUGAUGCAUAAUUGACAGUAGGGUUUUUGUAAAUCGUUCCCCGAGUUGGAGUCUUCGAAGUCUUUUCCUCGCGGAGCAAAUAAUCAUACUGCUCGACAUGUUGGGCUAAUUCGUACAUAUCCCGAAAAUUUGCCCCCAAGAAUUACUUUUUGUAUUCAACGUCAAGGCCGUUCAAAGCAAGCCUGACAAAUUCGACUUCGGGUAAAGGCACUCGGCACCAAUUCCUAGCUGAUUUGAACCUGGUAAGAUAAUCCAUUGGUGACUCAUCAGAUGCUUGAGCCAUCCGUGCUAAUGAAGAGACUGACAUCUCCAUCCCCGGCCGAUAAAACUGCUCGUGGAAUUUCUCGACCAACUCAUCCCAGUUUUGGACGGAAUUAGGAGGGAGAUUGAUGUACCAGGCAAAUGCCGAGCCGGUCAAUGAAAAGUUGAACAGCCAUAACUUAUGGAAAUCACUAUUAACAUCUCCGCAUUGCGCGGUGAAACGAGCCACGUGUUCCAACGAAGACAGAGACGAUUCACCGGCAAAAAGACUAAAAUCUGGGAUCUUGAAACCCUUCGGGUAUCCAAACGUUUCCACGUAAGCUGGGUACGGAUGAAUAAACUUGGGAAACUUCGGCCCUUUCUUCAUGGCCGAGUCGAUCAUCCGCUGAACUUUGGUCAUAUCAACAGGUGUUGCUUCGAUCCUCUGGUCGGUUCCGUCUGACCUACUAUUCGACCCUCAUCCUUUUUCCAAGUUAAUUGGUUUGAGCGGAGCAGGAAUAGGCUCGGCCGGUACAAUCGGUACCGGGUUGUUUUCUGGUGGACAAUGUUGGAGAAGAUCGAAAGGCCUGCUGCCACCAACUUUACUAACCAGCAUUUCGAGCAGCCUGGUUUGUCGAUCAUUUGAACUGAGUAUCGCGUCAUGCAGCUUGUCAAUGCCUCGACUAAACGUCUGCUCGACUGACCGAGACUGCUCGUCUAGUCGCUUUCGAAGAAACGACCUUGUCGGUGGAUUAGAUCCUUCACCACCAUCCUCGUCGCACUCCUCUACUAUCCAUUCAGUGAGAACGCAGGUGUUUCUGUUAGGGAUGUCUAGCCCACGGAGCUGACCGCCGAGAUUAACUUCUCUCUCUCGGCGGGUCGCGCUUGUGGACUCAGGUGUCACAGCGCUAAGGGGAUUCUGCGCCUGUGGCACACUUUGUCUCGUGCUUUGAUUCGGCAAAUCGGCUGUCGACUUUCCCAUAGUUGUUUUCUUUUUUACCGAUCGUGUUUCAAUUGGCAUGAACUUCGUAGUUUAGCACUGGGUCCCACUGGGCGUGCCAAAAUGUUGACCCUAGAAACUACAAAGCCUACGUGGCGCGCAGGCCGAGUAAUUAAUAAGCUAACUACGUCCUUCGGUGAAUGCGGGGCAUGCCAACUCGUCGGCCGAGCUCGGUCGAGGAGUAAAUUUUGUUGAUGUUGCGUUGGGUGCGCGGCUGACUUCUGCGUCUUGCGAUUGCGGCCGAGAAAGGAACACGUCUCGGCCUCUUGGGCUCUCGAACCUGAAGACAAGGUUACUAUUCUUACGAAGUUCAAUAUCAAAUUCGGCUUUCAAUGUGCCGAAUGAAAUAACUGUAACACCUCACUUUGCCGAGAAGGCUGAUGAGAUGACCUCGACCAAUAAGGAUUUAGAAACCCUUCUCGACCGAGACUUGGAUAGGUAAUCAACCGCUCUCGCCGCAGUGCUGUUGAUGCCAACGGAAGAUACUGCGAGAACGACUAAUUCUACGGUGACAGAGCUAUCUAUGCCGACUUAAGAUAUCACCGGUUGCUUCCACAGUGCUAUUGAUGCCAACGGAAGAUGUGUCAGCGAAAAGGAAAAUGAAAAAUCACAAGUUGUGAGAAUUUGCGCAGGGCAAUUUUGUGUUGAUUUGCAGGGGCUUUGAAUGAUGUGCAACCUCUUCUAUUUAUAGCAAUGGCUCCCCCCAAGGUCGAGUUAAAAACCUACUCGGACUAGGUUUUUCUUUCCCUGAUCAGCAUCAACUCGACCAGUCCUACCUUCACUAGGACUGUGAACCUAGUCCUUUACCUGAGCCGGAUUCACUUCCGGGUCCUGCCGAGACUCCUUAUUGCACUAGGAUUCGACCUCUUGCGUUAUGACCUAGCCGACCUAGGUUUGGAGGCCCACAUACUGAACGAUCCAUGGUAUUCUUGUCGCAAGGCCUCCCAGGCCGAGAAUGACCCUACACUCGGCCCAAACUGUUAUUUUGGGCCCAAACAGAUUUUAAAGAAGUUUAUAACAUUCCAGGUGUAUUCAAUUAGAAAUUGAUUUUAAAGAAUUUGGGAAAGUUGAGGAAUUAGAGGGAAUUUGAGAGAUUUCGUAGUGUAUUUUAAGCAUCCACAAAUCUCAACUCUUCCCAUGAGAUUUCGAGGGAAUUGAAUCAAAAUUUUAUAUGGAAUCUGUACAAAUCAAUUAGACUCCAUAAAAAUCCAUGGAUUUAUAAAUCCAUUAAAGUCUCUCAAAUUCUCAAUUAAAUACACCCCCUUAGUUUAUUAUAGUUUUAUCUGAAAAAUUAUUAGAUGGUACGGUAUUAUCAGGUCGGCAGGUGAUUCUUCUAAAAAAAAAAGGUCGUACCCAGUGCACAAGGCUCCCGCUUUACGCAGGGUCUGGGAAAAGUGAAUGUCGGCUAGCCUUACCCCCAUUUUAUGGAGAGGCUGCUCCCAAGUCUCGAACCCGAGUCUUGGCAGGUGAUUCUUCUAUUCAAAUUUAAACAUGUGUGCUGUUUCUUACAGCUGAAUUAAAAAGCUUUUUGAAUUAUUAUUUUUAAUUAAAAGAACUAAAAAUAAGAGGCGUUUUGACAGACUUAAAAUACCUCUUUUCCACCCCGUCCUCUUCUCUUCCAUGGCGACUGCAAUGCUGCCAAUAUCCGAGCCCGCCAGAAAGCAACCCCGACCGGGUCGGGGCGGAUUCGAUGCCCAUGGACCAUCCGAAAAAGAGGCCCGGGUCCGAGCCAUCGCCGAAAUCGUCAGCUCCAUGGUCGACCUCUCCCGGAAGGGCCAAAACGUCGACCUAAACGCCCUCAAGACCACCGCGUGCCGCAAGUACGGCCGUUCACGUGCCCCCACAUCGCUAUCACCGGGAAUAUUUGCGUGUACUGCCCCGGUGGUCCCGAUCCGGACUCUGAGUACAGCACUCAGUCUUACACUGGAUACGAGCCUACUAGCAUGCGCGCAAUUUGGGAAAGGUAUGGCUUUCUCUAGUUCAUUGACGCAUUUUAUCGAACACUUGAUGGGGAAUUCAAGUUUUAUUUAUUCAUCAUUCGUUUCAAAGCUUAAAGUUUUUGGCUUGAUUGAUUUUUCACCAUGAAGUUGAGAGCUUUGUAAUGAAGAGAUUAUUUGAAGGAAUUGGUGUUUAAAAUUGGAUUAGUGAAGUUAAUUUGGUAGUUAAUCUUUUGGUUUUGUGUGCUUAGAUACAACCCAUAUGUCCAGGCUAGAAGCAGGAUAGAUCAGCUGAAGAGAUUGGAUCACAGUGUAGACAAGGUUUGGCCUGUUCUAUGUUUAGAGCUUAAAGAAUUUAUUUUCGGGUUUGCAGAUUUCCAUGAUAGAGUAAUAUGCAUAGUUGUCGCCUCAUAAGUCAUAACUGGUACUGAAUUUGUGUUUUCAGGUUGAGUUCAUCUUAAUGGGCGGUACUUUCAUGUCGUUGCCCGCGGAUUACCAUGAUUACUUUAUUAGAAAUCUGCAUGAUGCGUUAUCGGGACACACUUCUGCCAAUGUUGAAGAGGCAGUUGCCUACUCUGAGCAUGGUGCUACUAAAUGUAUUGGAAUGACCAUUGAAACGUGAGUUUUUAGUUUAUUUUAGAAGCCAUUAAUUUCUCAUUCUUGUGUUUAACUUGGUUGACAGUAAUUUUUAGCUUACAUUCUAGUUUCCAGUUCAUCUGGUUAGUCCAGAAAGUUAACGAAGGUAGUUGUAACUUUUUAUUCUGCCGGAGGCCAGAUUAUUGCCUUGGACCUCACUUGAGACAACUGCUUUCUUAUGGUUGUACAAGACUAGAAAUUGGAGUUCAGAGUACAUACGAGGAUGUGGCUCGGGACGCCAAUAGAGGUCAUACCGUAGCUGCAGUGGCUGAUUGUUUUUGCUUGGCAAAGGAUGCUGGUUUUAAGGUCAGCCUAGUACCUCACAGAUUUUGGACCUUUUAUAUCAUAAAACUCACUUACCUUCACCAUGGGAAAAGAACGGAUUUUGGACCUUUUAUAUGUACAGUGACAGGAGAUUAAUCUUUCAUCAAAACAAUUUGUGAGCCUGGAUAUAUUUUUCAAAUUAUUGUGCUCUCCCAUAAUUCAGCGUGAAUAUUUUAUCAUAAUCUAGUUGGUUUUGGUAUUACCAUUCACUUUGUCUAAGUUCAAGAAGAAGCAUGUGUUUGUAAUUGUAUGACCGUAAUCUUUAUGAACUGCAAUAUUAAAAGCCUUGAGGACUGUUUACAAAAUGCAUUUUUGCUGUGUAUUCUUGUCGUUCAUUUUGAGUUACUUUUGUUUUUGACACUAAUAAUUGAGUAAAUUACAUAGUAGCCCCUCAGGUUUGAGGUCAAUUACAACCUCAUUCAACAACUUUAAAACAUUUCACUUUCAUACAUCCAGUAUCAUUUUAUUUCAAAAUAACACCUUCGUUAGAUUUUCCAUCUAUUAGUCUGUUAAAUGCUGACGUGGCUACCACAUUUAUGCUGAUGAGGCUGCCACGUGGCAAAAAAAUAAUUUUUUAUUUUUUUUUAUUUUUUUAAAUCUAAUCUUCUAAAUAUUAUAAAAAAUAAAUAAAUAAAAUAAAAAAAAAAACCUAAAAGCUUUACCCGCAACUAGGCCUGGCAAACGGGUCGUGUUAGUCGUGUUCGUGUCGUUUUCGUGUAACACCUGUUAUCUUAAUGGGUCGUGUCGUGUCACACCUGUUAUCUUAACGGGUCCUUAACAGGGGUAAAGUGACCCGACCCGUUAUGACCCGUUAAGAAAAAAAAAAUUUCUUAAAUUUGCACAUACCACACAUUGUCACAUAAAUAAUACUUCAAAACAUUAAACACACAUUUGUCAUUUAAGUACUACAUCUACACUCGAAAAUAAGAGCAUCAUAAAAAAUACAUUCAUACACUACUAAUUUAUUACAGAUAUUAAAUGUGCAAGGAUAUGCAAAAUGAAAGCGUUUUUGUUUUCAAGGUUGUGAAACCUUUCUCAAAAGUUUAAACCUUACCAAUGGAACUCAAAACUUAAUGAAAGUGACCCACCAGAGUGUUUAUUCGUACUUUCAUUACGUAUAACAUAAGAUUUUGUGGUAUCCACUAGUGUAAAUAUUUUAAAUUGAAUAUCGAAUUCAUUCAUUGUAUUCAUAUAGGGUCAAGGAGUGUAGUUAUAAAAAAUCAUCAAAAUCGGAGUUAAAAUAACCGUUAAAUUGUGAUUUUUCGUUUAUAACCGUCGAAAAGUUUUGUCCCGUUACUUAAUCUUUAAAUGUUUGUUUUUUGCAAUUUUUGGCGUAUGCGAUCUCGAAGCAUAUACAAACAAGUAUGACGGUUAGAUCGUUGAAACUAGUUUCGUAGAAUGCGUAUCUCAUCAAAACAAUAGAUUCACUAACACUUAAGAGUUUAUUCUUACUUUCAUUAAGUAUAACAUAAGAUUUUGUGGUAUCCACUAGUGUAAAUAUUUUAAAUUGAAAAUCGAAUUCAUUCAUUGUAUUCAUAUAGGGUCAAGGAGUGUAGAUGUAAAAAAUCAUCACAAUCGGAGUUAAAAUAACCGUUAAAUCGUGAUUUUUCGUUUAUAACCGUCGAAAAGUUUUGUCCCGUUAUUUGAUCUCUGAAUGUUUGUUUUUUGCAAUUUUUGGCGUAUGCGAUCUCGAAGCAUAUACAAACAAGUUUGGCGAUUGGAUCGUUGAAACUAGUUUCGUAGAAUGCAUAUCCCAUCAAAACAAUAUAUUCACUAACAUUUAAAGAUUUUACUCAUACUUUCUUCAAAUAUAACAUAAGAUUUUGUGGUAUCCACUAGUGUAGAUAUUUUAAUUUGAAUCUCGAAUUCAUUCAUUGUAUUUAUAUAGGGUCAAUAAGUGUAGCUGUAAAAAAUUAUCAAAAUCGGAGUUAAAAAAACCGUUAAAUCGUGAUUUUUCAUUUAUAACCGUUGAAAAGUUUUGUCCCGUUACUUGAUCUCUGAAUGUUUGUUUUUUGCAAUUUUUGGCAUAUGCGAUCUCGAAGCAUAUACAAACAAGUUUGACGAUUGGAUCGUUGAAACUAGUUUCGCAAAAUGUGUAUCUCAUCAAAACAAUAUAUUCACUAACACUUAAGAGUUUAUUAAUAUUUUCAUUAAGUAUAACAUAAGAUUUUGUGGUAUCCACUAGUGUAAAUAUUUUAAAUUGAAGAUCGAAUUCAUUCAUUGUAUUCAUAUAGGGUCAAGGAGUGUAGCUGUAAAAAAUCAUCAAAAUUGGAGUUAAAAUAACCGUUAAAUCGUGAUUUUUCGUUUAUAACCGUCGAAAAGUUUUGUCUCGUUACUUGAUCUCUGAAUGUUUGUUUUUUGCAAUUUUUGGCAUAUACAAUCUCGAAGUAUAUACAAACAUGUUUGACGGUUGAAUCGUUGAAACUAGUUUUGUAGAAUGCGUAUCCCAUCAAAACAAUAGAUUCACUAACAUUUAAAGAUUUUAUUCAUACUUUCUUCAAGUAUAACAUAAGAUUUUGUGGUAUCCACUAGUGUAAAUAUUUUAAAUUGAAGAUCGAAUUCAUUCAUUGUAUUCAUAUAGGGUCAAGGAGUGUAGCUGUAAAAAAUUAUCAAAAUCGGAGUGAAAAUAACCGUUAAAUCGUGAUUUUUCGUUUAUAACCGUCAAAAGUUUUGUCAUGUUACUCUAUCUCUGAAUGUUUGUUUUUUGCAAUUUUUGGCGUAUGCGAUCACGAAGUAUAUACAAACAUGUUUGACGGUUGGAUCGUUGAAACUAGUUUCGUAGAACGCGUAUCCCAUCAAAACAAUAAAUUCACUAACACUUAAAAGUUUAUUCAUAAUUUCAUCAAGUAUAACAUGAGAUUUUGUGGUAUCCACCAGUGUAAAUAUUUUAAAUUGAAGAUCGAAUUCAUUCAUUGUAUUCAUAUAGGGUCAAGGAGUGUAGAUGUAAGAAAUCAUCAAAAUCGGAGUUAAAAUAACCGUUAAAUCGUGAUUUUUCGUUUAGAACCGUCGAAAAGUUUUGUCUCGUUACUUGAUUUCUGAAUGUUUGUUUUUUGCAAUUUUUGGCGUAUGCGAUCUCGAAGCAUAUACAAACAAGUUUGACGGUUGUAUCGUUGAAACUAGUUUCGUAAAAUGCGUAUCUCAUUAAAACAAUAAAUUCACUUAACACUUAAGAGUUUAUUCAUAUUUUCACUAAAUAUAACAUUAGUGUAAAUAUUUUAAAUUGAAGAUCGAAUUCAUUCAUUGUAUUUAUACAGGGUCAAGGAGUGUAGCUGUAAAAAAUUAUUAAAAUUGGAGUUAAAAUAACCGUUAAAUCGUGAUUUUCGUUUAUAACCGUCGAAAAUUUUUGUCUCGUUAUUUGAUCUCUGAAUGUUUGUUUUUUGUAAUUUUUGGCGUAUGCGAUCUCGAAGUAUAUACAAACAUGUUUGACGGUUGGAUCGUUGAAACUUGUUUCGUAGAAUGCGUAUCCCGUCAAAACAAUAAAUUCACUAACACUUAAGAGUUUAUUCAUACUUUCAUAAAGUAUAACAUAAGAUUUUGUGGUAUCCACUAGUGUAAAUAUUUUAAAUUGAAGAUCGAAUUCAUUCAUUGUAUUCAUAUAGGGUCAAGGAGUGUAGCUGUAAAAAAUCAUCAAAAUCGGAGUUAAAAUAACCGUUAAAUCAUGAUUUUUCGUUUAUAACUGUCUAAAAGUUUUGUCUCGUUACUUGAUCUGUGAAUGUUUGUUUUUUGUAAUUUUUUGCUGAUGCGAUCUCGAAGCAUAUACAAACAAGUUUGACGGUUGGAUCGUUGAAAUUAGUUUCGUAUAAUUCGUAUCCCAUGAAGUUCAAUGGUGUGUGUGUGUAUAUAUAUAUUUAUUUAUUUAUUAAGUAGAUUUAAAUCUAUUUAUUUUGUAUGUAUAAUUAUUAUAGUUUUUAGGGGUAUAAAAUUUAAUAUAUAUAUAUAUAUAUAAUUAUGAUAGUUAAUAUUUUGGGGUAUAAGUAUUAUAGUAUAUAUAAUUAUUAUAAUUAUUAUAGUUAAUUUAAUAUAUAUAUAUAUAUAAUUAUUAUAGUUUUUAGGGGUAUAAAAUUGUUAAAUUAAUAUAUAUAAUAAUUAUAGUAUUUUUUUUAGGGUUAUAAAAUUAUUAAAUUAAUAUUCUGCUUAUCGUGUAUCGUGUUACUCACGUGUAUACCCGAAACAACCCGUUAUCUUAACAGGUGCUUAUUGGGUUACCCGAUAACAACCCGUUUCGUUAUCGUGUCGACCCGAACACCUGUUAAUUUCAUGUUGUGUCGUGUCGGGUUAUCGGGUCGUGUCAGGAAUUGCCAGGCCUACCCGCAACCCCCAAAACCAGAAACCAAUUAAUCCCAAACCCACCUCCCCAUUAAUCCCCUCAGAAACCCAGCACAGCAACCUCCUCCUGCCCCACCCCCCAACGAACCAUUCCCGUCAAAUCCCCCUUCCCCCGACGACCCAUUCCCGUCAAAUCCCACCCCCCCUCCCCGACGACCCACUCCCGUUAAAUCCCCAUUCCCCCGACGACCCACUCCCUUCAAAUCCCACCCCCCCCCCCGACGACCACUCCCAUUAAAUCCUCCUUCCCCCCAACCCGAGCCGAGCCUUUUCCCUGCAACCCAAUCCCACAAAUUCCACCUCCCAAAAAUCAUUCCCUUCACCAUCUUCAUCCCCACUCCCAAUCCCAACACCACCGAACUGCUCACCUUCCACUUCAUCUGUCCUUCCUCCUUCACCCUCCUCACAGCCUCCUCCAACACCCCCGCCCCCGCAAGUUCCAAUCUUUAAGGUCCCAAGCCGCCGUUCCAGCAUCCGGUUCAACCAAUCAAGCCGUUCGAACCGCUAAGGAGGAAGGCACAUGCGGUGGUGGCCCAGCGGAGUUGUGUGGAUUUUGGAUCUGGGGAGUUUGGGGUUCGAGAGAGAGAGCGAGGAGAGUGGGAGGAGGGUCAAACCGCUGAGGAGGAAGGCGUUGGCGGUGGUGACCCGGCGGAGUUGUGUGGGUUUUGGAUCUGGGGGGUUUGGGGUUUGAGAGAGAGAGUGAGGAGAGUGGGAUGAGGGUCGGGGGAAUGGGUUUCUGGGUUUCUGGUUUUCAAUUUUUUUUUUUUAAAUGGGUUUUUGGAUUUGGAUUUGCUGAUUUUUGGAUCAAGCCAUAGCACGUGGAAUUGUAGGAAUUUGCAAUGUUUGGUCCAUGCCAUGGCGAGGAAGGGAUGAAGGGUGCAGGGAGGGAGGAAGUGGCAUGAAGAGGGAGAGAUGAAAGGUGCAGGGAGGGAGGGAGGCACGGGAUGAAAUUAUGGGUUUUCAAUAUUUUUUUUUUUUGUUCAAUAGGGUAAUAAAAAAUUAUUAUUUUUUCCACGUGGCACACAUUUGGCAACCACGUGGCACAAAUGUGGCAGCCACGUCAGCAUUUAACAGACUAAUGGAUGAAAAAUCUAACGGAGGUGUUAUUUUGAAAUAAAAUGGUACUGGAUGUAUGAAAAUGAAAUGUUUUAAAGUUGUUGUAUGGGGUUGUAAUUGACCUCAAACCUGAGGGGCUACUAUGUAAUUUACUCCUAAUAAUUUUAUGCAUUUGCUCUAGGUGGUUGCAUGCAUGAUGCCUGAUCUUCCAAAUGUAGGGGUGGAGAGAGACAUGGAGAGUUUUCAGGAGUUCUUUGAGAGCCCCUCGUUCAGAGCAUAUGGGCUUAAAAUUUAUCCAACACUCAUGAUCCGUGCAACUGGACUCUAUCAGCUUUGGAAAACGGGCAGGUAUAGAAAUUACCCACCUGAGCAACUUGUGGACAUUGUAGCUCGGAUCGUAGCCGUGGUCCCCCCUUGGACGCGUGUUUAUAGAGUUCAGUUAGACAUUCCAAUGCCUUUAGUUACUUCUGGGGUUGUGAAAGGAAAUCUUCGGGAGUUAGCUUUGGCUCGGAUGGAAGACUUGGGUUUGAAGUACCGUGAUGUUCGUGCACGAGAGGCUGGAAUUCAGGUAUGUGGGUAGUCAUUCUUGUUUGAACGUGUUUUAUGCAACUGAGGCCACAAACAUGACCCCUCAAAUCCCUAGAAAAAAUCUUUACUAAACAUUUUUGCUGGUUCUAGGACAUACAUCACAAAAUUAGGCCAGACCAAGUGGAGCUUGUUUGUGGGGAUUAUAUGGCAAAUGAAGGAUGGGAAACAUUUCUUUCAUAUGAAGAUACUCUCUGGGUAUUCGUUCUUUUUAUGUGAGAGAGUGCUUCGUCACACAGCGAUUUGUAUAGAUUAUAGGGAUUAUAUUUGAUUAGACAUUCACCUCUCCCAGACCCUGCGUAAAGCGGGAGCCUUGUGCACUGGGUACGACCUUUUAGCCUUAUUAGGUUUUUAUUUGUUUCCCUGUAUAGUCUACUUACUUGUAUAGCACUCUUUGUAAACCCUAUUUAUACUCUACUCUCAGAGAGAAUAAUAUAUCAUAAUUUUACCCAUAUACUGUUUGACUUGGCAUCAGAGAAGUAAAGUUCUGGUGACCGUGCGUGCCCACCAAAACCAAAAAAAACCUCCUACCCGUGCAAAACCCUAAUCUGAGAAACUCUAAAUCUUGUCGUUGCUGUGGAAAUUUUUCUGUGAAAAUUUUCUGCGUUCGUGUCUUGCUAUGUUGAUUGUUUCCGCUGUUAUUUGGUGUGUGUGUUCUACAACCAUGGCUGGUGAUGAUGAUGUUAAACCCAACUCCGGUUCAUUUGGUACCAAGGAUGAACGACCCUACAGUGAUUAUUCUGCUCCUAUUGCACAAGAGAAAUUAGAUGGCUCCAACUAUGUCUCCUGGUCUCGUAACGCCUUUCUUACGAUAACUGGACGACGUAUGGCGGGGUUUAUCAAUGGCAAAAAACCUGCUCCUAAGGAUGGUGAUUCUGUGGAAUACUCCGAAUGGGAAGAGGAUAAUUGUUUGGUACAAAUAUGGCUUUUCAACUCUAUGACUCGGAGUGUGAGAAGUCUCUUUGAGCGUUGUACUUCAGCAUAUGAUGUGUGGGAGGCUGCAAGGAAGACUUUUACAGUCACCCAAAACAGCUCCCGGUUGUUUCAACUUCGAAGACAGUCCGUGACUACAACCCAAAAUGGUGAAUCUAUUGCUAUGUUUUAUGAGAAGCUUCAUGUUAUCUGGGAGGAGAUUGAUAAUCUUUGUGCUAACCCACAUACCAAUCCUAAGGAUGUGGCUCUUCGACAUAAGGAAAUUGAAUCUGAGAGGGUGUAUGAUUUUCUUGGAGGGCUUGAUCCACAGUUUGAUGGUGUUCGUAGCCGUAUCUUGGCUAUGACUCCGGUGCAUUCUGUCUUGGAGGCGUAUGCAUUGGUCGUGGAAGAAAGCACACGUCAAGUCACUAUGCUUGGGGUGCUGCUGCUUUGAAGAUUGGUACAAGCCAGCAUCGGACAAAUGGUGCUUCCUCAACUGGCGGUGGUGGUCGUCAGUCGUCCCUUGUGAGUGCACAUUCCGGAGGCUCUUCGAACUCCAAGUCUGCCGUCUCCCGCCCUCCUGCAGCAAAGGCUCAACCUGGUUCUCGUGAAUGUGCCCAUUGUGGAGGUGAUCAUCUUUUAGAAAAAUGUUUCCAGCUUCAUGGUGUUCUAGAUUGGUUUCCUGAGUACAAGGCCCGUAAGUUUGGACCCAAAGCUGCUCAUGUCGUGACUGCAGACGAGCUUGAGUCGCCUCGUCCUUCCAUGAAUUUGAGUGUGACAAAUUCCGUACCAGGUAACGAUUUCAAUACAUGGAUAAUUGACACUGGUGCUACUGAUCAUGUGACUUAUAAUUCUAAGAUUUUUGAUGAGUUGUCUAGCCAAACUCGUGACCCUUUUAUCACGUCUGCCAAUGGUAUGCCGUCUCCAAUUACUGGAGAAGGCACAAUCACACUUACCCCUACCUUGUCCCUAGCACAUGCGUUUUUGGUACCCAAUAUUAAUUGUAAUUUAUUAUCUGUGGGACGAUUACUGGACUCACUAAAUGCCUAUGCUACUUUCUAUCCUACAUGGUGUAUGUUUCAGGAUCUCAAAACCCACGAGACGAUUGGACGUGGUAAAAGGAUAGGGGGGUUAUACUACUUAACUCUACCAACAGACGUGGUUCGUGGUAGUCUUGCUAAUAAAGUUCAGAGUGGCAGUGACAAGGACAAACAUGAGUUGUGGUUAUGGCAUCGUCGCUUGGGACACCCUUCUUUUGGAUAUCUUAAACCUUUAUUUCCUUCACUAUGUCGUUCAUAUGAUGAGACUUGUUUUAAGUGUGAAACAUGUGUAUUGGCCAAAAGCCAUCGUACUGUUUUUCCGUUAAGUAAUAAUAAAGCUCUUCAGCCAUUUGCGUUGGUACAUUCCGAUGUAUGGGGUCCUGCUAAGAUUACUUCAAAUGGAUUUCGUUGGUUUAUCACUUUUAUUGAUGAUUGCACCUGUUUAACUUGGGUUUUCUUGAUGAAGAAUAAAAAUGAUGUGACAUCUAUUGUACAAGAAUUUACUGCCAUGGUAUCUACUCAGUUCUAGACUAAAGUCAAAGUGCUUCGGUCUGAUAACGGAGGAGAAUAUGUGAACACUGCCUUGAGUUGUUUCUUUCGUGACAAGGUAUUAUUCAUCAGUCGACUACUCCGUUUACACCCCAACAAAAUGGUGUGUCUGAGCGGAAGAAUCGCCAUUUACUUGAAGUUGCUCGUGCUUUGCUCUUGGGAAUGUUGGUCCCUAAUUAUCUUUGGGGACUUGCAGUUUUAGCCGCAUGUUAUUUGAUCAAUCGGACUCCUAGCCGAGUUCAUGAUUUCCGCACACCUUUUGCAGUUUUACAAGAACAUAUCUCACCUAUUGGUAUCUCCAAGCUUCCUCCCAAGGUGUUUGGAUGUGUUGUGUAUGUGCAUAUUUAUUCUCAUCAACGGAGUAAGCUAGAUCCUUGUGCUCUUCGAUGAGUGUUCAUUGGGUAUUCAAAUACUCAAAAAGGUUACAAGUGUUAUCAUUCUCCUACUCAAAAGACUUAUGUCUCCAUGGAUGUCACCUUCCAUGAAGAGGUCCCGUAUUUUGCCUCAUCAUCUCCUAUCCCUCCACUUCCCGAUGAGAGGGUUUGCGAAGUGUUUAGUGAAGGAGCGACAGAAAGUGCAGGAAAUAGUGAUAUUGUGAGGUUGCUCGAGCCACCUUGUCUUACCAGACCCCAGAAAUGUGGGAGGAGAGCUUGAGGUUUACGGUAGAAGCUUGUCUUACCCAUGUGUCAGUUUAUGAUUUGCAAGUCGAACAAGGCACGAAAUUCGGGUUGUCGUAAGUGGAUUGAGUGAUGAAAUCUACGGUUUUAGUUUUGGAAUGAAUUUGGUCCUGAAGUUGGAGUUUCCGUUGCCUUCAGAAACGCGGUCUGUUGAGUUCUAUAAGAUGGCGUCUAGGACACUUUCGGAUGCAGGUUACAACCUCUAGAAAUUAGCAGUUACUGCAAGAGUGGAUAUCACUGCGAACACAAUCCAACUUAUUGGAAGAACAAGCCUUUCUAUGCUUUUGGCCUUGGCUCCGCUGGCUAUGCCGAUGGCGUGAGGUUUUCGAGACCAAAGAAGAUGAAAGAGUACACAGGACGAGGAGAGAAGGGACAUCGCUGCAGGUGAAUUCAACACCUUGCUAGUAAACGAGGACGAGACUGAAAGAAGUCCUGCCUACAUUCGGUUUAGUGAUCCAGAUGGUUUCCUUUUGUCGAACGAAUUGAUAGCACUUGCAUUUGCGGUUGUAGCUCCAUAAGCUAAAGAGCCUUGACGCAACCUCACAUAGGUGGUGAUUCCGUGCAACAGCUGCAGGAUUGCAUUUGGUUUUGCUCGACUUGGUAUUCAUCACAGCAUCGCAUGAAUCGGCUAAGCACUUGCUGCCACUCUGCAUUCAUGACAUUUUUUUCAAAGAUAGAGAUCAAAUAAAUUUAUAGUAGGCCUUGGCUACUCUUGUGGGUGUCCAGUUGGUGCAGCAGCUCUCUCAAUAAAUCCUGGAUUUUGUUCAAAUAUAUACUCUCUGUGUUUGUGUGUAGAUAAUUAACAUAAUUAGUUCGCUAAUCAUCGAUGUCUUCGCAUGAUAUGUUUACUACGGGUACUGAUACCACGUAUACAAUCCUCGAGUGGGCGAUGGCUGAGCUUACAAGGCAUCCAAGGGUCAUUACUUGAAGGCGGUGAUCAAGGAGACUCUUCAACUACACCCUUCAGUUCCGCUACUGAUUCCCAGGCUGUCAACCGGCGAUGUGAAAAUACACGGUUGCAACAUUAAAGCCAAGACACAAGUACUGGUCAAUGUAUGGCGGAUUGCAAGAGAUCCUAAGCGUACAAAAAACCGAACAUCGAAAGUACCCUGUCGAGGCCGUUGCUUUCCUGUACGAAAUUCCAUCUUUCUGAAAAUGUACGGUAGAGAGGAAGCUGCAGGGUUCCAACAAGUGGUUUAGAUUGGAUUUGCUGUAUUUGGUGUUGUACUGGAUUUGCUGUAAUGUAUCUGUAUUCUUGUCUUGGGUUAGACAAAAAUGUAUGUACUUUUGUUAUAUGCUAUCAUAUGCUUGUGCAUCUUUUAUCGAAUCCAACGACGCUCCAAACAAUGAGAAAUUAGGGAAAUAACAGCAAUUAAACACAGUAGGCAGCAGGUGUUCCAAGUUCUCGCACUCAAAAAGCUACCAUGAAUGAACAGCAAUUAGAAAGGAAAAGGGAAACCUCGAUACAAGUACUUCGGUUCUACACAAAUUCGGAGAAAAAGACAAAUACAACUUAGUUUCAUCUAAUUAAAAGUGAAAACGCACAAGUUGCUAUGCUCUGAAGUUCCUUAUGACCACAUUCAAAAUGCAGAAAGCCUACCUACAGGUCAAUGACACGAGAUAGCUUCUGGAUGCGGUUCAAUAAGAAGUCCCCUUGCUUGAUGGUUGCUUGGUACAGUGAAUUCUUAGCAUCAGGAUGAUUGGUUUCUAAAACACCGGCAACUUUGUCAAUCUUGCAAUGAAGCUUCCCUGCUGCAAUGAAACGAGAUAGCUCCCUGUAUGUCGUAGAAUGGGUUAGCUAUAUGCAGAAAACAUGUAAACGUAAAAUACUUAACAGCAUCUCCACGAAAUCAAGGACCAAAUUUUUUAAAACUAUAUAAAGUAAACCUGAAACGAGGUAACCAUAAGACUCAGUCACUUACAGAUCAAUGAAAUCCACGGUCAUGCCAAAAGCUUUAGCCAUAGCUUCAAUGGUAACACUCUUGUAGGACUCCAAGAACUGAGAAUAAACAACAGUUCUGAUCUCCCUCAUGUAAUAACGGAAGUGUGGGUGCAAAUAACGGUCCAACUUUAUCUGCUCUGUCAGGCCAGCUGAAAAACAAAAAAGAAAAGAAAGAAAGAAAGAAAUUACAACUAUGAAAUUUAUUGAUUUGGUUGAUAUAUGACCGGAGAACUCAUACUCCAUUAGCAUCCAAUCUCACAAAACUAUAUCACCUGUGUAAAGCCUAAUUCAACAAGUUAUCCAAGUUCUUUUCCGCAUCAGCAAUCCUAAACAAAGCCAACCAUAUAACUAGGUAACGGAAAUUACUUGAUCGCAAUGGCUAUAAUAAUAGUAUAAACAACAAUAUUUUUCACACUAUACAAUUCAAACAAAUCUUGUCAACCUGCUUAAUUUACAGUAAAACUCCCAACGGAUUGCGAUUAAGUCAAUGGAGAAAUCAUGCUUCAUCAGCAUCCGAUCUAACAAAAAUACAUCACUUGUGCAAGCCUAGUUCAACAAGUUCCAAAGCAAUUACAAAUUUUCAUUGCUUCGAAUCACAGUGAAGAGUUCAAAGCAUAAAUUUCAAUCCCUAGUUCUUUUUCUCACAAUUCUCAGUAACCAAACAGAAUCUGGACCAAAAUCAAAAUUAAAAUCGAAAAAAAAAAAAAAAACCUCAAUAAAGCACUCACUUUUCAUCGAGCUUCUUGAGCUCCUCCUGGUUCUUCGCCCUCAUCGAGUCCAUAACGCCCUGGUCCAGCUCGAGCAUUGAUUCGGCGACUAGGGUUUCGUACAACGGCGCCAUAUCUACAAAAUCCCCCAAACCGAAACUCAAUUCCCGAUACGCAAAAACCGAAAUUGAAAGCACAGGCAAUGCGAAAACCAGUUCAGCUUAGUAAAAAACGGGCGAUCUUACCGUCGGCUUUGACGGAGGCAAAAACCUCCUCCCUUAGUUGGACCUUUUCGAUGUCCGGGACAUCGGAAUGGGAGAGGAGGAAGAGCUUGUUUGCGAGCACGAGGUGCGGCUGCUGCGUCCCCUCUUGGGCUUCCAUUUGGAAUCGGUGGUGGUGACUCGGUCGGUGAGAUAGGUCCCCGAGUUGGGAGUUCUUUGUGCUUUGCUUGAAGGAGAAGCGAAACGACGGUGGGGUUUGGCCUAGUGACGGGUGUUUACUAUCUCGCUCGGUAACAGGUUUGUCUUUUUCAACACGAAAGGUAAAUUGGUAAUCAGCCUAGAAUGAAAAUUUGAUUGGGCUUUAAAUUAUUUUUAUAGAUAUAAAAUGAAAAUUUUGAAUCGAACUGGACCGGAUUAUAUAUGCACUUUUUAUAAGGUGAUUUCUAAAUCGGUAAAUUGCACUCUUUAUAAAGUGAUCUUUAAAAUCGUUGUUGCUAGAAUCAGAUCUCUUUUACCUUAUUUGAUUAGUCGUGACUCGUAAUCAUGUUAGUUUUGUUCCUGGUAGACAAAUAUCAAUUGAGGUAAAAACAAUCUAUGUUUUUCGUGAAAAAAUACCAAUUGAAGCAGGGGAUUUUUUUUUUUCAAACAACAAAGAGCUGGGUCAAAUAUUCAAUCAAAUGAAUUUGAGCAUGUUUCUCAUCUCUUCUCAACAUAAAAUAACACGAAAAUAACAGGUUCAGGUCAACACGUUAAUAAGUCGGGUCAUUAUCGGAUCAACUGUUAAAAUAACAAGUAUAACACAUAAACGACCCAAAAUUGAACACAUAAUCUCGAGGGCAUUGGGUGAAUGUUAUUAAAAGUUUAGUUCAUAUCUCCAAAAGUAUGUUACUCUACAUUCUCACUACUAUCCUUCUAUAAUCUCCAAGAGUAUUUAUGUGGCGGUUCUCUUUUUAAUUUGUUCUGGUUCUAUCAUGUCCCUAAUUUUUUGGUUCCUACGUUCUCAUUACAACAUGCCAAGCUAAUUAAGUCCGGCUCAAUCGUGCCUCGUGUCGUGCUCGUAUUAACUCAUUUAAUAAACAAGAUGGGUCGGCCCAUCUCAUAUUUGAAACCUUUAGCCUAGCGCAACCCAUACCAGAUAUCUAAUUAUACUUGUGUCGUGCUUGCCAUGUUAGACUGAGCUUGCUUGUCUUUUUACUUUGUUUUUAAUUGAAAAUAGAUACUCAAUAUAAUCUAAACUACUUAUUAAUAGAAUCUUUUUUAUCAAUCAAAAGAGAGUGAAACAAUUAUUUAGUCUUCUAUAAAAAAAAAUAUGGACAAUAAUGUAUUUAAUAUUAAAAUACAAAAACCUCUUACUCCUACUCUCACCCACAUUCUCUCUCCCUCCCUCCUUCCCAUUUUAAGAACAAAAUAAAAAUGCUUAUGUUAAUGUUAUUAUAACAUAGAGGCUCUGUCAACAAUCAUUUUUCUAAAAAUGACAAUCAUAUUCUUAUUUUUCAUAUUCUAACUUUUCUUCUAAUACACAAUAUUUACAGUUAUUUAGUACUACGGUCUAGUGGUAUUGCUCUUCACUUGUUAGUUAGAGGUCUUAGGUUAGAUUCUCGCUAAAGGCGAAUUUGAACAACAUUAUUCCUAGCCCAUUAUGAGGCUCAACCCACUUCUUCCCUUUAAUGUAGAAAAUAUUGUUUCUUAAAAAAAAUACACAAUAUUUACAAUCUAAGGACAAACCAAUAAUUAUGUAAUAUAUUAAAAAAAUAUGUCCACGUUAGAAAAACUGUCCCAUUAUUGUCUCAUCUUUUAUAAAUAUAUAUAUUUUUUUUAAUUUUAAAAACUAAUUACAUUUUUUAAUAAAUAAAAAUAAAUAAAUAAAUAAAUGAAAUUGUUCAUCUGCUAGUUUAUAUUAGAGUAAAUUGUAGCUAUGGUCCCCUAACUUUAACUCAUUGGAGCAAUGGUCCCUCAACUAAAAAUCCAUUAUCAUUGGUCCCUCAACUCAUCAAAACGUACAGCUAUGGUCCCUCAACUAAAAAUUCAUUACCAUUGGUCCCUCAACUUUAAUUCAACUGGAGAAAUGAUCUCUUAACUUUAACCCAAUUGUAGCAAUGGUCCUUCCAACAUAACUCGUUUUGAGAAAAAAUUGACGUAGUUGACGAAAAUGACCAUAAUUACACACCUUGAUGAGUUGAGGGACCCUAAUUAUAUGAAUGGUUAUUCCAACAUAACUUAUUUUGACAAAAUUUUGAUGAAAUUGAUGAAAAUGACUAUAGCCACACAUUUUGAUAUGUUGAGAGACCAAUGGUAAUGAAUUUUUAGUUCAUGGACCAUUGCUCCAAUUUGAUUAAUGUUGAAGAACCAUUGCUACAAUUUACUGUUUAUAUUAACAACUAUUGUUACCAAGACCAUCACCGAUUGACUGUUAUGCAUGGAUUGGUGUUCCCGGACCGAUUGAUUGUUAUGCAUGGAUUAGUGUGUAAAGAUAUGAACAUGAGUAUACGGUGAACAAGUGUCAGUUAUUUGGUCCAAUUAGUAUAAGAAAGCCUUAUAGGAAGAUGAAUGUGAGUUCUUGUUGAUAGAGGAAUCUGUCAUGGAGAAGAACCAACAUACACGAGGAAACAUGAGUUGUUUCCUAAUCGGAUUGUAAUAGGAAAUCCUCAUUGGUUUAGGAGAGGUAUAUGUAUAUAUAUAUAUAUAUAUGCUGUAAUCUCUGCUCUCAUAGACACGCUCAGUCAAGAACUAAGUCCUAUUCUUAGUUAGAGCAUUAAGAGUUCUACCAGAGAGGAGAAGAGUUGCAACAUACAGAAUUUGGACAACUGCUGCAAUGGAAUAUUCGAAUGGAGGUUCAUCAGGUUAAUGUGAAUACAUCAGUUCAUAUUUAAAAGGUUUUAUGCUUUCUUGAUUGUGUUUUACGUGGCUUAAAUCUUGAUCUUGGCUAAUUGAAUCUAACAUGUGGUAUCAGAGCUUAGAUUUAAGUUCUUAAAAUCAAUCAAGCACGGGUCAAUGAAAAUCGCCAUUAUCAGGUUUCGAAACCGGUUCUAAAUAUUAAAACAAUUUUUCCUAAACGGUGCGUUUUUGAUAAAAUUAGGUUAGAUUAAUAUGACUGUUGGUAUUCGAAAUCGGCGCGGUUUUUCUUUUGGGGUUUUUCUGGGUUUUGUUCUUCUGCAAAAGAGGACUUUAACUCGUCCCUCUUAUUUUGACCCGUUCACUUGCAAUCCGAGUAAUCCAAAUCUUGUUAUUGAGUGUUCAAUACCUGUCCAAAAUUGUUUCCGCUGCUAGGUAUUGAUGGUUGUCUCUUUAAAAGGUAUGUGAUCUUCAAAACUCGGAUCAGAAAAAUGAAUACCAUGAAUCUUGCAUAGAGAUUUGUAUAAUGAUUUUUUGAUGAACAUGAAAGCAGUCAUUCUUAGCAUAUGAUUUAGUUUCUUAAAAUAAUGCAUCUUAAUGGUCUGUAUAAUGAAAGAAGCCAUUCAUAAGAUGAUUGUAUCUGGUUAAAUCUAUGCAAAUUUAUUGUCACUAUUAAGAUCAUAAACUGAGAUGUAUAGAACAAAUCAGUGUGAUGGUUGAUUCUGAUUAUAUGGUGAUCAGUUCAUGAUCUAUUCUGAAAUCAAUAAUCCUAUAUGCGCCUAUCAACUGGUUGUUGUUAAGAUUGUAUAUAUGGAUAUUGGUUAUAAAGCUUUGAUGUGCAAUAGACUGUGAAACGAAAUCAGAACUUUGAAUGUUCAUAUGGUGAUUUCAGGUUCAUCGAUGUCUGCAAUAUCAAUGAAGACCUUAAACUUAGCAAAUAUUCUGAUCCUUACUGGUGGUAGCAAUUACAAGAAGUGGAGGAGGGAUAUCAACUUGCUAUUGACUCUAAAUGAGUUUGAUAUAGCAAUUGAAAAUCCCAAGCCUGUAAUUAGUGAUCAAAGCACCAGAGCUGAGAAGUCAGAUUUUGAGAGGUGGUCAAGAGCUAAUAAGGUAGCACUUUCCAUCAUAGAAGUUGGAAUGACUGACACUAUCAGGGGGGAAUUAAGAAACCAGAGCUUGCUAUGGAUUAUUUGGCUGCAAUUGAAAAGAAAUUCAAGGAGUCCGAGAAGGCAGAAGUAAGCCAGUAUAUGUCUGUGUUGACUCAAUACAAGAUUGAAGAUAUUGGUUCAAUAAGGGAUCAUAUAAUGAAAAUGUCAGAUGCUGCCGAGAAGCUAAACUCCAUGGAGAUAAACAUUGGAGAGAAGCAGCUUGUGUUCAUGAUUUUUCAAGCCCUCCCUACCAAGUAUAGUCAGUUAAAAGUCUCUUACAACACUCAGGACAAGAACUGGGGCAUAUAUGAAUUGAUUGCACAAUGUGUGCAAGAGGAAACUCGGCAAAAGCAAGAGAAAGGCAAGGAGAUCGAAGAAGCAAAUUAUGUGCAACCUGGACGAGAGAAGAGAGCAUUCAAUAAAGGUAGCUCUUCAGGUCCUGAAAAUCUAUCAAAUUUAAAGCUAAACCUAAAGAUGUGUCUAAACUUAAGUGUUUUUGGUGCAAGACUAAAGGGCAUUUAAAAGUUGAUUGUGAAAUUUUUAAAGAUUUUGUGAAGAGCAAAGAAAAGGAACAAGUACUUGUCUGUGUUGAGUCAAAUCUUUGUGAAGUACCUGUUGAUUCUUGGUCGUUUGACACUGGAUGCUCGGUUCACAUAACUAAUUCUUUGAAAGGUUUUCAAAAACAAAAGGAGAUUGGAAAUACUAUGUAUCAUGUCUAUGUGGGGGAAGGGACUAAGGUUGCAGUGCAUUCCAUUGGAGUAGUAAACUUAAAACUAAAUUCUGGUUUUGUGUUACAACUAAAAGAUGUGCUCUAUGUGCCUAAAAUGAGAAGAAACUUGCUCUCUGCUUCUAAAAUAAUAAAAGAUGGUUAUGCAUUCUCUGCUGAUGACGUAUGUUUGAAAAUUUUUAAGAAAAACAGUUUUCAUAAAAUUUUGGGCAUUACCCUCUUGUCUGAAAAUCUCUGGAGACUAGAGUGUAUAGUUGAGUUUGUUGAUCAGUCCGUUUUUAAUGUCAAUUCAAAAAGAAUGUUAGAACAUGAUUCAUCUUUUAUUCUUUGGCAUAAGAGGUUAGGGCACAUCUCUAAAGAAAGGAUUCUUCAACUUUGCAAAGCUGAACGAAUUCCCAAACUAGAUUCUGCCACUGUGAUAGAAUGUGUUGAUUGUUUGAAAGGAAAAAUGACCAACUUUAGAAAACUAGAUGCCAAAAGAAGCAAAGGGUUACUUGAAAUCAUUCAUACUGACAUCUGUGGUCCUUUUCCAGUCAAAACCAUAUGUGGAAACAAGUAUUUUGUUAACUUUAUCGAUGACUUCUCUAGACUGGGAUAUACUUUUCUGAUUAGAGAAAAAUCCGAUGCCCUUAAAUGUUUUAUUGUUUACAAAACUGAGGUUGAAAAACAAUUAGGUAAAGUUAUUAAAAUUGUUAUAUCGGAUAGGGGAGGAGAAUACUUUGGCAGGUACACUGAAUCAGGACAGCAAAAGGGACCAUUUGCACUAUAUUUAGAGCAAAACGGCAUUGUAGCUCAGUAUACAACACCGGGGACACCUCAACAAAAUGGAGUCUCGGAACGAAGGAAUCGAACUCUUAUCGGUAUGGUGAGGAGCAUGAUGUCAAGAUCCAAAUUGCCUGGUUUCUUGUGGGGAGAAGCCUUGAAGACAGCAAAUCAUAUUUUAAACAGAGUACCGAGCAAAUCUGUUAUCUCAACACCUUUUGAGUUAUGGCAUGGCAGAACACCUAAUUUUGAAUACUUUCACGUUUGGGGUUGCAAAUCAGAAGCAAGGUUCUAUAAUCCUAAUGAAAGAAAAUUAGAUUCAAGGACUCAAUCUUGUUACUUCAUUGGGUAUCCUGAAAAGUCAAAGGGCUACAGAUUCUAUAUUCCUCAACAUCACACUCGGAUCCAAGAAACGCAUAAUGCAGUAUUCUUAGAGGAUCAAGAUGUUACAGAUCUGUCGCGGGAAAAUUUCAUUUUUGAACAGAUGGAUCAGCUACAUGACAUCCCAGAAGCCCUCAACUACUCUCAGGUUCCAUUAUUCAGUCAGCCAUCAAUUAAUGAAAGAGAAGAAACACUUGCAGAUUCGGAUUCUCCCACUGACCACACCAUGGAAAUCGAUGAUCAACUUCCUGCACCUGCACCUGCUUCAAAUUCUGACCAACCAGUGUUAAAUGAACCCAGAAAGUCCACAAGAGUCAGGAAAUCAACUGCUACGAGUGAUUAUGUUUACUUGCAAGAAGCAGAUUUUGACAUUGGUGAUUUGGAUGACCCCAUCUCUUACUUUCAGGCCAUUGAAAGUUCACAGUCAACUCUAUGGCAGAAUGCUAUGAAAGAAGAACUAGAUUCCAUGUAUAAAAAUAAUGUAUGGACACUUGUGGAGUCUAGCCCUCAAAUCAAGCCUAUAGGUUGUAAGUGGGUGUACAAGACCAAAAGAGAUGCUCUUGGUAAAUUUGAGAGACACAAAUCACGAUUAGUUGCAAAGGGCUUCACUCAACGAGAAGGUAUUGAUUACAAUGAUACUUUUUCCCCAGUCUCUUCUAAAGAUUCAAUGCGAGUUGUCAUGGCAUUGGUUGCACAUUUUGACUUAGAGCUGCAUCAAAUGGAUGUCAAAACAGCCUUUCUUAAUGGCGACUUAGAGGAAUGCAUCUAUAUGAAACAACCAACUGGAUUUGUUGAAAGGGGGAAGGAAAACAUGGUUUGCCAGCUCAAUAAGUCCAUCUAUGGGUUAAAACAGGCCUCUAGACAAUGGUAUUUAAAGUUUGAUCAGAUUGUCUCUUCUCAGGGAUUUGAAGAAAACAAAUUGGACGAUUGCAUUUAUCUUAAAUUUUCUGGUUCUCAGUUCAUUUUUUUGGUACUUUACGUUGAUGACAUUCUUCUAGCAAGUUCUUGUCCACAGUUAUUACAAAGAACUAAGAGGAUGCUCAGUGAAAGUUUUAAUAUGAAGGAUCUAGGAGAGGCACACUAUGUGUUGGGGAUUGAGAUUGUACGCAAUAGACAGAAAAGACUACUUGGCUUAUUGCAAAAGGGUUACAUUGAUAGAGUAUUACACUGGUUCAAUAUGGAGAAUUGUAGUUGUGGACAAGUUCCAGUUAAUAAAGAGGAUAAGUUCUCCAAGAGUCAGUGUCCGAGGACUGACUUGGAGACAGAGAAAAUGCAAGGUAAGCUUUAUGCUUCUCUGGUGGGAAGUCUCAUGUAUGCAACUAUAUGUACACGGCCUGACCUUGCUUUUAUAACUGGAAUGUUGGGAAGGUUUCAAUCAAAUCCAGGUGAAGCACAUUGGAUAUCUGCCGAAAAGGUUCUAAGAUAUUUACAAAGAACCAAGAAUUUCAUGUUGGUUUAUGGAAAUGGCGAAUCUUUGGAACUUGAAGGAUAUACUGACUCUGAUAUGGCUGGUGAUAUAGAUGAUACAAAAUCGACCGGUGGCUAUAUCUUCAUGUUAAAUGGUGGUGCAGUUUCUUGGAAGAGUGCUAAGCAAACUGUGAUAGCCACAUCCACUAUGGAGGCUGAGUUCGUAGCUUGUUUUGAAGGGAUGAAACAAGCUGUGUGGUUGAAGAAUUUUCUGACUGAUUUAAAAAUUGUAAAAUCGAUUCAGAAACCAGUAAGGAUGUUUUGUGAUAACAAUUCUGCUGUGUUCUUUGCCAAGAAUAAUAGAAGAACUUCUGCCUCAAGGUUAAUGGAUGUAAAAUUUCUUAAAGUAAGAGAGGAAGUGAAGAAGGGGAUGAUUGAAGUUCAGCACAUCAGCACUGUUUUUAUGGUUGCAGAUCCUCUGACUAAAGCACUGCCUAUUGGAGAAUUUCAGAAACAUGUAUCUCGGAUGGGAGUGUUAGAAACUCUAGAUCAGUGGGAGUAAUUGAUCUGUUUCAGAAAGUUUGAAGGUUGCUGCUAUGUGAGUAAUUCAAUUUGGGACCUUGUUUACAUUUUAGUCUGAGCUAGCUUACUUAGUUAUGUUUAGUUUGUUAGUUUGUUUUAUAUUUUAAUAAGAGUCUUUGCUUCGAAACCUAAGGCUUCCAUUUUGGAGUAUUGUGGUUUUGAUAAUAGACUUUGUUGGAUUCAUAUGGUACUUUGCAAGGACAAUUUGUUUGUUUUAAAAGUUUAUAUGUUUCAUGAAUUUUAUUCAGUUAAUGAAAUGCUGUUUUUCAUUGAAGAUUGAUAUAGAUUGUGAUCUUUUGAAAAGUGGGAGCAUGUUCUGGAUUAGUGUUGUUAAUCAUGUGUCAUAAUUGCAGAUUGGAUACAUGUGAGUCUUGAAUCAAUGAUUGUUUGGUAGUAAUCUGAGAUUCUUGGCUUCUGUAUUUUGAAAUGCAAUGGGACGUUGGUCAUGAUGAUAAAAUCUUGAAUAAGGCUAUGUGAUCACUUUUUAUAAUUGGUAAAGGCUGUGCUUGUUCAUGUCUCAUGUUCAAGUGGGAGAAUGUAAAGAUAUGAACAUGAGUAUACGGUGAACAAGUGUCAGUUAUUUGGUCCAAUUAGUAUAAGAAAGCCUUAUAGGAAGAUGAAUGUGAGUUCUUGUUGAUAGAGGAAUCUGUCAUGGAGAAGAACCAACAUACACGAGGAAACAUGAGUUGUUUCCUAAUCGGAUUGUAAUAGGAAAUCCUCAUUGGUUUAGGAGAGGUAUAUGUAUAUAUAUAUAUAUGUUGUAAUCUCUGCUCUCAUAGACACGCUCAGUCAAGAACUAAGUCCUAUUCUUAGUUAGAGCAUUAAGAGUUCUACCAGAGAGGAGAAGAGUUGCAGCAUACAGAAUUUGGACAGCUGCUGCAAUGGCAUAUUCGAAUGGAUGUUCAUCAGGUUAGUGUGAAUACAUCAGUUCAUAUUUAAAAGGUUUUAUGCUUUCUUGAUUGUGUUUUAUGUGGCUUAAAUCUUGAUCUUGGCUAAUUGAAUCUAACAUAGUGUUCCCAGACCACCAAUGUGAUUGAAGACUUAUUUAAAAGAUAGGAGUUUUAAUGAAAAACUUACAGUAUUGUUCAUUUUAACGAAAAACCAUAAUCAAUCCUGGUAGUAUUCACUUUAUUGUUAAAACUCAAAGUUUUCAAAACCAUUUUCAUUAGUUUUUUUUAUAAAGAAUUGGCAGCAAUGUUGAGCUACUUGGAGUCUAGAAUCUGGCAAGAAACAAGAAUUGCACUUUGGUAGAUUGAUACAAAAUUAUUAUGAACGAUAAAUAUGUCAUACUUGGUGGAAUCGUUGGAUGAGUAUUAAUGACUAUAAUCAUUUGUUGGAAUCUUAAAUUGGAAAGUACGAGAUUUAUAGAAACAUGGAACUAAAAGUAGUUGAGUCUCCGUUCGGGGCACCUAGAUCUAUGUUCUGCUCAAAGUCACCAAAUAAGGGAGUGAAACCCUUUCAGUUAAAAUCAGAUAAAAUGAUCAAAUUGAGUUUCGAAUUCGUGGACUGAAAAAUGACUAUUGAAAAGAGAAAUAGAGUUAUUUGAUGAUUGGGUUAACAUAAUAGAAUAAAGAGAAAACAUUGCAUUCAUGCUUUAUUAUUGCUUCUGCUAAAUUAAAUGCAUUUUGAUUUUACCCUAUUAAGCUAGUAGCUCACCCAUGACUAGUGUUAAAUUAGAGACUUAAAAAGCAGUUGGUUUUAUGGAUGUUUUAAAAAGUAGUUGGUUUUACAUAGGAUUUUUAUUUUAUUUUAUUUUUUAAAACAAACGUUAUUAUUUACAGUUAUAUUAAAGGGAGGGGUGAACUAAGUUUCACAAUGGGUUAGUGAUAAUGUAGUUCAAAUUCACCUUUAGCGAGAAUCAGACCAAAGACGACUCACUAAUAAGUAAAGAAAAAUAUCACUAAACUGUAGUACUAAGUAAUGAAUUAAUAGGACCUCACCUCGUUAAUUAUUGCCGGCGAGCAAAAUACAACCUACGCGGUUUCAGUUUCACGGUACACAAAAUGCCAAAAGUAUUGGUCUUUCUUUUUUCUAAUCAAACAAAUAGUAUUGGUCUUUGUCUCGUGCCUUCGAUUAUUUCCAAUUUUCAUAAAUUAUAAUCGGUCCUUCUUUUUUAAUCAAACAAAAAGUAAUGGUCUUCUACCAAAAAAUAAAAAGUAAUGGUCUUUGUCUCAUGCCUUCCAUUAUUGUCCAAUUUUUUAAUCAAACAAUGGUAUUGGUCUUUGUCUCAUGCCUUCAAUUAUUUUCCAAUUUUCAUAAAUUAUAAUCUUCAUCUUUUUCUCCGUCUCAUACUUGAUAUUUUCAUCGAGUUUAUUGACACAGGAGUCCAACAAUACCGUAAGUUAUAGCGUAAUGCGAUUGAAGCAUAUCACUGCUACUCUUUUGUGAGCUCUCAUAUGCCCCAGAGUAUGUUCUUCCAAUUGUUUCUAAUUCCAAAUUGAAUUUCUCUAAUUUUACUUGUUUCUCCGUUGGAUCGAAUGAGAAUAGAUAAGAGCGAGCUCCAAUCCCUUCGUCUCAUAUUUGAUAUUUUUAUUUUCAUUGACAAAGGAGGAGACCAACAAUAACGACUCAGAGCAACUGGAGCAUAUCAUUGCAACUCUUUUGUGAGCUUCCACAUGCCCCAGGGUAUGUUAUUCUGCACUCUUACUACCAUAUCUAAUAUCCUUCUGGAAAUUUUCUGAAAGAAAGUAAGGGCUUAUGAGCUACAUCUGACUUUUGUUUCACUUUUUUUCUUCUUAUUAUAUAUGUAAUUCAGAUUCUGAGCACUCAUCAUUAAACACAAGACUUCAAAUUCGAUUUCUUCCUCAACAAUUACAUAUGUUGAAAAAAUAAAAUGCAAAAUGAAAGUUAUUUAUUUUCUGUGUAGACGGGUCUAGGCGGCCACCUAAUUAGGUCUAGGCAUCAUUUCUUAAUUUUCAAAUUCCUAGGCAUUAAUUGGGGCGGUGGCCAACUGUCGAGCGCCACUGGGAUUUUUAGAACAGUGGUUAACGUGUUGACCCAAGACUCGUUAUUUUCGAAUCGUUCAGUGUUUGAUUAACGGGUCGUGCAAAAAAUUGUGUAGUAUUUGUGUAGAGUCCAAUCUACUAAACCCAAAACAUUCCGUUCUUUUCGACGUGUGUACUUUCAUUUAACAACAAUUUUGUGGUACUUGUCAACUGCCACCUACAAAGAAUUGAAACUUUUGGUUAUCCUUUAACACUGACUAAAAUCCAUGACAUUUGGUGGAAGAAUUAGAUUGAAUGAGUUCGAAAGUUUCAAUCAUAGAUUUUUGUUCUUGAACCAAAUUCUUUAAUUCUGUGUUCUUGCAAAAAAGACUCGAGAAGUAGUUUUCGGACUUUUGAAGUUAAGAACAAAAAUUUAAAUUUCUUGAGUACCUUAUUUAGAUCUUGAUUUCUUUUGGCUUGUGGUUUCGUUUUGAAAACUAAGCACAUAGUUUGUAAAAUACAAAAAUUUAUCCAUUGCAUUCUUUUUUUCUUUUCCUGUUGUUUUGAAACUUGUCUAUUCUGCAGACAGAUUGGAUAACAAGUAUCGAAGGCCAAAAUGGAGUCAGCUGCAUCACUAUUGAUUGGGAAAAUUGCGGCCAUUCUUGAGAACGAAGCAUCUUCCAUAGCGGCAGUCCGUGAUGAAGUUGAUGAGCUUAAGCUGGAGCUCAUAAGCAUGAAAUCUUUCUUAAUAGAUGCUGAAGGCAAGGAACCACAAACAGAAGGAGAGAGAACGUGGGUUACAAGCGUCAGAGAUUUGACCUGCGAUGCUGAAAAUGUCAUUGAUGAGUUCCUGUAUCACAUAUAUGACAAGCAAAGUGCGACUCCAUUUGCAAAAUUGCUCCACAGAACCAUUUACUUUCCAAAGAAUCUUUGGCAUCGGCAUCGAAUAGCCAAAAAUUACAGAAAAUCACAAAAAAGAUCGAAGCCAUUCCAGAGAGGAAUGAGAGAUAUGGUGUCUCUACAAUAGAAGGAACAAGUUCGGAUAGUGUUCCCAGAUGGGUGAAGAACAAAGCCGAGUCUUCUCUUUAUAUUAUGGAAGACGAACUAAUCGGGAUUGAAGACAAGAAGCAAACGUUAAUGGGGUUAUUGAUGAAUGGAAAGGAAAAUGAAAUGGUUGUGUCUGUGGUCGGGAUGGGAGGAUCAGGCAAGACAACUCUUGUUGCCAAUACCUUCAACAACGAAAAUGUAAAGCGACAAUUUGACUGUUAUGCAUGGAUCACUGUUUCUCAAACUUAUGUGAUUGAAGACUUAUUCAAACAAAUGAUCAAGAAGUUCCACGAAGGAAGAAAGGAAGAGGUGCCUGAACAUUUGAAUUCCAUGAGUUAUGAAAAUUUGUUAGAUAUGUUGUCGACAUACUUGAAGUCUAAAAGGUACCUCGUUGUAUUGGAUGAUGUGUGGGAUAUUAAACUUUGGCAAGAAAUAAUCAUGCUUACAACACGAAAGAAAGACAUAGCAUUCUAUUCUUUUGAAGUUGAAAGUCGUCCUUUUGAAAUUGAACCUUUGGAAAACAAUGAAGCUUGGGAGCUCUUUAGCAAGAAAGCAUUCUCAAGUUAUGAUAACAAAUCUUGUCCACCAGAGCUUGAAUCAUUAGCAUGGAAACUUGUGGAAAAGUGUGAAGGCCUACCUCUGGCAGUGGUAACUUUAGGUGGUCUAAUGUCUUCCAAGAGGUCAUCAUCGGAAUGGAGAAGAGUAUACAACAGCUUAAAUUGGCACUUGACUAAGCAUCCUAUGCUAGAAUCAAUGAGCAGCAUCUUGUUGCUUAGUUUCAACAAUUUGCCCAACCCGUUGAAGCCAUGUUUCCUAUAUUGUGCCCUUUUCCCAGAAGAUUAUCUCAUCAGAAGAAAAAGGUUGAUCAAGUUGUGGAUAGCUGAAGGGCUUGUUGAACCAAUUGAUGGGGUCACACCAGAAGAAGUUGCAGAGGACUAUCUUGUGGAACUUACUGGUCGUAGCAUGCUACAAGUUGAAUUAAGGAAUGAAGCUGGAAGACCAAAAGCAUGUAAGAUGCAUGAUCUUAUGCGUGAGCUUGCUUUGUCCACAUCAAAAAAUGAAAAGUUUGGUGCAACAUAUGUUGGCCGAGAAAUAGUAGAUAAAGCUGAAAUCCGUCGAUUGUCAAUUCAAACAACUGAAGGGGAAAUUAAUUCUUGCACUGGUAUGUCAGAGCUUCGCUCCUUUCUUGUCUUUGGCACGUUAAAGAAAUUGCCUUCUGGAUUCAAGUUGUUGAUAGAUUUCCAGAUGAACUAGUGUACUUGUUCAACUUAAGAUAUUUAAAUUUGAAGGGAACUUUAAUUGAGGAGCUUCCAGAAUCCAUCGGACGGCUUCGCAACCUUCAAAACUUGAACAUCCGUGACAGUAAGAUAAAGGCACUUCCAAAAGCAAUCUACAAGUUAGUAAACCUACGCCAUCUAACCAUGUAUCGUUACACUGAUUAUCAUUAUGGCUGGGAUAAAAGCAGCAUCCGAUCUAAGUAAAUUACAGAAACUGCAAGUUUUGCAAUCUGUUGAAUCAGAAGGAAAGAUAAUUAAAGGCAUCAGGAAUAUGACCCAACUUUCAAGCGUCGGUAUUACAAAUGUGAAAGCAAGUGACGAGAUGGACCUAUGUGACUCCCUUCAAAAGUUAGAGCUCCUUCACUAUUUGUUUUUGAUGGCAAGUGAUGAAGAGGAGUUUCUUCGAGUUAAUGCACUAAGUUCGCCUCCUCCAGGCCUUCAAAAGGUUUAUUUGGCCGGAAAACUAGAAAAGGUACCUCUUUGGUUUGGUUCACUCCAUAACCUGACACGUAUGUCUCUACGUUGGUCUAGACUUGAAGAAGAUGUGCUACCUCACAUUCAAGCAUUGCCGAAUCUUGAAAGGCUUGGGCUAAUUAAUGCGUAUGUUGGCGAAAAAUUGUGUUUCUCCGGAGGCUUCAUAAAGCUUAAGUGUUUGAAUUUGGGCAACCUCCCCUUGUUGAAUAGUAUAGCUAUAGAGAAAGGGGCAAUGCCAAAUCUCCAGGUCCUAGACAUUUGGGAAUGCAUGGAGUUAAAGACAUUGCCGCAGGGCAUUGAGUUCCUUGCUAACGUGGAACGCUUGAUUCUGGGGCAUGUUCCAAUGCAACUUAUAGAGUCCGUAAAAGGAGGCAUGGAUCAUCCAAAGGUACAACACAUUCCUGAAAUCAGCCUGUAUUACAUGGGACACCUUGAAAGAUUGUCCGGUAUUCACUCUCGUAGAAGGUACGCACACUUUUAUCCUUGCAUAAAAAUUUGAGUAAUGCUGGUAGGGGUGGGCGCGGUGCGGUUUGGUGCGGUUUUGAGUGAAACCACAACCGAAAUCGAAACUUUUUGCAGUGCGGUGCGGUGCGGUUUUGAAGCCAAAACCGAAAUGAAACCAAACCGUUUGGUUCGGUUUGGUUCGGUUCGGUGCGGUUUCAAACGGUUUCGGUUUGGUUUUUGAGAAAAAAAUGUACAAUUUAAAAUAUACACAUAUUUAUGUAUAAGAUGGUCUUAUUUUCCUUGUAUAUUAAUUAAUGAAUAUGCACCAAAAUAGCACCAAAAACUGAACCAAACCUGCAGCAAAACAACACCAAGAAACUGUACCAAACCUGCAGCAAAAAACUGCACUGAAACUGCAGCAAAAAACUGCACAAAAAACAGCAGCUAAACAACACCAAAACUGCACAAAACUGCACAAAAACAGCAGCUAAACUGCAGCAAAAAUUACACCACAACUGCACCAAAACUGCACCAAAAAACUGCACAAAACUGCACCUAAAAACUGCACAAAAACGCAUCACAUAAUUCACAUCUACUAAAAUUCAACUUGAUCACCAAUCAAUCACAAUAGUUUACUACAACCCAAUUGAAAAAUUAAGUUUGCCAUAAUACAACUAAAGUUCAAACUUCAAAGUUUCAAACAAAGUUCAAUGUCAAAUGCCUUAUGGCAUUAGUACAACCAAAAAAAUAAAUGGUUCAUGGAAUUCAACAAAAUCUUGGUUUUCAACUUACUUUGCAUCGUUCAAGUUUCAAACUUUUACAUUUCCUUUUCCUUUUGGACACUUAUUCUUUGAAGGUUUAGGAGGCCUUUGAGCUUGUGAAGACCUUGCACUUUGUAAACGCAUAAGGGGAGGCUCUUGUGAAUUAGAACCUUGAGAUUGCUUUGGAACUUGUUGUGGUUCUUGAUCAAGAGUAAGAGAGGCAAUGCUUGAAGUCGAUUUGGCCAACUCUACACAAUACAAAACAUAAAAAAUAUAAUUGAUGUUUAGUUGAAAAAAGAAAACAAAGAAAGUUCUUUUAUUUCAAUUGAUAUACUUACCGGAUUCAAUACUUUCAUAUAACUCAAUGUGGUCAAUUGAAGGUGCAUCAUCCUCCAAAGUAAUAAUAUUAUCACCCCUCAACCAAUUUUGCAUGCAUAUCAAGGCCUCCACCGAUUUAGGAGUUAAAGAACUCCUAAAAUCCGAAAUCACUCGACCACCGGUGCUAAAAGCACUCUCCGAUGCCACGGUCGAAACUUGAAUUGCAAGAAUAUCUUUUGCAAUUGCGGCCAAGAUAAGAUACUUGUUACCAUUCACCUUCCACCAUAGGAGAAUGUUAAAAUAUUUUGUGGACUCCUCUUUUGUAAUUUGUACCAAGGGAUCAAACAAAUAAGAAUCCACCUCAUCUCCCACCACUUUCUCAUCACUAUCUUCAACAAAAUGCAUCCAUUCAUCAAUUAGAUCAUCUUCCGUCAUAGCCACAUUAGAUGAGGUAGAAGAAGGUUGUGAUUGUAAACUUUCCGAUUUCUUCAUGUAUUUUCCACCUUCAACAUUAGGAACAUAUUCAUCAUAAAGGGCACGCAACUUUCAAUUAACUUUAUUGGCGGAAGCAUUGUCCACUGUGAUUGUCAUAACUUUGUCUAUCCCUCAUUCCAACAAGCAACUUUCAAUUAACUUUGCAAUUGUGGUUCCUUAGUGGUUAGGAAUAACACAAAAUUUUAUGAUCCUCUUAUGCAUAUUCCAUUCAUGAUCAAUAAAAUGUGAAGUAAGAACCAUAUAAUUGGUAUUUUGUGUGCUUGUCCAAGUGUCGGUAGUGAGACAAAUUCUAUGGGCACUUAAGGUUUUCUUCAAAUAAGCUUUUGAUUCAUGAGACAUGUUGAGAAAAGUUCUCACAAGAGUUCUUCUAGAAUGCACUUUAAACAAUGGAAUACCAACAGCACAAAAAAGCCGAAACCCCAUCUUAUCAACUGUACUAAAUGGCAUCUCAUCUAUGACUACCAUCUUAACACAUGCUUCUAACACUCUCUUGUGAAAAUCCAACAGCAACCAGAUUGUUACCUUUACUUUUAUCCCCAACCAAAACUUUUUGCUUUUUACUUCUAUUCCCUUGGUAAAAUUUACAAUAUCUUUCAAUGUGGUGUCUCAUGCUUGUGGUGCCAUUAACUCUUGGUUCAGCUGCAUAAUCACCUACACUGCUCUAUUUUGGGCAAUAAUUACAUUUAGCUCUCCUAAGUUUUACUUCGGCCAAAUAUUUCUCUCCCUUUUCAUUGAUUUUUGACUAUUUUUUCGUCACAUAAUACGUUGUAAAAUUAUCACAAACCCAACUACGUUUUCUUGAAUCAGAGUUACUUACUUUUUCAUCUUCGCCCUCAGAUUCUUCGCCGUCAUUUUCAAAGUCACCUUCAACGUCUAUUUCAUUUUUCGAGUCAAUUUCUAUUGCCUCGUCCUCCGGCUUCUCAGGGGAGUCCCCCGUAGAAGAGUAACCAAUCCCACUAUGCUUGCUGGAUUCUUCAUAUCUUGACUGAAAUAAAAUACGAAAGAAGAACAUAGAUAGAUAUUAGGUUUUUAUACUAAGAAAAUAGAUAGAUAUUAGGUUUUUAAAUUGACUUUGUACUUCACAUUUCUAUUAUAAUGUAGCAGGAAAGAAAUUGUAAAACAUUGUAAAGAGGUUGCCGAGAAAAGUAAACAUUGUUAUGUAGGAAUCAAUACAAUUGGAUAUGUAAUAGCUGAAUAAAUAGGGAGGAAGGCAAAAUGACGCGAUACGCACCAUAGUUUGAAGUUCAUCGGUUAAGAACGGGUUACAGUAGUGGUCCAUGCAUAGAUUAACAAACUGAAAACAACAAAUGGUGCAGUGAAGACGGUGAAUCAACGCAGUCACAGAUUAACAAAUUGAAAACAACAAAUAAAACCACAGAAAAAGAAAACAGCCAACUCCCAUUGGAACAAAGAACAUACGGACAGAAGAAGACUCAAAAUGAGAGAAAUGAAACAAAUAAAUAGACCUUCUAAAUCUCCUAAUUCAUUUAAAAAACAAACCAUAGAAUAAUGUUAUAUGGGUGAUAUCAAACAAAAGCAAACGUAUAACAGAAAAUUACUCAAGGCUUUGCCUGAUAUCAUACAAAAGCAAACUAAUGUGAACUUUUAACUUCAAAACCAAUCAUCAAUGAUAGAUACUAAUAUCUCAACUUUCGAAAAAAAAUUACUUACUUUGCCAAACCCAAACCUGCCUAACAUUCGAAAGAAAUGCACAUUUUAAAUUAUCAAUCAUGAUUAGUGGAGUACCUCUAAUAUCUCAACUUUCGAAAAAAAAUUACUAAUAGUAUAACAGUCUGACAUUUGAACAAACCUGCCUAACAUUCGAAUUAAUCUAACAACAUUCGAAUUAAUUACUAAUAUCCCAAACCUGAGUUUUUCAAAAUUGAAGACUGCUUAGAUUAAUAAUUACUCCAUUGAGUGUGUCGACUUCAACAUGUAGAUUAGUAAUUUUUUGCCAAACCCAAACCUGCCUAACAUUCGAAUUAAUCUAACAACAUAUAUGAAAUUGAAGACAGAGGAUGAGAAAUUUUUACCUCUGCUCUGGGUGUGUCGACUCCAAGAUUGGAGGCAAGGCAGAGAUGAAAACAGUGACUCACUCAGUGAGGUCGCAAGGCAAGUAGUGACUCACUCAGUGAGGUUGCAGUCGCAGAGGCAGACGCAUCUUGUGCAGAUUGCAGUCAGGCAGUCGCUCGCAGAGGUAGAUGCAGGCAGAAGCAGUCGCUCGCAGAGGUAGAUGCAGGCAGGCAGAAGCAGAUGCAGAAGCAGUCGCAAACCCACUCGGUGUUGGUGCAAAGGCAGAUGCGGAGAUGCAAGGAGGCGCAGAAGCAGUCGCAAACCCACUCGGUGUCGGUGCAAACCCAGAAGUUCUGGCGGCGCAAAACCAAAUGUAUAAGUAUACUGUAUAACCUAGUUGAAUAAUGAACUAAAUAAAAAUAAAAAAGUGCGGUUUCGGUUUCGGUGCGGUUUUGAAAACCCAAAACCGAAACCAAACCGUUUUGUGUGCCGCGGUUCGGUUUUGAAACCGAAACCGUUUCAAAACCGCAAAACCAAACCGUUUGGUGCGGUUUGAUUCGAUUCGUGUUUCGGUUUCGGUUUUCGGUUCCAAAUGCCCACCCCUAAAUGCUAGACUUAUCACAUUUUACAUACUAUAUUUGUACCACCUUUCUAAUAGAGGUAGGGUCCAUCAACAUAUGUGGGUCUCAUUUCAAUUAGAGAGAUGAUACAAAUAUGGUAUGAAAAUUAUGGUAAGAGUAGCAUUUUUGUAAAAAAAAAAUUCCACAAUGUAAUCAUUUGAACUAUAUUACGUUAGAAAGGUUGGAGAUUUUCACUCUUAUUUUUUUCUUAUGUGCUCCUCCUCUGGUUUUUGUUCGUUAGUAUUUUGAUUUAUUCAAUUCUAAGGCUACGAAAAAGAGGAAGUAGUGCAUCGGAGUGUAAAAUCAUUUUGCCUUAUAAUUUGCAUGUUCAAUCUUAUUCACAAGUCUGGCAAAGACAUAAUAUAUGCAUGCAUUGAGAUUUUAUUCAGUAACUGUGUUUCUUUUGUCUUGUAAUAUCCUUUUUGUAGAAUCAAGCCUCAGAAGCACUUGUGAGACUGCAAUCUUUUUUGCCAAUUGAUUUUGUGGUGAAUCUCGACUUUCGUUAUAGUAACAUAUCAGACUAUAUACGUGUUGAGUCAUUCACCCUGCAAGGAAGAACCCGUUUGUUGUUUGUGUGUUGUGUGAAGUUGCAAACAUUGAUCGAUCUUGGUUUCUUAUUUGCCCUUUUUGAAAUUGAAUAAUGUCCAAUAUUCUAUUUGUGUAACUGAAACUUAUAUUGAUUGCUUGCGUGUGUUUUGAUGUAAUAAUUUUAGUUUGGAACUAAAUGUGUCAUUGAUGAGAAUAAUGCCCAAGAUUCUGUUUGUGUGUAACAUGAACUUAUAUUAUUGUUUGCUUGCGUGUAUUUUGAUGGAAUAAUAUUGGUUUGGAACUGAAUAUGUCACUGAUGAGACCAAUUCUAACUAAAGCAAUGGUUAUGACCCAUUUUUCAUUUUCAAUAUUUAUUGGUUUUUUUUUUCAAGUUUUCAAAUAUAUAUUGUUUUAGGAAGGUAAAUUUUGUGACGGAUGUUUUAGCUCACUAUGGUUUCUUCUGAGAAAUUAUUAGAUGAUACGGUAUUACCAUGUCGGGUAAUACUUCCAUUCAAAUUUUAACAUGAGUGCAGUUUUUUACGGCUGGAUUAAAAAGCUUUUUUAAUUAAUUUUUUUUUUCAGUUUAAACAAAAUUAAAAGAAAAAAUAAUUCUCAGCUCCUUCCGCCAAAGCCCCAGUUCCCCACCACCACCUUCAUUCCCUGCCAUCAAUUGCCAUGACUGCCUUCCUCCUGAGAAAUCACAUCCACCGUCAUAAGAAAUAAUAUCAACCUUAAAGAAUUAAUAUUCACCUUCAACAUCCAGAAAUCAGUCCCCAGUGGCUCCUCAAGGACUCAGCCAUCGAAAUCCCCCAAACCCCAACGAAGUCGGAGUUUCGAACGGCUCCCUGCCGAAAUCUCCAUCUCGAAACACCGCCACGGGUCUCCAACAUCCGUUGAACUCGGCGUCGUCUUCCUCCGUUCCACGUCUGUACAAAUGGCAAGUUUGAAGUCAAAGUACCACAACUGACGUGGUGAUACUGUAUCAUUCUACAAUUUAUCGUCUCACGCUAGCUAACCCUCAUUUUUGGGACCAUUGCUUGCCUUAUCGCUCAUAAUGCUUGUAUGGGAUCAGUGGCGGAUCCAGGAUUUUAAAUUCGGGGGGUCCCAAUAAUAAAGGUAAAAAAAUUUAUAGAUAAAAAUAAUAUUGAAAAGUUAAAUAUAAUACACUUCAUUCAAAAAUUAGAUGGUGCUAUUGGCUUUGGCUUGAAAAAUCUUUCCAUAUUUCUCAUUUCUAAACUACACAUUUAAUCAAAAACACAAAAUAUAUACCAAUCAACCAAUAAACAAAAAUUCCAUCUAAAUUGCAAUGAUAAAAUGAGUAUACAAACAUAAAACAUAUCAACAACCAUAUCAAUAAUAGACUAAAAAUCUCCACCAAUAUCUAAUAUAAUUUAAUUGAGAUUAGAUUAUGUUUAUACCAUAUUUAGGGCCUCGUAUAUUUGGGCCUUGGGCCUUGUAUUUGGGCCUCACACUAAAGCCCAUACUUUGUAAAAGAGGAGGAGCCCCUUAUUCUAUAAAAGGGGACUCCUCCCCUCAUUCUAGGGGAGGCAAAAGAGCCAAGCCUAAGAAGGCUAAGAGAAGCUCUCAUUACAUUCAGGAGAGACCUCACACCACCGAGGCUCUCCUCUCCCUUCUCUUCUUUCUCUGGGGGACUUCCCCAAACACUUGUAUCCAUACACUUACAGAGAAACAGAAUCAACUACAGUGUGGGCGUAGCCCAAACAUUGGGGUGAACCACGAUAAAAUCCUUGUGUUCUUUGUGUCAUUUACAUUUCAUGCAGAUUCACGGUCGGAUUUACGUUGUUCCAAGACCAUCCGGUUUUGUGCAUCAACAUUUGGCGCCGUCUGUGGGAAUCGAUACAAAAAACUAUGUCGGUUCUCUUUCAUUUUUUCAUCAAAUUUCACCACUGUGAAUCUGCAAAAUCUGCAAAAACCUAUCAACAGAAAAGAUCCAAAUUCCAACACCUGUGCUCUUCCAUCCCUCUCUGUUCUUGUAAAAGCAACAUCCAAAUUACAAAAAAACAACAUCCAAAAGCUCCUGGAAAAACACCUCCACUUCCCCCUUAACCUUCACACGUGUCCAAAAGCUCCUGGAGAAAGAUUAGGGGAAGUAACAGGCUUUUUCCGAGCUCUUCAAUGGCUGUCGACGAGAACGUGGAGAGCCGCGGCAACCAAGCGGUGCUGUCAUCGCAGGCACAGCCAUGCAGAUUCAGGCAGAAGCUGGAGAUCCACAACGAGGUACUCCGACGAAUCCAAGCGUCCGCUUCGUUGACCCAAAACAAACCGAGUCUGCUUCGUUCCCAUCGCCGGAACCCGCGAUUCAUUGCGGCCAGUCGUCGACCUCAGUUCAAGCUCUCUGUUAACCGGGUCGAUCUCAUUGGAGCUCGGGAAGCUCACCGGUCUUGAAGUGUUGAGAGCAGGAGGGAACCAGUCCUAGCGCAUGGAAGCAGCUGCCCCAAAGUCUUCUCCGCCGGAGUCUGCCAUCUCCAUCAAGAUCUCCGUCAAGUCUGCCAUCUUCUCAGAUUCUGUUGCAGGAACCCGCGAUCUCCACUCUCUCUGCUCAUCCUGCUCGCCUGAAUUUUUUCCGGUGACUGCGACGGCGACGCCAAGUCGUCUUCGUCGUCGGAUUGUUCCGCCUACAUAUCCAGCACAGAAAUGGAGGACUUGUCGUCCUCGAACGGUGUGGAGAGCAACGGCGCUGGACCGGCGGCGAGGAGGGAGAUCUGUUGACAAAAAUGGAUACUUGUUGACGAAGGAGACGGAGAUCUGUUGCUGCAGCAGAUCAAUCGAGAGGAGCUGAAAGCCACCGGAGCUGAGCCUUUGACCGACGGGCGACACGUCCUUUGCAUCCAUGGCUGGGAAGUCAAGUCCCGCCCAACAGCUGCCACCAGCGCCAUCCAUGCCACCUACCCCCGUCAGAUUUAAAGCAGCAAGCCGACCCGAGUGGAGGAGAACCGGGUCCCAGCAGCAGCGAUUCUCAAUCGUAACUUUGCUAAAUUGAUCGCCCAGGUUGGUUCCUCCCUGUGUGAGUCACCUGAACGUAUCAACCUGUUGAAGUCAGAUUUUGUUGCAGCAUCUGAUAAAAAUGCCGAGCUGGAGAAGCAGACUCACGAGUUGUAGAUGGGCGAAAUAGGAGGAAGACAGAGAGAUAGAUUUCUAAGGUUUUCGUCCGAUGAAGUGGAGGCCACCUCGCUGUCAACCCCAACACCACCUCGCAGGAGAUCGCCAGUUGGAUGACGUCGGACGACAUUCCUCUACGCCGGGGUCGUGAUGUCUCUACACCAGUCUUCGCCGGGAUUUUGUCCGGCCUCACCUUGGGUUUGAUGUCACUUAACCUCGCCGAGAAGAGGGAGAGUUGAUCCCUGAUAUUUCUGAGCUUGAAGGUGGUGAUGUGAUGGGCAGUCCCAGAAAAGAGAAAGGCAGUGGCGGACAAAGCAAAAGGAAAAGAGAAAGAAAAGGGAAAGUAAAAGCAAAAGCAAGUCAGUGUGUCUGGAAGUGGAGAGAUCAAAGAGGGAACAGAAAAGAAAAAAGAUCAUGUCGUUGGGAGAAUAUUUCAGAAAGCAGAAAAGAGGAAAGCAAAAAGGAUGCACAUGGAGACACUGCCAAAACAAGGAAUAAAUACCCCACCCGAAUGAUGUAAUUUAUUUUUAUUAUCUUUCGGAGACAUCUGUAUAAACCCCAUCAGAGGGUAAUAUAUAUAAACCCCAUCAGAGGGUCAAAAAAAAAAAAGAAAAAAAAAAGGGAAAAGCCCAAAACAAAUGGGCUGACAUGUUGUGGAGGGCAAAGGCCCAUAGGCCUGAAAUAGCACCAACCAGGUCAUCAAAAGUACGCCUAGUACUCCAAAAUUAUACAUGAGCACUACUCAUGUCAUUCAUACAUAAACAUUCAUGAGCAUCACUCAUGACAAUCAUACAUAAACAUUCAUGACCAUCAUUCAUGUCAACAUUCAUGAGCAUCACUCAUGUUAACAUUCAUGAGCAUCACUCAUGACAACAUCCAUGAGCAUCACUCAUGUCAAUCAACAUAAACAUUCAUGAGCAUCACUCAUGUCAAUCAGCUUCAAAAGCUUCAUUUACAAAAGCUCCAGCUUCGAAAGCUUCAUUUACAGAGCUCUAGCUUCAAAGCUUCACCUGCAAAGCUUCACCUACAAAGCUUCAGUGCAGGGUAUACAAGUACCGCCUUCGAACAACCGCCACUUCGGCCCAUACAUGAAUUCAAUUUGAAGUCUCCAGCCAACAGACUCUAUUGACUAAAGACUUGGGGACUACAUUAUGUACCAUAUAUUGGGCCUCAACUGGGCCUCAUGAAAAAUACUUGGGGGACUUAGCCCAUCACUUAUGUAUUGAGAAGCGAGCCCUUAUUUUAUAAAAGGGACUCCCUCACCACCAUUAGAGAGUAUCGCCGCCAGCUGAGCAACCACCUCGCCACGAGCAUCACUCCUAAAUUUAUGUAUCGAGGAGCGAUCCCUUAUUUUAUAAAAGGGACUCCCUCACCUUCAAACGCCACAAGCCAAGCCAACCAAGGCAACAUAAGCUACAAGCAAAGCGGCCUCACAACAUGUGCUACUUCUAGUUGAGCAUCAUUCCAGAUUGGGCACCGCCUCAUAUCGAGCAUCAGUUCUAGACGACAUUUAGUUACUUCGGCCCACACAUGGACUGAAUUUCAAGUCUCCAGCCAAAAGACUCUCUUGACUGAAUACUUGGGGGACUACUGUUUAUACCAUAUUUAGGGCCUCGUAUAUUUGGGCCUUGGGCCUUGUAUUUGGGCCUCACACUAAAGCCCAUACUUUGUAAAAGAGGAGGAGCCCCUUAUUCUAUAAAAGGGGACUCCUCCCCUCAUUCUAGGGGAGGCAAAAGAGCCAAGCCUAAGAAGGCUAAGAGAAGCUCUCAUUACAUUCAGGAGAGACCUCACACCACCGAGGCUCUCCUCUCCCUUCUCUUCUUUCUCUGGGGGACUUCCCCAAACACUUGUAUCCAUACACUUACAGAGAAACAGAAUCAACUACAGUGUGGACGUAGCCCAAACAUUGGGGUGAACCACGAUAAAAUCCUUGUGUUCUUUGUGUCAUUUACAUUUCAUGCAGAUUCACGGUCAGAUUUACGUUGUUCCAAGACCAUCCGGUUUUGUGCAUCAACAGAUUAGAAUACCAAAAAACAUACUUGAACUUUGAACUAAAUAGUGGUGGCUUGCAGAAUUGAAACAAGUGGAAGUAUGAUAUUGGAGUAAUGUAAUUAUAAUAUGAAAUUGGGUGGGAUUAGGAAUUGGGUGGGAUUAGAAAUUGGGUUUUGGGUGAAUAUAAGAAAGAUGGGGAUUAGGGGAAAAGCAGAGGAGUGGGGAAAGGAAACGGGAGGGACUCUCGGGAAGGAUGCGGCCCAUGUGGGGCUUUAAAAGAAUAUGGAACAUCAUGGACAUACAGCAGAGUUUGUCUCAUUGAUUUUUUUAUUAAAUUAAAACAAUUGGCCAAAACUAUGCCGUUUUGGACCAAUUGUUAAAAGGCCCUGUUUUCUUUCUUCUUCCCCUCCUAGUUGUCUUCUUCUCCAUUAGAACCUGCAACUCCAACCCGUAGCACAGACCUCGUGUCGAGUACGAGGGGUCCUCGGGAAAAUUUCUAGCAGCAAUUUAGGAUCGCCGAGGGGUCAUUGGACCUCCCAGGUCCCUCUGUAGAUCCGCCACUGUAUGGGAUAGAUGUACAAGAAGAUUUAGUCUUUAAUAGAAAUUUCUUUGUUGAUAAAAAAAAAAUGUGUGUAUAUAUAUACCGUAUUAGAAGAAAAUAAGUGAUUUUUGUAAAGUAAAUAAAUAAUAAGAAUAAUGUUAAGUACACUAAAUGAUGUGGCCCAAUCAAAAUUUUACUUUAAUUCAAGUUUGAUUUGAUUAAUAAUUGUAAUAAAAUUUUAUAUGGUGUUAUACGUGUCAUAUCAUUUAGUGAACACAUUUGGCGCAUAAAUUUGGUGUAUAUAGCAUCACCCAAAAAAUAAUAUUAAAUGGGUGGUGUUAUUCAUAUUUCAUACACUCAUUUUUACGUCUCACACGUAUUUUUCAAUUUCAGGUCGUCAGAUCAAAUAAAUUGAAGAAAUCAAUAAACAAAAUCAACAAGAAUGUAUGACAAAUAAAAAGAAGUGCGUAAAUACCAAUGUACUACCCUAAUAAUAAUAUGAUUGACCGGUUUGUGUAAAUAUCUUACUAAUACCAAAAAAAUAAAUAAAUGAUAUUCAUUAAAAACCUUUGUCAAUGUACAAUGCACAAAUCUCACAUUCCUAAGGAAUUUAUGUAUUUUAGGUUAAGAAUAUAUAUGUCAUAUCCCGGCCCGGGGUGGAUCACUUCCCGGCCCCGCUCCACCACCGUAGCACGAUAUUGUCCACUUUGGGCCCCGACCAUGCCCUCACGGUUUUGUUUCUGGGAACUCAGACGAGAACUUCCACAUGGGUCACCCAUCAUGGGAGUGCUCUCGCGCGCUACUCGCUUAACUUCGGAUGGAACCCGAAGCCAGUGAGCUCCCAAAAGGCCUCGUGCUAGGUAGGGAUGAGAAUAUACAUAUAAGGAUCACUCCCUUGGGCGAUAUGGGAUCUUACAAUCCACCCCCCUUAGGGGCCCGACGUCCUCGUCGACACAUCACAGUCAGGGUUAGGCUCUGAUACCAAUAUGUCACAUCCCGGCCCGGGGAGGAUCACUUCCCAGGCUCGCUCCACCACCGUAGCACGAUAUUGUCCACUUUGGGCCCCGACCACGCCCUCACGGUUUUGUUUCUGGGGACUCACACGAGAACUUCCCAGUGGGUCACCCAUCAUGGGAGUGCUCUCGCGCGCUACUUGCUUAACUUCGGAGUUCCGAUGGAACCCGAAGCCAGUGAGCACCAAAAAAGCCUCGUGCUAGGUAGGGAUGAGAAUAUACAUAUAAGGAUCACUCCUCUGGGCAAUGUGGGAUCUUACAAUAUAUAUAUAUAUAUAUAUAUAUAUAUAUAUAUAUAUAUUAUUGUUAUUUUUUGAGCAAAUGAGCUCUUACAUGACGGCUUGGGUUCAAAUCCCGUCGUAGCUAAUCUAACAAAAUCAAUCGUUUAACAAGAAAAAAAGGGGGAGGGGUAUGAUGUGGUUCAAAUUCGUCUUUGGCGAGAAUCGAACCUAAGACCUAUCACUUACAAGUGAAGAGGAAUACAACUAUAUCAUAGUAAUGAGUGGCUUUAGGUUAAGAAUAUUAACAAAGAGAGCAUUCUAGAAUUUAGAGGUUGGGGUGUGAUAUCCACACACCUUUUUUUUACUUUUCACACACCCUUCUAAUUUUCGGCCUUUGGAUCGGGUGAAUUGAAGAAAAUCAAAGGGCAGAUCUUAACAAGAAGUGUGUGAGAAGUAAAAAGAUGUGUGUGGAUAACACACCCAUAGAAGUUGUGGUGUUUCAAACAAGUUCAGUUGAUAAUGUUCUCACAUGAUUGACAAAUGACAAAGAAUGCAUUCUAGAAUUUGCCGCACGGCCAACAUGGUCCGUCGGCUGUAAAUGUUUAGAAGACCCUAAAUUAUACGUGCCAAGAGCUACAUAGACCUUAUUCGGAAUGGGUACAUAAGUACAAUGUAUGACGUUUUAUGCUAAUAAUACAAUGUUGACAAUGACAUGUGUAGGUUUCUCUUUACAAGACAAUUUAUCAUUGCAAUAAGAUGCUAUAGUGAUAGUAUAUUUGUGUCAUGUAAGUUACUCUCAUAAAAUAAAUAUUGUGGAGCCAAAAAUAAUUCUAAAAAUUCAGAAGACGACACGUGUACUUUAUUCCGAAGAAGACAAGAUUGCCCUCAUUAAAUUGGGAGGGGCAAACAAAUACUCGCACAUGCAACUUCGCGGGAAGUUCAAGCAGCUAACUACGACUGCUUAAACCUCUCUUGGGGGAAGUCACAAGUAUUAAAUAUAGGGUUAAUUACUAAAUCUUAUUUUUAAUACAUUCUCAAUCGAAGAUCAACUCAAUUAAGUAAGGAAUCCCUACAUAUCACAAUCAAUUAGGGAUGUUUCCACCAUUAUCACAAUCAAUUAGGGAUGUUUCCACCAUUAUCCCAAGAUAGUUUCUCCUGAUUAAUAUAUUGGGAAUAUUUUUUCCUCAUUCAUCCAACGGAUGAGAAACGUUUCUUUCAUAUGAAGAAACUCGCCAGUUAUUCCUUCUAUAUUUGUGAUAGAGUGCAUCUUCACACGAAAGGAUCAUUCUGUUCUUGUCAUGUGAAAUAUGUGUUUCUCGGAUUUGCAUAGUAAUUUUGUGCACAGAAUCUUAUGGCUUCAGUUUUUUCCAGGUGAGCAGGUUGUGUAACUUGAUUUUGUUAUUAUUCUUUUUGUAAACACGAUAUUCUCGUUCGGUUGCUACGAUUAUCAGUGUGGCCGGAAUACUACUUGUCCCAAACGCAUGGGGAAGUGCUCUAUAUUGUUCGUGAACUCCGCGUGUUAUGGGACUGCUGUUCCAGUUCAUGGGUGGAUUCUGACAAGCUGCAACACCAGGUAAUGUAGCUUGUACAUCAACUGUUUCAUGUUUCCAUAAGUGGUGAGAUAAAUUUGUUGGGUCUGAUUGAUUCAAACAGGAUUAUGGUACCCUUUUGAUGGAGGAGGCUGAGUGGUUUGCUCGCCGGGAGCAUCGAUAGAAAAAGACUGCUUGAGCUUGAAGGGAAACACCCAAAAAUAAGACUAAGGUUAGACUUUAUACAACAAAUGACUGAGACUUUAUUGUUAGCAUAUUGAAUAGAAGGACGACGUCCAAAUAAUACAAAUUUUGAACAGCAAAACCGAACCACCUCCUAACGAAUCUACCUAGCUAUUUUUCUUGUGUUACUUUUUCAUUCUCUAUUCUUCAUGUUGAUUUCCAUAUUGAUCUUCUGCUUCGGACUGUGAACAGAAUUGAAUCAAAAGAACCAUAUGAGGAAACCAACAUCAAGUGCGCAACGGAAAAGUUGCUCCUUUUGUGACAGAAAGGUCAUGGUUCAAGUCGUGGGAACAAUCUAUCUGCAGAGUAAGGGUAAGACUGUAUACGAUAGAUGUCCCCCUCUUGACCCUCACAAAGUGGAAGACUUGUUGGCUUGGGGUCGCCCUUUUACUUUUUGAUUCUUAAAUCUUGAUGCUGAUGUCUAUCUUGCUCUUCCGUUUCGGACUUUAUCCUUUAAAGAUAUAAUUAUCGGCUACGAACUGAUAAAUUUUAGUUAGAAACCCUUUCAUUUCAGAUGAAUAAGCUCUGACAAAAUUCGUCAUUUGGCUCAAAAAUUUGACCCCCACAGGAAAUUUACAGCUUCAACUAUGAGAAUUAUGCAUUGCACACUCUUGGAAAUAUAGCUAACCAAAUUUAUGAAACCUUUUAGCCCUCCGACUAUUUUGCUUCCUGAAAUGAGUUUCACGACUUUGAAUAGACAUUUAAUUCAUUUCUUGAUAUUGUCCACCAAAAUCUCGAAAAACUUUUGAGUCUGUUACCAUGCACAUGGGAGCAAGCUUUCUGGCAAUGGGUUUUACUCGGUCCUCAAUAAUAUAUCAACCUCUGAUCGAGUCACCCCACUCUGCUUAUUCUCCAAAACCUUCGUCAUCAGUUGUUGAAUGCAUUCCAACUUUGGCCUCUCUCCCCCUUCAAGCUUUCAUAAAUCGUCUUUCCAACAACUUGCUUAACGAUCUCAAACUCAGACAUUAACUGAACAUUAACUUCUGACCUCAUCAACGCAUUCUGCUUUCUUCCAAUAAUCUCGAAGACCAUAGUGAUGAGUUCUCGUUCCUUUGAACGCUCCCUUGCCAUUUCUUGUUCUUUCUUUCUGUAUAUGAGUUUGAGAUCAUUAAACAAGUUGUUGGAAAGCCAAUUUAUGAAAGCUUGAAGGGGGAGAGGGCCAAAGUUGGAAUGAGAACUCAUCACUAUAGUCUUCGAGAUUAUUGGAAGAAAGCAGAACGCGUCGAUGAGGUCAGAAGUUAAUGUUCAGUUAAUGUCUGAGUUUGAGAUCGUUAAGCAAGUUGUUGGAAAGCCGAUUUAUGAAAGCUUGAAGGGGGAGAGAGGCCAAAGUUGGAAUGCAUUCAACAACUGAUGACGAAGGUUUUGGAGAAUAAGCAGAGUGGGGCAACUCGAUCAGAGGUUGAUAUAUUAUUGAGGACCGAGUUUGAAAUCAUUAUGAAGCGCGUUGCUGAAAAUCCAUUGCCGGAAAGCUUGCUCUGCAUGUGCAUGGUAGCAGACUUAAAAGUUUUUUGAGAUUUUGGUGGACAAUAUCAAGAAAGGAAUUAAAUGUCUAUUCAAAGCCGUGAAACUCAUUUCAGGAAGCAAAAUAGUCGGAGGGCUAAAAGGUUUCAUAAAUUUGGUUAGCUAUAUUUCCAAGAGUGUGCAAUGCAUAAUUUUCAUAGUUGAAGCUGUAAAUUUGUUGUGGGGUCAAUUUUUUGAGCCAAAUGAAGAAUUUUGUCAGAGCUUAUUCAUUUGAAAUGAAAGGGUUUCUAACUAAAAUUUAUCAGUUUGUAACCGAUAAUUAUAUCUUUAGAGGAUACAGUCCGAAGCAGAAGAGCAAGAUUGACAUGGCCAUCAAGAUUUAAGAAUGAAAAAGUAAAAGGGCAACCCCAAGCUACCAAGGCUCUCCGCUUUGCUAACAUAUAUCGUAUGCAGCCUUCAAAGGAACAAGCACUCAUCGUGAUGGUCUUCGAGAUUAUUAUAAGGAAGCAGAAUGUCGACGAGGUCAAAAGUUGAUGUUCAGUUAAUGUUCGUGUUUGAGGUCGUUAUGCACUCAGUUGCUAGAAAACCGAUUUCUAGAAAGCUUGAAUAGGGGGAGAUGUCAGAGUUGGAAUGCAUUCAAGAACUGAGGACAGAGGUUUUCAAGAAUGAGCAAAGUGGAGCAACUCAAUCAAAGGUUGACAUAUUAUUGAGGAGUUUGAAAUCGUUAUGAAGCGCGUUGCUGAAAAACCCAUUGCUGAAAAGCUUGCUCGUGCUGUACGUGGUGGCAGACUUGUGAAGUUGUUCAAGAUUUUGGUGAACAACAUCAACAACGAAAUUUAAGGUCUAUUCAAAGCCGUGAAACUCAUUUCAGGAAGCAAAGCAGCCGAAGAGUUGAAAGGUUUCAUAAAUUUGGUUGGCUAUAUUUCGAAGUGUGUGCUAUGCAUAAUUUUCAUAGUUGAAGCAGGAAGGUAGCCCAAUAUUCUUCGUCGCGAUGGAUGUACAUCCUGCUGACUCCAGUGCUCAGGAAGCUUGGAUGGCAUCUCAGACUGGAGUUGUAGGCAUGCCAUAGCCAUACACGAAAAAAGUAUGAAAGCAACAGUUCAUGGGGCACAGGUAACUUCAAUGGACAUUGUGUCAGUUAAAAAACAAUUAAAGAUGAUAAGAGAGCUUGCAAUGAAUGGAGAAAGGAUUCAGAGGGCAGGGCGUUUAUGCAUAGGCCUCUCCCCCAUAUACUAAAUAAAUCACUCAUCGCAUGAACAACAUGUGAUUGUAGCUGUGAUAGGAGAAAUUUUUCAUUGUGUCCGUAAUACGAGUCAGGGGCGAAGGCAAUAUAUGCCUAGCAUAGGCCUAGGCCUACUCUCACUCUUUAAGCCCCUCUAAAUGUUCGUGGCAGGAAUUUUCGUCGGGGAUGUUUCCUGGCUGACGAGCACACAGCUCCCCUGGAGGUCGGCGCGGUUUAGGGCUGCUGUCGGGCUUCUGCUUCGCUGUUGGGCGUUGUCGGGCAAGUCUCGUCGGGCAAGACUCUUCGGGCAAGACUCUUCGGGCAAUGCUGAAAGAGAAGGACAUCGUUAACUUUGAGAGGUGCCUUUGUGGGGCCUUAGGUGUAGGCCUUGAGGCUCACAAUCAAGGUUAACAUUUAGGUGCUUAGGCGUGCCACUGCCAUCUUUAGCAUGGCAGAUGUAAAAUGGUUGUCGUGCUUUAGUUGUAUAUAUGUAUGUAUCCAAGAAACCGUGUUAGUUAUAACAGGUGCCUUCGUGGGGCCUUAGGUGUAGGCCUUGAGGCUUCCCAUAAAUAACUAAACCAGUGCUCGAACGCAUCAUAUUUGUUCUCGUGGUUGUAGGAGUUUUCUAACUACUAUACUUCUGAUUACCCGAAUCCAAGAAGUAGAAUGAACCCAAAUAGGUGCCUUUGUGGGGCCUUAGGUGUAGGCCUUGAGGCUUCCCAUCAGAGUUCAUUCUUAUACUUAGACUCUUUAGAUUGCCGAACGGAAUGAAUCCAAAUAGAUGCCUUUGUGGGGCCUUAGGUGUAGGCCUUGAGGCUUUCCAUUAGAAUCCAUUCCAUACUCAAGCGUUCUAUGGUAAUCAUGAUAUAAUAGAAAGAAAACUAGAAGGUAGGUUGAUUACUUGCGCCCCAAGUAACUUCGGACUUCUCGUUUAUCAAGGACUGUCGUGGAUGGGUUAAGUCCACAUAAAGUUCUUUUUUAUGCCUUGAGGCCAAUGACUUUUAACUGAUCAGAUUUACAUGCCCGAGGGCUUAGGACUUGGAUCUGGUUUGAACACUGACAAUAUAUUCAAAUCGGAUUCAAGUGCUGAGAAAGCUUUUUAAUAGUCAUGUUGCUAGAAAUAACUUACAUAUAACUAGAAGUAUACAACAUAUUGAAAAGACUAGACUAAAGCAAAGAAGGUCGGGCAAGGUUAAACCUUAUCGGGUAAGGUUGCUCGUCUUGCAGGUUCCUAUCUUUGUAGUUUUGUCAAAGGUCUGAAAGCUUUAGAGGGGUAGAGAGAGAGAUUACAAAAGAUGAAUCAAUACUACAGCAAGGUUUAACAAGGUAGUAGAGCUAUUACAAAAGGUUGAAGAGAGGGUUAUCCCGAAAGGGAUGGAGGUUUAUCCCGAAAGGGAUGAAGGCUGACUACAGCUUUGUUUUGAAGGCAAAUCUGGCUUUGAGCAAAGUUUAUGCUUGCAUUUGUUUGUUUGAUUGAGUGUCCUUAAUCCUGGAUUUUCUUUCUUCUUAUAUAGACAACUCAGCUUGGCCUUUGGUAGCAGCAGCUUUGCUCGAAUGCGGUUUGAGGGUGAUGACUCAUCAGUUAUAUUACAUGUAAUGCCACCAUAAAGUACUUUAUGGGCUGUAUAGCUGAUCAGUCUACACCACUUGGCCUUUGGGUAGGUAAGCAAGUGGUCUUUAUGAGCUGCACCAAGUCAGAAAAGGCCUUUCCCUGCCUUCUGGGCUUCGACUGGGCUUCAGCUAUCUUCUCUUUCGGGCCUUCUUUUGGGCCAACUCCUUUCUUGAGCUCAAAGUUCAAGUUUUGAUCCAAACACUAAAUAUUUAGUAUUAAAUAUUUAUUUAUUUUUUAUAAACUUAGUAUUAUACAUCUUUUAGUUUACAUGAAAUCUUUAAAUUCUAUUCACCAAUAAUUAAAACAAGAGGUAUUUUUUCUUUUCACCCAACGACACUCAUCCUAAAACUAAGACCUAGUUUGGGAGUGAGGUGCUUAAAAAAAAGCACCUAUGAAAAAAAGCUGUUAGGGUUUUAGGUGUUUGGUAAACUGAAAAAAAAAGGCUUAUUUUGGAAGCUGCUGUGAGAAUAAGCUGAAAUCAAAGGAAAAAGCUGAAGCUGCUAUUUCCAGCUUUGGAAAACUGGCUUUUUUUUCAAAGCACACGGGGCUACAGUGCUCAUUUAAUGAAAAGACCCACUAUCAGACUGCUUUUUUUUCCAAAAGCACUUUUACAAAAAAGUUUACCAAACGCUCUGCUGAUUUAUUUCACAGCCGCUUAUUCUCACAGCACAGCCGCUUAUUCUCACAGCAGCUUUUUUUCAAAGCACAGCAAUACCAAACCAGCCCUAAAUCUAACUCUUAUUUUGUAUACAAGUCAAUAACUCUUAAAAUUAAAAUCUAAAAUUUACUUUAGUUUUAUCAAAAGAUAUUCUUUUAUAUUGUCAACCUAAAGAAUAAUAAACUUUGAGCUUUUCCUCCUUCCCUUGUUGAAUUUCAUGUAUUUUGCCCUCCAAAUUUUCAACCCAAAACAGUGUUAAGGUUUGUAAAUCUCUGUGUUCUCUUUAACUUUUUACUAAUAAUAUGAUCUAAAAACAUGAUCCCCUAGCAUUUUUCAUUGACUUGAUAUUGGAAGGUUAAUUUCUUUUAAUCCUCUUUAAUCUUGAUUAACUACUCUCUAUAUUGACUUGAUAUUGGAAGAUUAAUUUUAACAUGGAAAAAGCAUUUAGUGCCUCAAAAAAAUUUAAUUAGAUCACAACUCCAAGCAUGUAUUAUACCCUUUGGUAAACAUUAUCUAUUUUUUUAACAAUAAGUGAGGCCCCUCCUCAUAUGAAAUCCUGGCUCCGCCACUGAUACGAGUGGUACUACGUGUUAUUACGUAGGAGGAAGUUUUAUAUUGUAAGUGAUAGGAGCAUAUUUAUGCGACUUCAUUCGCUUGUUCUUGUGCAUUUAUGUCGUGUUUCCUUAGUUAUUUUAAUGUUUAAAGUCAUUUUCGUGUGUUUUCAGACUCUAAGUACAAAGUAUGCAAGAAGAUGCAUUUUGGAGGCCUUUGGAGCAUGUUUCGGGCUUGGAAUGGAUAACAAAUGCAUGGGCCAAGUGGAUGGACGAAUUUGAGAACUAAAGAGGCCAAGGAUAUGAAGAAUUAUGGUCCAAAAGAUGAAGAAAACAGCCCAAAAAUCUGUCACCCCAACUUGCAUUCCUUGCCAUGCAAACCACAUAGAAUUCCCUUUGGAUUCCAUGCCAUGCUUGAUCACUCUUGUCCCCUACAUAAUUUCUAAUUUCAUGCUUCAAUUCAUUUAAUUAUUACACUCAAUUGCUUGAUACCUCUUGUUCCCUUCACUCAUUAGAUUUUAGACAACAUUUACAUCCAUUACAUGCACCAAUUGAUGCUCCAUCAUUCACAUUUGGAAUCUCAUGCCUUGUGUACCACAUGUUGCUGCACCUUUGACCCAUUUAUUGACACAUUUUCACCUCCCUUUCCAUCUCUAUGCAAUGUACACAAUCAUUCAUGCUCCCUAGCUUCAAGACCACUCCAUUUUACCCUUCACACUUUGCAUCAUCACUUCAUUUUCACCCUUGGCCAUUGCACACCACACAUAAAUUACCAUGCAUUUCAUCCUUAACCUAACCUGAUUUUCUAAGGUUUUUGGGGCCUAUAAAUACAUGUUUACACCCCUUGGCCAAAGGAGAAUCCCCCAUAUUCAUCAUUUUAUAACAGAAAUUCGUCCAUACACACCCUAGGAAGCAAAACACCCCAAAAACACCAUUCUAGUGCCUAGAAAACAUAACAGCCACUCCACCUUCUUCCACCCUCUUUGCCUAGUUCUCUACCACUCCCCAACCAUCAAACACUCUUCCAAUCUCACCCUAAACCCUUCCACAAAAUUCCCCAUCCAUUCUACACCAUAAAUCCACCCAAAAAUCUGUCCACAAGCUUCAUGCCGCAAGCAAGGGAAAUGAGGAAUCUUGGAUGCACUUGCUACCAAGUUGGAGCAUUUUAGGUGUUUUCUUUCCUUUGAUUUUAAUGUCUAAUUUUAUGUAUCUUUGCUUUGUGAGAAUGAGGAACUAAACCCCCUUAGUUGGGGGGUGAUUCGAAACCAUGUACAUGCUUGCAAUAUGAUUUGAUUACAUUCAGUUGUUAUUUCAUAAGUUGCGGAUUCAAUUCGUUCAUCUACUUGAUUGAUAACUUAUUUGUGUAUGUUGAUUGAGAGUGCACGCUUAGUUUUCAUGCAUGAAUAUGAUGCUAGAUUAUGAGGGAGUUUCACCUAAUAGUUACAAUCUUAUAAUCACAAGUAGUGAAGGUCGCUUGAAAACGAUCGCGUUGAAUGAAUUCUUGGCACUAGUUUCAUGCUCAUCAUAGUAACGAAUGCCUCGUCAACACUUAUAGUUCUCAUUGUGCUUCAUGAUUCUUGAUUGUAUCUUUAUUGUGCUCAUCACGUAAGGAACCUUUGAGGAAUGCUUUUGAAUUGUUGUAUGCGCUUUUCCAUCCAAUUCAUUAACUUAAGGAGAACUUGAAGGUUAAUUUAAGCGUAUCUAAUUAACUUGGGGUGUUGAGUUUCAUAAUUUAUUGAAAGAACAACUGAAAAUCAUUUUGUUUGCAAGUGUGUCAUGUGUGGAGAAGAACCUCCUAACUAGCCUUUUAUCCAUCCUUUUCAUCCAAAAAACGUUUUACAAUCUAUUUUGUUUUAAAGUUUCUGUUUUGUUUUCAAUUUUCGUCCAAAACAAAUCCCCCUUUAUUUUGAAGUCUUAGAUUAGUUAGAAAGUGUUUUGAUUUGUGUUUUUCUAAGUGUUUUGAUUCAAGUUUUCAUCCAACUUCGUCCAAGUUCUUGUUAGGUUCUUCUCAAAACUGCCCAGAAAGUGGUUUUUUAGGCAGUUUUGAGUCAUUAGGUUGCUGUUUUGAGUUUUAUGUUUGUUUAAGUAUUUUAAAGUAUAGUUUUGCAUUCUUUGAGUCUAGUUUAGUGUUUUAAAUUUUGUUUUUAUGUUUUUAAGUCAGUUUUCAAGUGUUUAGCAAUCCCUCCUAAUCUCCGGCCUAGAACGAUCCCUACUUACAUACUUUACUACAUUUGAUAAAAAGAGGGUUUAAUUUUGUGUGUUAACUUAUUUUACGCAUCAAAUUUUGGCGCCGUUGCCGGGGAUUAGCAACUUUGCUAAUCUCUUGGAUUGUUUUCUUUCGAAUUAUUGUAUUUUGUUUAAGUUUCUGUUUAAGUUGCUGAUUUGUUUUGUUUUCUUUGUUUUUAGGUACUAGUUUAUGACCCGUAGCUCACAACCUGUUCGUGAGCAUAUCUCCGACUUUGACGGUGAUUUUGAGAGAACUUUGAGAAGGAAAAAGAAAUUGCAAGAGUCUAAUCCUCCUAGUCCCGAGCUUGAAUUAGAAGAGCAAGAAGUUGAGGUUGAAGAGAAGGUCACGGCACAAGUGGGUGGAGAAGAGCAAGGUAUAGCCAUGGACAACCGUACGCUCAAGGAGCUUGCCGCCUCGGGUUUGGAUAAUGCCGCACCAUUGUGUAUCCAAUAUCCCAUGGCUGCUCAAGGUAAAACUGAAGAGUUCGAGUUAAAGUCAAGUUUGCUCCACCACAUUCCAAAGUUCCAUGGGCUGUCCAUGGAGGAUCCGAACAAACAUUUGAAGGAAUUUGAAGUGGUAUGCUCAAGUAUGACUCCAGUUACCGUUGACGGAAGUAUUUUAAAGAUGAAGGCUUUUCCAUUCUCUUUAAUGGACAAAGCCAAGGAUUGGUUAUACGAGUUGGCUCCCGGUACAGUUACAUCUUGGGAGAGUAUGAAGAGGGCGUUUCUGGAGAAGUUUUUUCCCAACUUCUCGCAUCAUUCUUUCUUCGUAAAAAAUAAGUGGAAUUCAGCAAAGCCAAGGUGAAUCUUUUCCAUCUUAUUAUGAACGAUUUAAAUCACUUGUUGCUUCUUGUCCACAGCAUCAGAUGAAGGAGGAGUUACUUCUUCAAUACUUUUACGAAGGUCUUUUACCACUUGAACGGCAAAUGUUGGAUGCUUCCGCGGGAGGAGCUCUAGUGGAUAAGACACCUAGCCUAGGGAUGCCAAAACUCUCAUUGCGAAUCGAGCACUCAAUGCACAACAAUAUGAAGGUGUUGGGCAAAUAGACACCCCACGGCCACAUCAUGUCAAUGAGGUAAGUUCUAUUUCUGAGUUACAAUCCCAAAUGGCUAACCUUACGUCUAUGUUAUCACAGUUGGUUGAAGGCCCCAAAACGCAAGGAACUACAAUCUGUGGUGUAUGCUCCAUUCAAGGACACCAAUCUGAUCAAUGCCCUAAAUUAAUUGAGAAUGGAGGAUGGGAAUCGGCCAAUGCUGUGGGUUAUGGGAAUCAAAACCAACCAAGGAAUGAUCCUUUCUCCAAUACAUACAACCCGGGAUGGCGUGACCACCCCAAUUUCAGAUGGAGAGAUGCACCACAAUAUGGCCAACAAAGUGGAUUCCAACAACCCCCGGGUUUCUUUCCAAGGCCAAUGGAACCACAACCACCUCCUCAGGCACAAUCUUCCCAAACUAACCCAGGUACGUCUAUGAAUGAUGAUAAAACACAUAUCAGUUACUAACCACCAUGGCGCAGGGAAUGCAGAACCAAGCAAAGGAGGUUAAUGAGCUGAAGAAGCAAAUGGGCCAAAUGGCCGAAUUUUUGGGGCAAUUCCGUGAAAAUGGUAAGUUACCAAGCACUACGGUGGUCAAUCCAAAGGGUGGCUUCGAAUCUGCAAAGGCUAUCACAUUACGAAGUGGAAAAGAGGUGAGAAACAAGGAAGAUGAGAAGAUACAACUCGAAGAAGAUGAGAACACUUACCCCACGGCAAGGGUACCAUCACCCAUGCCGCAGCCAUCUAAGACAUCCCAUCCGUCCACCUCAGGUAAGAAUGUUCCAAAUGUUGUGAUUUCGAACACUAAUAUGCCCAAUGUCCACUUUCCUAGCAGAUUUUGCAAUCAAAGAACGAAGAGGAGGAAAAAGAUGUUCUAGAGACAUUUAGAAAGGUGCAUGUCAACAUUCCCCUCCUUGAUGCCAUAAAGCAAAUCCCGAAGUAUGCCAAGUGUUUAAAGAAGCUUUGUACAACAAAGAAACGUGUCCGGGAGAAAGAGGUGGUACAUGUAAGUGAGAAUUGUCUCCACCAUCUUGCAACAUAAACUACCCCCCAAAUGCAAAGACCCGGGAAGUUUUACAAUUCCAUGUGUCAUUGGUAAUACCCGUUUCAAAUCUGCCAUGCUAGAUUUAGGAGCAUCUAUUAAUGUUAUGCCAUAUUCUGUGUAUGCAUCUAUGAAUCUAGGAGCACUUAAACAUGAUGGUGUAAUCAUACAAUUGGCCGAUAGAUCUAACGCUUAUCCAAAGGGAGUUUUGGAAGACGUUUUAGUGCAUGUUGAUCAUUUAGUCUUCCCAGCGGAUUUCUAUGUCCUCGAAAAUGGAUGAAUCGGACCAUGCCCCUUCAUUGCCCAUCCUCCUUGGAAGGCCAUUCAUGAAAACGGCUCAAAACGAAGAUUGACGUGGCCAAAGGAUUAGUCACUAUGGCAUUUGGUGGUGACAUGAUUAGUUUUAAAAUUUCUGAAUCCAUUGAGACUCCUAAUAUUGUUCAUUCUUGUUUGUGCCAUUGGUAAAAUUGAAAAGAUAAGACCGGACCAUUCAACACCAAGCACGAAGGAUGCAUCAAGAACCAUGCAAGACGAGGGAAUUGGAGUGGAGUACAAGGACCAUACGGCCACUGCCCUCAAAAUGCUCAAAGUGGCCGAAAGCACCAUGGGGAAGAAUGUUCACAUUGCUGCCACUUCAUCACAUCACAUAGGUAAGCCACCUAAUCCAAAUCCAAUGCCAUUUAAAGUUGAUAGGUGGUUCCCUUCUUUGGUGCAGGUACCUAAGCAAAUCCCCGAUGGUGGGCGUAUGAACAUGAACCUUAGACAACAACAACGCACCCAUCAACAAACAUCACUAUCCAUUUUCCGUUCAAGGAUGUAAUCUACGAGAACUUUGUGGAGCAUGUUGUGGAGGAUAUCCCACUGCAUGCCGUGGGUUCCAAAGAGAAGUGAAGGUGUUCAUCGUCCGGCUGGAAGACGUUAAAGCAAGCGCUUUAAGGGAGGCAACCCAUUUAUUCUGCUUGAUUGUCAAUUUUAUUACUUGUUUAAUUAUUUUUGGUUAUGAUUUUCUAUUUUGAAAUAUUAACAAAUAUGCAAGGGAUUUUUGACAUUAAACUUCAUGAAAUGAACAGGAAUCUGGGAAAUAAAGAAACAUAACAUAAUACAAGAGGAAGAGCCUUCACAAAGGCUGCUUGGGAGAGGUCGCAGUAGUUGGCGGAGUCUCAGCAGUCGGUGGGGCCACGGAAGGAGGAGGUAUCAGAGGUUGAUCAGUUGGAGCUUCACUGCGCGGUGCCGCCCCAGAAGACGAAGGCAGAUGCUGUUGGAACAAACCCACAAACCUCCGGUGAUCAAGUAAAAUCUGACCAUCAGUUUCUUGCAGCUGGUCAAUUUUCCUCUUCAUGUUUGUGGCAUAACUGUGUGCAAGCUUAUGCAAUUGUUUAUUUUCAUGCUUGAGUCCUCUAAUCUCCUCUUUGAGACUCUGUAUUUCAGUCACCAACGAUUCAACAUGACGGGUUCGAGCAAAUAGGCGUUGGGCCAUGUUGGACACAGAACCCGCACACUGCACGCUAAGAGCCAGAGACUCCUUAACCGCCAAUUCAUCAGACCGUCUAGCGAGCAGUCUGCUAUCUCUGGGGGUGACAAGGUUCCGGGCCACCACCGCAGCGGUCAUGUCAUUUUUCAUCACCGAAUCCCCAACGGUGAGGGGAUCGGUAGGGGAUAUGAAGGAUGGGCGCCAUAUGUUGUCUGGUGAAGGCGGAGCUGCCUCUUCACCAAGGUUCAAGUCAAAACGACGAUCGGAAGGGCCAGACAUUUUCAGAGGUGGUGAAGAAAGAAGAGAGGAGGACUGAUCAAGAUUAAACAAGUGCAAGAAGGGAGUGUUUACAGGAGGGAGCUCAAGUGUGUUGUGGAACAAAAUUAACGCCUCUAUAAAAAGAAGAAAUCAAAGAGGCGCUCCUCAGAGAAGCGUCCUCUCGCAAAUCGAAGAGUCGGGGCUCCUUUCUCAAAAAUUCUUUGUUCUCAAAAAGGGCGUUUUUUUCUUAAAGGCUGGGCUUGCUCAGAAAACCACGAGCCGAACACCGAAUUUCAAAAGAUCAAAUUGUCCAGACGUGUCGUCACUCGUCACAUGCAACUGGCAGCUUUGCGGAAAUUACGGGCAGCUUUGUCAGAAAGCGCGUAAUUUGUACUAUUCAUCCAUCCACCGGCUGCCGACAAUGAGUGAGGGAAUAGUUCCGGUUGUGAAGAAAAGCCCUAUAAGUAUCUACCUUCGCCUUCCACAGCAAAGGCACACCCUCUCAGCACUUCUUCAUCUCUCUGAAAUGGCUUUCCAACAAACCCUCUCGAGUCACUCAGUGUUCCUUAUUCCCUGGGAUACCCCUGCAAACAACCCAUCCAGAGCAAAAGUAUUUCAUAUCAUAAAGGUUGAAAGCAAGAGUAUCUCAUAUCAUGCAUUCUCCAUGUCCUUUUCCUUGUCUUUGUUCUAACCUGCAGGACAUGGAGAAAUUGCACUCGAGUACUCGUCUUCCACUGCUGAUGUACUUCCAAAGAAGCUGCCACAUCUACCUGAAGAACAGAUAAGGCAAGCGAAAAUGAUACCAGCAGCAUGUGGAGACAACGUACAGAAGAAACAAGCAGAGAAGAAUGCAGCUCGUACAAUCAACCCAGCACAAGGAGUCCGAGCUGAAGAACUAGAGAAGCUGCCACAUCUGCUUGGAGAACAAAUAAGGAACUGCAACAUCACCAAAGAGCAAAGCUUCGCCGUACAAUAUCAUCAAAUCAUCACUUGCAAGUAAAAAGCUAAGUGUCACCCCGUUCAAGAGCAAAGCUGUGGAAAGUCAACAAGAUCAACUAUCUCCAAAACCAGAUUUGCGUUCUUAAACUCUACUCUGUCUGGUUUUUCUUUGCCAUAUUUGUCAUGUUUAUUUGUCGUUUAUUAUUUGCUUGUUUUUGGUGUGAGUAUAUGCUUGAAACAUUGAGGACAAUGUUUGAUUUAAGUGUGGGGGGGGUAACCAUUGUUUUGCAUGAAAUUCGUAGAAAUUUAUCACCCAUUACUUCUAGUAUUGUUCUUUGUUGUUUUAAGUAUUUUUUUAAGCUGUUUUGGAGUGUUUUAGUAUGUUUUGACAUAAAAAUCCGAAAAUUCAUAAAAAUUUGAAAAAUUGUUUUUGAAAAUCCCAAAAAGAGUUGUUUUUGUGUGCUUAUUUGUGUCUUAGGGUACCUUCCAACACAAUGAUGAGGAUUCAGUUUGUAAUUGCAUGACUGUUAAAGAGAGUUAUAAACAUGGAUGAAAGUUUGAUUUACUCUUUAUUUAUGCGUGGUUGUGGUUAUAACUUAUGAAAUCACAUGUAAUCAUAAAAGAAAAAAAAUUAGUUUUUGUAACAUGCUUGAAGGAAAGAACUCAAACUAACGCUACAACCUUGUGAGACUUGAGCUUAAACGUUUAUUUGGAGAGUUAAAAUCUGUGCAUUCUUGUUUUCUAAAGUCGUUGCAUGAUCUCAUUAUUCUUUGCUUGGCUAUUACUUAGAAGGCGUUUCAUCAUUUAGUUCCAAAUGCUAGAACUCAUGCCUAUUUCAUUCAAAGCAUGCUAUUGAUUUGCAUAAAACAUAUUCAAGAUGAAGUUGUGUAGUUACCACCACCAAAGCCAAACUGCCAUGUAUCCCAUAUCGUUAUAUGUUUAAGUUAACCCCAUUGAGCCUUGAUAGCCUACAUUCUUUGUUAAACCACAUUAUCCUUACCUAGCCUAGUUUAGGACCAUCCAUACCCUUGUUCUUGAAGCAUAGUAAAACAUGAUUCAAAUUGAAUUUCUUUUGAUUAAUGUAUGGCAGAAAACAAGUGUGGGGGAAGUGUGAGUUAUUAUGCUUGUUGAAAAAAAAAAAAAAAAAAAAAAAAAAAAAAAAAAAAAGAGUUUUAAAGUGCUGCUUGUUGAAGAAAGGGUCCAAAACAUAGAAUUCGGCCCUAAUUAUUGCUUGAAUUUUCCCUUCGUGUCUAAAAGCUGAUUUCUGCAAUCUAAGUGAAUUCUAAGUUUCAAUUUCAUUACUUUACUUGCUAUUGCUUUAAGAACGAUUGUUAUCCUUAUCCUUCAUUUGUUAGCCAUCACCCCAAGCCCCGUUACAACCCUUAACUUCAUCUUGAGUGUCAUGCGUUUCAAUUUGUGGAGUUUGAAUUUGAUAUGAGCAUAUGGUGUCACUGGUUCUCGCGUCUAAGUAAUAGCAUUCCAUUCAUGAGAUCAUAUCUAAACAUGCUUAUUAACUCCAGAAAUUGCUUUCUUUGUGAUACAUAUAUGUGAGCGUUCGUUUUCAUAUCUACAUCAAUCUUCUCACAUAUAACUAGUAUAGGGUGUGUAGUUAGAAAAUCUGAGUGAAAAUUGAGUGCAUAUCUUGUAAGGAAUUGAGUGAUUUCUCUAAGGCAUGUUACUACAUCAAAAACAUUGUUUUAAUUGAUUAAUUGUGAACUAGUAAGUGGUGACUAUGAUUAAGUAUGUGCUUAAGUGUAAAGAUGACUCAAAUCUGUGGGGAUAAUGAUUUUUAACAUGUCAUGUGUUGGAAAUCCCUGAGGCAAAUGUUGGAAGGUUUAGGUUGUGUUUUAUUUGUUUUGUUUCGUUUUAUCUCUUUGUUUUGCUCGAGGACUAGCAAAAGCUAAGUGUGGGGGAAUUUGAUAGGAGCAUAUUUAUGCGACUUCGUUGGCUUGUUCUUGUGCAUUUAUGUCGUGUUUCCUUAGUUUUUUAAUGUUUAAAGUCAUUUUCGUGUGUUUUCAGACUCUAAGUACAAAGUAUGCAAGAAGAUGCAUUUUGGAGGCCUUUGGAGCAUGUUUCGGGCUUGGAAUGGAUAGCAAAUGCAUGGGCCAAGUGGAUGGACGAAUUUGAGAACUAAAGAGGCCAAGGAUAUGAAGAAUUAUGGUCCAAAAGAUGAAGAAAACAGCCCAAAAAUCUGUCACCCCAACUUGCAUUCCUUGCCAUGCAAACCACAUAGAAUUCCAUUUGGAUUCCAUGCCAUGCUUGAUCACUCUUGUCCCCUACAUAAUUUCUAAUUUCAUGCUUCAAUUCAUUUAAUUAUUACACUCAAUUGCUUGAUACCUCUUGUUCCCUUCACUCAUUAGAUUUUAGACAACAUUUACAUCCAUUACAUGCACCAAUUGAUGCUCCAUCAUUCACAUUUGGAAUCCCAUGCCUUGUGUACCACAUGUUGCUGCACCUUUGACCCAUUUAUUGACACAUUUUCACCUCCCCUUCCAUCUCUAUGCAAUGUACACAAUCAUUCAUGCUCCCUAGCUUCAAGACCACUCCAUUUUACCCUUCACACUUUGCAUCAUCACUUCAUUUUCACCCUUGGCCAUUGCACACCACACACACAAAUUACCAUGCAUUUCAUCCUUAACCUAACCUGAUUUUCUAAGGUUUUUGGGGCCUAUAAAUACAUGUUUACACCCUUGGCCAAAGGAGAAUCCCCCAUAUUCAUCAUUUUAUAACAGAAAUUCGUCCAUACACACCCUAGGAAGCAAAACACCCCAAAAACACCAUUCUAGUGCCUAGAAAACAUAACAGCCACUCCACCUUCUUCCACCCUCUUUUCCUAGUUCUCUACCACUCCCCAACCAUCAAACACUCUUCCAAUCUCUCACCCUAAACCCUUCCACAAAUCCCCAUCCAUUCUACACCAUAAAUCCACCCAAAAUCUGUCCACAAGCUUCAUGCCGCAAGCAAGGGAAAUGAGGAAUCUUGGAUGCACUUGCUACCAAGUUGGAGCAUUUUAGGUGUUUUCUUUCCUUUGAUUUUAAUGUCUAAUUUUAUGUAUCUUUGCUUUGUGAGAAUGAGGAACUAAACCCCCUUAGUUGGGGGGUGAUUCGAAACCAUGUACAUGCUUGCAAUAUGAUUUGAUUACAUUCAGUUGUUAUUAUCAUAAGUUGCGGAUUCAAUUCGUUCAUCUACUUGAUUGAUAACUUAUUUGUGUAUGUUGAUUGAGAGUGCACGCUUAGUUUUCAUGCAUGAAUAUGAUGCUAGAUUAUGAGGGAGUUUCACCUAAUAGUUACAAUCUUAUAAUCACAAGUAGUGAAGGUCGCUUGAAAACGAUCGCGUUGAAUGAAUUCUUGGCACUAGUUUCAUGCUCAUCAUAGUAACGAAUGCCUCGUCAACACUUAUAGUUCUCAUUGUGCUUCAUGAUUCUUGAUUGUAUCUUUAUUGUGCUCAUCACGUAAGGAACCUUUGAGGAAUGCUUUGAAUUGUUGUAUGCGCUUUUCCAUCCAAUUCAUUAACUUAAGGAGAACUUGAAGGUUAAUUUAAGCGUAUCUAAUUAACUUGGGGUGUUGAGUUUCAUAAUUUAUUGAAAGAACAACUGAAAAUCAUUUUUUGCAAGUGUGUCAUGUGUGGAGAAGAACCUCCUAACUAGCCUUUUAUCCAUCCUUUUCAUCCAAAAAACGUUUUACAAUCUGUUUUGUUUUAAAGUUUAUGUUUUGUUUUCAAUUUUCGUCCAAAACAAAUCCCCCUUUAUUUUGAAGUCUUAGAUUAGUUAGAAAGUGUUUUGAUUUGUGUUUUCUAAGUGUGUUUUGAUUCAAGUUUUCAUCUUCGUCCAAGUUCUUGUUAGGUUCUCAAAACUGCCCAGAAAGUGGUUUUUAAGCAGUUUUGAGUCAUUAGGUUGCUGUUUUGAGUUUUUGUUUGUUUAAUAUUUUAAGUAUUUUGCAUUCUUCAGUCUAGUUUUUUGUUAAAAAUUUUGAAAGUCAGUUUUCAAGUGUUUAGCAAUCCCUCCUAAUCCCCGGCCUAGAACGAUCCCUACUUACAUACUUUACUACAUUUGAUAAAAAGAGGGUUUAAUUUUGUGUGUUAACUUAUUUUACGCAUCAGUAAGUUGUUAAUUUUUUAACACAAGUAUCUCACCACAUAUAUUGUGACAUGUGAUGUAUAAUUCCGUGUUCCGGAUAAGCACUAAAAAAUCUCUCGAUGAGAUGAAUACAACUGCUCCAUUUAAGAGUAUGAAGUUCAAGAAAUGGUUGAUUUUUUAUAUUUAAAUAAAAAGUUUAAAAAAAUGCAUUGAAUCAGUUGGAAAAUAAUUUUUAUAGUUUUUUUUUCCUUUUGUAUUCUUUUUUUUUUUGUUAAUUCAUUUUUAAUUUAAUAGUUUAAAUAUAAAAUAAAACAUUGUACAAUAUAAAUAUCUAAAUUACAUAUUAAUAGAACUUAACCACCAAAAACCAAUGAAAUUACAUUUAUAACCUUUAAUACAUAACUAGAAGAAAAAAAAAUUAGAUAAGGAAAAAAUGUGGGCAUUAAUUCCACACAAACAACUUUUUACUUUUUUUUUUCUUUGAACCUGACAAUCAUGUCACCCUAUCUUUACCCUCUAAACUCACACUCUCUCUCCUUAACAGCCAACCCUUUUUUUUAUGUCUACCAACCCCUUUUUUCGUUUUAUCAAACGAUGUUAUUUACAUUAAGGGAUGGAUGAGUGAGUUAUGUCUCACAAUGGGCCAUCAAUAAUGUAGUUUAAAUUUGCAUUUGGCGAAAAUCCAACGUCAAACCUCUCACUUAUCAAUGAAGAAGAAUAUCAUUAUAUUGUAGUAUUGAGUGCCAACAGUUAAAAACAAAUAACUCCUCCCUUUUAAAAAAAAAGGAAAACUAAUGAAAAGGGUUUGAAAACUUUGAGUUUUAACGAUAAGGACAAAAUAAAGGGUAAAGUGAAUAGUAUAAGGAUUGACUUUUUAGUGUAAAAAUGUAAUUUUUCGUUAAAGUGAAUGAUACCGGGAGUUUUUCUUUAAAAUUCCUUAAAAAAAACCAAUUUUUGAGAAAAGUAAAAAUAAAAAUUAUAUUUCUAACAGAUAGUGUGUGUGGCAUUUGCUAGUAUACAUAAUGUGAGAAGUAGGGAUGGGCACGGGCCGGGCCGGGCCCAUUUUUGAAGGGACCGGACCGGACCCGGAAUAAAGGGAGACGGGCCGGACCGAGCCGGGCAUUACAAAUCUCAAAAUAGGAACCGGACCUUACCCGGCCCGGUUGAAACGGGCCGGUUCGGUCUGGGUCCACGGGUCCUUUUUGUUUUCCUGUUUAAAGCACAGAUUGAAAUUUAAAAAAUAAAAAAAAAUAAAAAAAACCACAGAUUGCUGCGGUACUACACAGAUUGCAAUUGCACAAAUUUGCAAUCUGUACAAAUUUACAAUUGCACAUAUUCAAUACAUCCAAAAUAACAUUAUAGCGUCCAACAUCUAAAGAUCGAAUCAACAUACAAAAUAUUCAAAACCUACUUAAUCCAAGACAUCCAAAUUCCAAAGUUGUUAUAUUAUCACCACUUACCUCAAGUACAGUGUAGCUACCUUGUGGUUAAAACACCGUGAUUAGACAAAACUUGGUACUCAUGCCAAGUCUUACAGAGUGGCCAAAUAUCAGAAAGCCCGAAUACUGAAACAUAUCAAAGUGUAUAUGAUUCCAGGAAAAAUAUUGCAACGAUAAGCAUGCUCUAAAUUACCUUAUAUCCUAUUUUUAAAUUUGAGCUUUUGAUAGGGUUGGGUUCAAUGUCAAAAUAAUGUCACCAUAAGGUACUUCUUGUUUUACAUCAACAAGACCAUAAGUCUUCAAAACCUGAAAGUGACAAUGAACAAUCAUAUUAGUAGUUAUAUACCAAUACGUGCUCAAUUAGUACUUCUACAGGCAGUAUAAGUUUCCUUGACCCGGGAAAAAAAAGGAGCAUAUUUUUUACUUGUUCACAGAGUAUAAGAAAACAGAUAACAAACCAAUUUAACAUAGAAAUAAGUUGCUCUUAAAAUCUGUGAUGUACCAUAAGAUCCAUGCCACAUCAAAUACUUGGACUCUUGGAGGACUUCCAAAAAAAACUUGCAUUCAAACAAGAGAACCCAACUGAUAUGGUUCAAAAGAUUACCAGUGUUUCAUAGAACAUUCGGGCACAUAGCUUUCUAGUUUUUCCUUCUAAAAUUUUGUCCAAGCUGAGAUCUCCAGUGACGUCUUCUGAAGUUGAGGAGAUAGAACAUUCCCUUUUCAAAAAUUGAGCCACAGCCCUGCAUACCAAACGGGGAGAAUAAUAAGAAAAAUAAAUAUAAUGAGCCAUAUAUAAAUACAGUGACUAACUAAAUCCUGUGUAAAUAAAGAAAAGAAACAAUUGAAAGAGAAGUACCUGGUUCUAACUGACAAUGAAUCAACUCCUUGUGUCCCUUGAGAUCCCGGUAUUCCUUGUGUCGCUUGAGAUCCUGGUACAAGCGUAGAUAUGUCAUCCAAACAGUGUACACAAAAGUAAAUGAAUAUGAAGAAUGUGUACGCUUAUUUGUACAGGCAGCCAAGAAAAACAUUAUGCACAAUUUACAUGAUCUCUUGAAUAACAGAUUAAAUAAAGAAGAACAGUUCAACUUCUACAAUUAGUCCACAAGGAAAAGAAGGUCAAAAUGAACGAGGGUUAGGAGUUAGGAUUAUCAUAAAAAUAAGAAUAAGUUUAUAUACUUUGAAAACACCUAAUAAACAAGCUAAAAAUUCAGAAAAUCCACCAAAUCAGCAAGAACAAACAUGAACAUCCCAAUAGAUUGAGCAUAGAUUACAUACAUGAUACAUCCCAAUAGAUCAAAGUUCAACUAAAAAGUUACAAACAUCAGAGGUUAAAGAACCUAUAAAAAAAUUUAAAAAAAAAAAGCAAAAAAGAAGUUAAAGAAUUCACCUGAACUGGCAACGGCGGUGGAGUGUUAGUGAUCGCAAGGGCGGUGAUGUCGUCGGGAAGGAGAGAAAGAGAAUCGAGAAGAUGGGUGGUGCGGGUUCCUGGGUUCUCUAGGUCUAGGGUGAGAUGUCGUCGAGGAGAAUAAUCGAGAAGAAGAUCAGCUCGGUCGUCAGGGCUCAGACUCACGACGGCGGUGAUGUCGGAGGUGGGCAAGGAGGUGGGUGGUGGACCGUGGAACUGUGGAAUGGAGGGGCGAGGAGAGGGGACGAGGUCAGAGACGGAGAGGUCGAGGACUCGGGUCAAGAGAGAGACUCAAUCAGAUUUAGAGAUACUAGGGUAAAAAUCAACGGUCAUGAUAGGGAGGUAUGUUUAUUUUCAAUCUGGGCUGUCCAUUUCAAUUACAAACGGGCCGGUCCGGGGCCCCGUUUUUCUAUACAUUUGGAACCGGCCCGACCCUAAAAUGCCAUUGCACCGGCCCGCCCCGCCCCGUUUCCCCUAUUAAAAAACAGGACCCGCCCCGUACCCGCCAAUACCCGCCCCUACCCGCGGGCCCAUGGCCCGUUUGCCCACCCCUAGUGAGAAGGCUAAAAAGGCGACACUUUCAAAAUACCUAAAAUGCCCCCUCUUCAAAGAAUGCAAUUUAAUAAAACUACUUCACAUACAUGACGGAGUAGUUACUAAUAUAGUUUUUUAUAUUUUCAUUUAGCUUUCAAUAUACCUAAAAUGCCCCCUUUUCAAAAAAUGUAAUUUGACAAAACUACUUCACGUAUAUAUAUUCAUUAUUAUAUUUUUAAACACAUGUAAAUUCAGUUUUUUUUUAAUUUAUAUAUAUAUAUAUAUAUUCAUUAUUAUAUUUUUAAACACAUGUAAAUUCAGUUUUUUUUUUAAUUUAUGCAUAUAACGAAGAAGAGCAAAUUGCCACACGCCUGCAAGGCUAGUAAAGAAUAUAAAUUCAGGAGGCCAAAUGGUGAAUCAUUCAUAAUCCCAAAAAUACCCUCUCUAAUUAAAAUUUUAAAUAAAACAAUUUAAUUUCACAAAAAAUACAAACUAACAAAAGAAAAAAUUGUCAAAUGUGUAAGCGUGUAGCAAGAAACUACUUGCAAAAAGAGAGAAUAACAAUACGAAAAUCAUCUUUGUCACAUUUUAGACCAAAUUGACACAUUAAGAAGUUGCCAAAUUUUUUGAGAAUAUUACUAAAUAUGUCUCAUAUUUCAAAAUCAAAUAUCAAUUCGUUUUUGAAUUUCCUACCCAAAGUUAAAAUUAAAAAUAGUUUCAGUCUUUUUAGUAUUUUUCAUAGAAUAAAAAUAAUUUUAGCCAAUUGAUCAAAAAACAAUAAAGUUUGUUCAACCUUAGACCAUCUUCAAUGCUUGGGCUAAAAGCCAAAUAUUUUAGCCCAAAAAUAGUUUUUCUGCUCCAACCGUUCUAACCUAAAAUUUUAGCCUGGACUUAUUAAAGAAUAAACUUAGGCUAUUUUUUUUCUUAAAUUAAUUUUUUUUAAAUUAAUAUGUAGACUAUCGUAAAUUAAUUUUAUGAAUAUUCUAAUAAAAAAAAUUUAAAAUUCCGAUAAAUAUUUUGACUCGGUUCGAUGGAGCUCAUACCGAUUUCUCGGCUAAAUUUUGGAGGGAAUCUGGCAUUAGUUUAGUAUUUAGCAUUUAGCCCAAAUUUUCCCCUUGGGUUAGAGUGAGUUUGGGCGGAAAUUUUUUAGGGUAAUUUGACUUUUAACUCACCGAUGGUCUUAACAAACACGGACUGUAGCAUAGAAACGGCAGUUCCUGUUAAACCUCUUUUCCUCCCCUCACUCUUCUCUCCCAUGGCAACUGCAGUGCUGCCAGUAUCCGUGCCCGCCAGAAAGCAAGCCCGACCCGGUCAGGGCGGAUUCGAGGCCCAUGGACUAUCCGAAGAAGAGGCCUGGGUCCGAGCCAUCGCCGAAAUCGUCAGCUCCAUGGUCGACCUCUCCCGGAAGACCAAAACGUCGACCUAAACGCCCUCAAGACCACCGCGUGCCGCAAGUACGGUCUCUCACGUGCGACGAAGCUGGUUUAAAUGAUCGCGGCUCUGCCGGAGUCGGACCGUGAGGCUCUUCUCCCUAAGCUCAGGCCAAGACGGUCCGAACCGCCUCAGGCAUCGCCGUCGUGGCCGUGAUGUCGAAGCCUCAUAGGUGCCCCCACAUCGCCACCACCGGGAAUAUUUGCGUGUACUGCCCCGGUGGUCCCGAUUCGGACUUUGAGUACAGCACUCAGUCUUACACUGGAUACGAGCCUACUAGCAUGCGCGCAAUUUGGGCAGGUAUGGCUUUCUCUAGUUCAUUGACGCAUUUUAUCGAACACUUGAUAGGGAAUUCAAAAUUUAUGUUAGUCAUGAUUCGUUUCGAAGUUUAAAGUUUUCGGCUUGAUUGAUUUUUCACCAUGAAAUUGAGAGCUUUGUAAUGAAGAGAUUAUUUGAAGGAAUUGGUGUUUAAAAUUGGAUUAGUGAAUUUAAUUUGGUAGUUAAUCUUUUGGUUUUGUGUGUUUAGAUACAACCCAUAUGUCCAGGCUAGAAGAUCAGCUGAAGAGAUUGGGUCACAGUGUAGACAAGGUUUGGAGAUUUCCAUGAUAGAGUAAUAUGCAUGGUUGUCGCCUUAUAACUGGUACUGAAUUUGUGUUUUCAGGUCGAGUUCAUCUUAAUGGGCGGUACUUUCAUGUCGUUGCCCGCAGAUUACCGUGAUUACUUUAUUAGAAAUCUGCACGAUGCGUUAUUGGGACACACUUCUGCCAAUGUUGAAGAGGCAGUUGCCUACUCUGAGCAUGGUGCUACUAAAUGUAUUGGAAUGACCAUUGAAACCUGAGAUUUUAGUUUAUUUCCGAAGCCUUUAAUUUCUCAUUCUUGUGUUUAAAUUGGCUGACAGUAAUUUUUCGCUUACCAUCUUGUUUCCAGUUCAUCUGGUCGGUCCAGAAAGUUAACAAAGGUAGUUGUAACUUUUUAUUCUGCUGGAGGCCAGAUUAUUGCCUUGGACCUCACUUGAGACAAAUGCUUUCUUAUGGUUGUACAAGACUAGAAAUUGGAGUUCAGAGUACAUAUGAGGAUGUGGCUCGGGACAACAAUAGAGGUCAUACCGUAGCUGCAGUGGCUGAUUGUUUUUACUUGGCAAAGGAUGCUGGUUUUAAGGUCAGCCUAGUACCUUAUCAUAAAACUCACUUACCUUCACCGUGGGAAAAGAUUGGAUUUUGGACCUUUUAUAUCUACAGUGACAGGAGAUUAAUCUUUCAUCAAAACAAUUUGUGAGCCUGGAUAUAUUUUUCAAAUUAUUGUGCUCUCCCAUAAUUCAGCGAGAAUAUUUUAUCAUAUUCUAGUCAUUCAUGUUGAUUACUUUUGUUUCACACUAAUAAUUUUAUGCAUUUGCUCUAGGUGGUUGCACACAUGAUGCCUGACCUUCCUAAUGUAGGGGUUGAGAGAGACAUGGAGAAUUUCGGGAGUUCUUUGAGAGCCCCUCGUUCAGAGAAAAUGGCCCUAAAAUUUAACCAACACUCGUGAUCUGUGGAACUGGACUCUAUGAGCUUUGGAAAACGAGCAGGUACCUGAGCAACUUGUGGACAUUGUAGCUCGGAUCCUAGCCAUGGUCCCCCCUUGGACGCGUGUUUAUAGAGUUCAGCGAGACAUUCCAAUGCCUUUAGUUACUUCUGGGGUUGAGAAAGGAAAUCUUCGGGAGUUAGCUUUGGCUUGGAUGGAAGACCUGGGCUUGAAGUGCCGUGAUGUUCGAACACUGAGAGGCUGGAAUUCAGGUAUGUGGGUAGUCAUUCUUGUUUGAACAUGUUUUUUGGAACUGAGGUUUUGAUUUGCAAGUCGAACAAGGCAUGAAAUUCGGGUUGUUGUAAGUGGAGCGAGUGAUGAAAUAUACGGUUUUAGUUUUGGAAUGAAUUUGGUUCUGAAGUUGGAGUUUUUUUGUUUGCAGGUAUACACCAGGGGAGUUCCCGUUGCCUUCAGAAACGCGGUCUGCUGAGUUCUAUAAGAUGGUGCCUAGGAUGCUUUCGGAUGCAGGUUACAACCUAUAGAAAUUAGCAGUUACUGCAAGAGUGGAUAUCACUGCAAACACAAUCUAACUUAUUGGAAGAACAAGCCUUUCUAUGCUGUCGGCCUUGGCUCCGCUAGCUAUGUCGAUGGCGUGAGGUUUUCGAGACCAAAGAGGAUGAAGAGUACAGGUAAUGUGGAGAAUAUGGAGAAUGAUUUGGUGGAGUGCGGUGAGGUACCGUAUGGUACGUAGACGGGACGAAACGGAUGUUGUUAUGGAUAAAUUUUUCAUUGGGACCGGAAUACGCGUGGUACAUCACGUGUUUUUAUAUAAAUUGUGGGAAAUUUUAUUUUUUAAGUUGUUAACUUUUUAACACAUAUCACACCAUUUGUAUAGCGAUACGUAAUGUACCAUCUCGUGUUUCGGUCACACCAAAAAAAUUCUCUCAUUGUUAUCUUCUCUCUUAAAAUGAAGAGAAAACAUUACAUUUAUGUACAAUUAUUGCUUCCGCUGAAAUUAAUAAUUAACAAAUGCAUUAUGAUUCUUACCCUAUUAAGAUAGAUCAUAGUUAGGGGUGAAUUUGGGUACGGUUAUCGUACUAAAAUCCUUGUACUAAAUACCAUACCAAAUUUUUGGGUUUGACACAAUUUAUUAUCAUUAUUAUGCCAAAUUUUUAGCAUAACUAAUUAUGGUAUGUCAAAUAGUUAUAGUUCGGUUAACAUGGUAUGAUCAUAGUAAUUACCACUUUAUUUUGGAUCACUUUUUCAGCCUAAAAUCUGUUUUUUUUUUAAUUUUUUAUUUUUAUAAAUUUAUAUUUUGUUCCCAACCCAAUUGAAGGGCAACCCCUCUCCCUUUCUUCCAUCGUUCUCCGGCUUCUACUUCUACUGGUCACUAACUAUGAAAGGUAUGAGUGUCCGCCAUGGAUGACCGUGUUCUUGUCAACAAUUUAAUUUUCCAAUAUCUUCUUCUAUUGAUAACUUUACAUGGAGUGUUAUAAGUUGCAUGGUUUACAGGACGAGCAAAAGAAGGCUGGAGGUACUACUCAUUUAACUUUAACAUAUUUUUUGCCAUUUAGUAUUACGGUUUGGUGAUAUUCCUUCUCAUUUUUAUGGAUGGCGAAUUCGAUACCAAAUUAGAUUGGGCUUAACCGAACUCACCCUCUCUAGUUUAAAAUAUAUCGAUGUACUAAAAAAAAAACUUAAGCAUAUUUUUCUCAAAUUAUUUUGAUUAAAUGACAUGGAUUAUAAUUAAUAUUUUUUUAAUAAACAAUAUUAACUACACUAAGGGAGAGGGGAUGGGCUACCAAUAAUGUGGUUCAAAUUCGUCUUUGGCGAGAAUCGAAUUGGAGACCUCUCAUUUAUAAAUGAAGAGAAAUAUCAAUAAGCCGUAGUAUUAAGUAGCUAUUAUAAUUAAUACUAACAUUUGCCUACAUACUUUGUGUGUAUGAACACAUUUUUUAGAAAAUGAGAAGGAGAGGGAGAGAAAGAGAGAAAACGCGGAAGGAGUGAGAGGUUUUUUAUUUUGGUUUUUUUUUAAAUAGAUGUUUCAAUAAAAAACAAUAAAAUUUAGACCUAUGAAAUUACAUUAUUGCCCAUCAUUUUUUUGUGUGAUAGAAGACUAAGUUAUCUUCUCACCCUCUUUUGGUUGAUAAAGAAGAUUUCAUUAAUUAAUAGAGAUUAUACAUAAUAAAUAAAAUGAAAAAUAAUAAAAACUGAAAGAAAAAACCGUACCGUUCAAACUUCAAAGUUAGGGGGAGGGUAAGAAGGACAAGGAUUGGCUGCACUCCCACUUUUGGUGCCCUCCCGUGCCCUCCUGUUUGUGUGGUUACGGUUAAGUCACGUCAACAUUUUAUAUUACUAUUCAUUUUUGUCUUAUUAUCUCUAUAAAAAAAAUAUAUAAAAUGUUGACGUGAUUUCACCGUAACCACACAAAACAGGAGGGUACCAUAAGUGGGAGGGCAGACAAUCCUUGUCUGGGUAAGAAACCUCUCCUUCUCUGCCGCAUAUCUCCUAGUUUUAUUUAUUUACUUAAUUUUUUUUUGGUGAUAAAAAAACCUUCCUGAUCUCUUUACUCUCUAGAAACUCAUGUGUUAUUACCAUUUAUCGGACGAUAUGUUUUCCCGCUUGUUCAGAAUGUUCUCAUGCUUGGCCAAUGAGAGAAAAAAUCGUUUUCCACAAUCUAAUUUAUCAUUCAAAAUACCAGGAAUGAAGAAUUAGGGUUUUGGGUUUAGUUUUGUUUACCGAACAAAAUAAUUCAAAAGAUCGAGCAAUUGCGCAAUAUGCUUUGUGUGCUUCUUAAUUUUGUAUAAAUCGAAUCAAAUCAACAUGCAGUAAAGAUGGAUUUUCUCUCCUCCUCCUUUCGUUCGUGACCAGUUGAUUUUUUUUCCUUUUGAGUUCUAUUGGAUUACUUGAUUCUUAUUCAUUUAAUAUAAUUGUUUAUUUAUUACUUAUAAUUCACAUCAUCAUCCAUGUCACUUAAGGUUUAAACUUUUCAACAUUAGUCUUAAUCAAGACCAUUGAAUGUUAUAAAGUCUAAUGGCUAAAAAAGAGUGUAAAAAUAUCUGUCCCUUGAUCAUAUUCUAUAUGUAUUUUUAGAUAUGAAUAUAAAUUAUUCUCUACUAAUUUUUCAAUACAAUAUGGUAAUAUUGUUAGUAAUAUUAUCGAAUACCAAUAUAUUCCUAAAAUUUCAGUUUGCUACAAUAUCGUGUCAUUAUCGAUAGGCUCAAAAUCGACAUGGUACGAUUGUCAAUCGGUGACACGAUAAUUCGACAAAAAAAAUUCACCCUAGAGUUAAUAACUCACCCGUGAUAAGUGUUGAAUCAGAAACUAAAAAAGUAAUUGAAUUUUACCGGAAGUGUAUAUAAACUUUUGUAAUGUGAAUUAAAAUUACAGUGUGCUUGAGUGAUUUUUCAAAACCUUCUGCUUGUUAUUUGAAAUAAGAGUUUUCUAUUAUAUUUUUAGUUUUUUUCGUGCACCAAUUAUUUUUCUACCGACCCCAAUUUCGAAGCGCAACUUUAAUUGACCUCACCACGCAAUUAUUGUUGGCGAGCAAAAUACAUCCUACGCGGUUUAUUUACACUAAAAAAUCAAACCUGCUACUAUUCACUUUACUUUUUAUUUUGUCUUUAUCAUUAAAACUCAAAGUUUUCAAUAGGGGUGGGCACUUAAAACCGAAAACCAAAACCAAAACACGAACCAAAUCGAACCGCACCGAACGGUUUGGUUUUGUGGUUUUGGAACGGUUUUGGUUUUGAAACCGAACCGCAACAUAGAAAACGGUUUGAUUUCGGUUUUGGCUUUUGAAAACUGCACCGAAACCGAACCGCACCGCAAAUAUUAAUAAACAUUUAAUUAAAUGUCCAUAUUAAAUUUCAUGUUUUAAUUGGUUGUUUGUUAGAAUCCAUGCACUUAGUAUGGACACAACCACACUAGAAUAUCAUCAUUCAUCACUUUCUUUCGUUCAUUAACUUGAAGGACCUUUGUUAUUUAAUACCAUCACACACACACACACAUAUGUACAAGGGUGGACUAAUCUUGUUAUCAAGAGUCGAACAAUGAUUUAAUGAAGUGCACUCAUUUGAAACAUGAUAUCACAUAUUCUAGUAUGAAAGUUUCACUCUUGUUUAAUGAAUUCAAAGUUAUUCAACUUGUUUUAUGUUAUACCUUGUACGGGACACCUUUUAGUUGCACAAACAUAUUUUAACAUAACAACUGCAUGCAACAUGCUAAUUGUUUAUAUAACAAAUGUAUUUUUCUUAUUACUACUGGGAAAUGCUUAUUAAUAUGUUAAAUUGCAAAUUGUACACUUUUUCUUAAAAACCAAACCUAAACCGUUUGAAACCGCACCGAACCGAACCAAACGGUUUGGUUUCAUUUCGGUUUUGGUUUCAAAACCGCACCGAAUCAAACUGCAAAAAAAUUUAGUUUCGGUUUUGGUUUCACUCAAAACUGCACCAAAUCAAACCGUGCCCACCCCUAAUUUUCAAGUCAUUUUCAUUAGUUUUCCUUAUAUUCUACGAGCGAGCUCCAUUCCCUUCAUCUCAUAUUUGAUAUUUUUGUUUUCAUCGACAAAGGAGCCCAACAAUAACGACGUCAGAGCAACUGAAGCAUAUCAUUGCAAUUUGCAACUCUUUUGUGAGCUUCCAUAUGCCCCAGGGUAUGUUAUUCACUUAUUCUGCACUCUUACUACCAUAUCUAAUAUCCUUCUAGAAAAUUUCUGGAAGAAAGUAUAAGGGCUUAUGAGCUACAUCUGACUUUUGUGUCACUUUUUUCUUCUUCUUAUUAUAUAUGUAAUUCAUACUCUGAGCAUUCAUCAUUAAACACAAGACCUCAAAUUCGAUUUCUUCCUCGACAAUUACAUAUAUUAAAAAAAUAAAAUACAAAAUGAAAGUUUUUUAUUUUCUGUAAAGCCUAUAACAAUUUAUUGAAAAAAAAAAUGAAAGUAUUCAACAAGUCUAUUACAAUAUCUUAAAAAAAUAAAAUGCAAAGUGAAAAUUAUCUAUUUUCUGUGUAGACGGGUCUAGGAGGGCGCCUCAGUAGGUCUAGGAGUCAUUUCUUAAUUUUUAAAUUCCUAAGCAUUAAUUGGGACGGUGGCCAACCGUCUAACGCCGCUGGGAUUUUUAGAACAAUGGUUAACGUGUGGACCCAAGACUUGUUAUUUUCGAAUCGUUCAAUGUUUGGUUAACGGGUGCUAAAAAUUGUGUGGUAUUUGUGUAGAGUCCAAUCUACUAGACCCAAAACAUUCCGUUCUUUUCGACGUGUGUACUUUCAUUUAACAACAAUUUUGUGAUACUUGUCAACUGCCACCUACAAAGAAUUGAAACUUUUGGUUAUCCUUGACACUGACAAAAAUCCAUGACAUUUGGUGGAAGAAUUAGAUUGAAUGAGUUCGAAAUUUUCAAUCAUAGAUUUUUGUUCUUGAACCAAAUUCUUUAAUUCUGUGUUCUUGCAAAAAAGACUCGAGAAGUAGGUUUCGGACUUUUGAAGUAUGGCCCUUUGUUAAACUGAAUGAAAAGAACAUAAAUUUAAAUUUCUUGAGUACCUUAUUUAGAUCUUGAUUUCUUUUGGCUUGUGGUUUCGCUUUGAAAACUAAGCACAUAGUCUGUAAAAUACAAAAAUUUAUCCAUUGCAUUCUUUUUUUCUUUUUCUGUUGUUUUGAAACUUGUCUAUUCUGUAGAUAGAUUGCAUACCAAGUAUCGAAGGCCAAAAUGGAGUCAGCUGCAUCACUAUUGAUUGGGAAAAUUGCGUUCAUUCUUGAGAACGAAGCAUCUUCCAUAGCGGCAGUCCGUGAUGAAGUUGAUGAGCUUAAGCUGGAGCUCAUAAGCAUGAAAUCUUUCUUAAUAGAUGCUGAAGGCAAGGAACCACAAACAGAAGGAGAGAGAACGUGGGUUACAAGCGUCAGAGAUUUGACCUGCGAUGCUGAAAAUGUCAUUGAUGAGUUCCUGUAUCACAUAUAUGACAAGCAAAGUGCGACUCCAUUUGCAAAAUUGCUCCACAGAACCAUUUACUUUCCAAAGAAUCUUUGGUAUAGGCAUCGAAUAGCCAAAAAAUUACAGAAAAUCACAAAAAAGAUCAAAGCCAUUCCAGAGAGGAAUGAGAGAUAUGGUGUCUCUACAAUAGAAGGAACAAGUUCGGAUAGUGUUCCCAGAUGGGUGAAGAACAAAGCCGAGUCUUCUCUUUAUAUUAUGGAAGAUGAACUAAUCGGGAUUGAAGACAAGAAGCAAACGUUAAUAGGAUUGUUGAUGAAUGGAGAGGAAAAUAAAAUGGUUGUGUCUGUGGUCGGGAUGGGAGGAUCAGGCAAGGCAACUCUUGUUGCCAAUACCUUCAACAACGAAAACGUAAAGCGACAUUUUGAUUGUUAUGCAUGGAUCACUGUUUCUCAAACUUAGGUGAUUGAAGACUUAUUCAAACAAAUGAUCAAGAAGUUCCACGAAGGAAGAAAGGAAGCGGUGCCUGAACAUUUGAAUUCCAUGAGUUAUGAAGAAUUGUUAGAGAUGUUGUCGACAUACUUGAAGUCUAAAAGGUACCUCGUUGUAUUGGAUGAUGUGUGGGAUAUUAAACUUUGGCAAGAAAUAAGGAUACCACUUCUUAAUAGACACCAUGGAAGUCGAAUCAUGCUUACAACACGAAAGAAAGACAUAGCAUUAUAUUCUUUUGAAGUUGAAAGUCGUCCUUUUGAAAUUGAACCUUUGGAAAACAAUGAAGCUUGGGAGCUCUUUAGCAAGAAAGCAUUCUCAAGUUAUGAUAACAAAUCUUGUCCACCAGAGCUUGAAUCAUUAGCAUGGAAACUUGUGGAAAAGUGUGAAGGCCUACCUCUGGCAGUGGUAACUUUAGGUGGUCUAAUGUCUUCGAAGAGGUCAUCAUCGGAAUGGAGAAGCGUAUAUAACAGCUUAAAUUGGCACUUGACUAACAAUCCUAUGUUAGAACCAAUGAGCAGCAUCUUGUUGCUUAGUUUCAACAAUUUGCCCAACCGGUUGAAGCCCUGUUUCCUAUAUUGUGCCUUUUUCCCAGAAGAUUGUCUCAUCAAAAGAAAAAGGCUGAUCAGGUUGUGGAUAGCUGAAGGGUUUGUUGAACCAAUUGAUGGGGUCACACCAGAAGAAGUUGCAGAGGGCUAUCUUUUGGAACUUAUUGUUCGUAGCAUGCUACAAGUUGAAAAGAAAGAUGCUGGACGACUAAUAGCAUGUAAGAUGCAUGAUCUUGUGCGUGAGCUUGCUUUGUCGACAUCAAAAAAGGAAAAGUUUGGUGCUACGUAUGUUGGCAGAGAAAUAGAAAGAGAAAUUAAUUCUUGCACAGGUAUGUCAGAGCUUAGCUCCUUUCUUGUCUUUGGCGCGUUAAAGAAAUUGCCUUCUGGAUUCAAGUUGUUGAGAGUUCUAGAUGUGCAGGAUGCUCCAAUUGAUAGAUUUCCAGAUGAACUAGUGUACUUGUCCAACUUAAGAUAUUUAAAUUUGAAGAGAACUUUAAUUGACGAGCUUCCAGAAUCCAUCGGACGGCUUCGCAACCUUCAAACCUUGAACAUCUGUCACAGUAAGAUAAAGGCACUUCCAAAAGCGAUCUCCAAGUUAGUAAACCUACGCCAUCUAAUCAUGUAUUGUUACACUGGUGAUUGGGCGGCCUUUAGAUCUCUCAAUGGGACAAAAACAGCAUCUGAUCUAAGUAAAUUACAGAAACUGCACGUUUUGUCAGCAGUUGAAUCAGAAGGAAAGAUUAUUAAAGGCAUCAGGAAUAUGACCCAACUUACAAGCGUCGGUAUUACAAAUGUGAAAGCAAGUGACGAGAUGGACCUCUGUGACUCCCUUCAAAAGUUAGAGCUCCUUCACGAUUUGUCUUUAAUGGCAAGUGAUGAAGAGGAGUUUCUUUGAGUUAAUGCACUACGUUCGCCUCCUCCAGACCUUCAAAAGGUUAUUUUGGCCGGAAAACUAGAAAAGGUACCUCUUUGGUUUGGUUCACUCCAUAACCUGACAUGUAUGUAUCUAAUGUGGUCUAGACUUGAAGAAGAUGUGCUACCUCACAUUCAAGCAUUGCCGAAUCUUGAAAUGCUUUCGCUAAUUAAUGCAUAUGUUGGCGAAAAAUUGUGUUUCUCCAGAGGCUUCAUAAAGCUUAAGCAUUUGCUGUUGUGCAGCUUCCCGGUAUUGAAUAGUAUAGCAAUAGAGAAAGGGGCGAUGCCAAAUCUCCAGGUCUUACGCAUUGGGAACUGCCUGGAGUUAAAGGCAUUGCCGCAGGGCAUUGAGUUCCUUGCUAACGUAGAACGCUUGAUUCUGUAUUAUGUUCCAAUGCAACUUAUAGAGUCCGUAAGAUGAGGCAUGGAUCGUCCAAAGGUACAACAUAUUCCUGAAAUCCACCUGUAUUAUGGGAGAGAAAAUAUGGAGUGUCAUAAAAGUUUUUCCGGUAUUCACUCUCGUAGAAGGUAUGCACACUUUUAUCCUUACAUAAAAAUUUGAUUAAUGCUAGACUUACCACAUUUUUUGUAUCACAUUUGUACCACCUUUUUUUAUAGAGGUAGAGCCCAUUGACAUAUGUGGGUCUUAUUUUUAUUAGAGAUGUGGUAUAAAUGUGCUAUGAAAAUAUGGUAAAAGUAACAUUUUUGUAAAAAAAAAAAUUCCACAACGUAAUCAUUUGAACUAUUACGUUAGAAAGUUAAAAGGUUGGUGAUUUUCACAGUCCUAUUUUUUUUUUCUUAUACGCUCCUCUUGUUUUUGUUCGUUAGUGUUUUGAUUUAUUCAAUUGUUAGGCUACGAAAAAGAGGAAAUAGUGCAUCGGAGUGUAAAAAUCAUUUUCCCUUACAAUUUGCUUGUCCAAUCUUAUAUAGAAGUCUGGCAAAGACAUAAAAUAUGCAUGCAUUGAGAUUUUAUUCAGUAACUGUGUUUCUUUUGUUUUGUAACAUUAGAAUCAAGCCUCAGAAGCACUUGUGAGACUGCAUUGAGUUCUCCUUUGUCCCAGUUGAUUUUACGGUGAAUCUUGACUUUCGUUAUAGUAACAGAGCUGACUAUAUACGUGUUGAGUCAUUUAUCAUGCAAGGAAGAAUCCGUCCAUUGUGUGUUGUGUGAAGUUGCAAACAUUGAUCGAUCUUGGUUUCUUAUUUGCCCUUUGUGAAAUGGAAUAAUGCCCAAGAUUUUAUUUGUGUAACUGAAACUUAUAUUAUUGAUUGCUUGCGUGUGUUUUGAUGUAAUACUAUUGGUUUGGAACUGAAUUUGUCACUGAUGAGAAUAAUGCUUAAGAUUCAGUUUGUGUAACAAGAACUUAUAUUAUUGUUUGAUUGCGUGUCUUUUGAUGUAAUAAUAUUGGCUUGGAACUGAAUCUGUCACUGAUGAGACCAAUUCUAACUAAACCAAUGAUUAUGACCCAUUUUUCAUUUUCAAUAUUUAUUGCUUUUUAUCAAGUUUUCAAAUAUAUAUUGUUUUAGGUAGGCAAAUUUUGUGGCGGAUCUUUUAGCUUACUAUGGUUUUACCUGAGAAAUUAUUAAAUGGUACGAUAUUACCACGUCGGCCGGUAAUACUUUUAUUCAAAUUUUAACAUGUGUGCAGUUUUUUACAUGCUUAUAGCUGGAUUAAAAAGCUUUUUUAAUUUAAAACUAUUUUUUUUUCAGUUUAAACAAAAUUAAAAGAACUAAAAAUAGGAGGCGUUUUGACAUAGAUGCCUAGGGUUUAGCUUUUAAAUUUUUGAGAUAAGGCAUUCUCCAAUCAAAGGGUUCAUAGGGCCGAAAAUAGCCCGAAAACCGUCUUCAACUGAGGACUAGGUCAAAGGGCUCGUGGGCCCCACUGAACAAAAAAGGGCCAAAAGGCCAACUGAUUGGCUCAACCCAGCUAGCCAACCCCAGGCCAAGCCAGAAAUUUGAAUACAACAGCUAUCUGACGUCAACUAGCCGUUAUAUUUUUAAAAAAUAUUUAACUAUAGACCUAAAAAGGUGAUUAGUUCAAUGUUGGGCGUUGGGAUGUUCAUUUUAUAAGCAUGUUUGGUUGCUCAAAUCUCUCCCACGGACGAUGUGGGACAAAUAUAAUGGAUAGUUUUUAAAUUUAAGUUGUUAUAGUUUUUAAAUUUAAAUAAUAAAUUAUAUUUGAUCAUAUGGUCCUCGAAUGGAGAUGAUUUUUUGUCACAUGACCAUGUUUAAUCCUAUGAUCCUCUGACCCUCGGUUGAAGAUGGUAAAAAAUAUAGUCCUGCACUAUUCAUUAAAGUAUUAAUUUCUUGGACGGCCAGACCUUCGGUUUGAGCUGAUGGAAGAUAAACACUUAAAAAGAUUAUGAUUGUAAUAUUGAGUAGAAUAUAUAAUUUAAUUUCGCUUCAGCAUAUAUAGAUGAAUUGAGGAUCUCACUUUUCCAGAACUUCUUGUUUCUCUGAUUUGCGUAGUAAUUUGUGCAUGGGUUUUACCGAUCGAGCAGGUUGUCUAUACUGACACUUACCAAGAUUUGUUUUUGUUCUUUUUGUAAACAGGAUAUUCUAGUUGGGUUACUGUGAUUAAGAAAGUGUGGCCGGAACACUACUUUUCCCGAACUCAUGGGAAAGUGUUCUAUUGUUCGUGAACUCCAUGUUUAUGGGACUGCUGUUCCAGUUCAUGGGUGGUGGUAUCCACACUUCCCUUUUAUCUUUUUCUCUCCUCUUAAUUUCCGUUCGUCAGUUCAAAUGUAUAGAAAAAGAUUAAAUAAUAGAAAUUAACAGGGAGUAUAUGAGGUAAAAAAUAGUGUGUCAAUUAUUAAGAAAACUGUUUCAUUGAAAAAAUAAUUAGAGUACAUCAUUGGUUUAUAUAGAGCUAUACAUAUGCCAACUAAGUGGCUAUACAUUUGCCAACUAAGCACAACAAUCCUACCUAUCCUACAACUAAUUACAAUAGAAAAAUCAAGAUAAACUAUCCUUAAUAUGCCCCCUCAAACUGAACGUAGGCAACCGAAGUGAUAGUUUGUCUCGAAGAAGUAAAAACCGAGAAGUGGACAGAGAUUUGGUACAAAUAUCCGCAAUUUGGUCUUGUGAACACACAAACUGAACAAUGACAGCAUUGGAAAGAACCUUUUCCCGGAUAUAGUGAUAGUCAAUCUCUACAUGUUUUGUCCGGGCAUGAAAUAAGGGAUUCUUGGCCAAGGAUAUCGCCGAAAUGUUAUCACACCACAAUGUAGGAGAACAUGGUAGAGAGACACCAACAUCAACAAGUAACUUGCAAAGCCAUGUAAUUUCAGCAACGGUGUUUGCUAAGGAGCGAUACUCUGCUUCAGUGGAGGAACGAGCCACGGUUGGCUGCUUUUUAGCACUCCAACUAAUGAGAGAGUUGCCCAGAAAAAUGCAAUAGCCACCUGUAGAUCUUCUAUCCAGUGUACACCCUGCCCAAUCUACAUCAGAGAAGGCAUUAACAGUGAGAGAACCUAAGGUUUUGGGAAACCAGAGACCAAGCUCAAGUGUGCCUUUCAAAUAGCGCAAUAUGCAUUUGACUGCCUGGAAAUGCGAUUGUCUUGGUUGAUGCAUAAAUUGACAAACCAAGUUAACAGCAAAAGAAAGAUCAGGUCGGGACCAAGUAAGAUAUUGCAGGCCACCGACAAUCGAUCUGUAUUCUUCUGGAUUAGAGAGCAAAGGAGAAUAGUGAUCCAGCUUAAAUGUACUACGAGGUGUAGCACAUGGUUUUGCAUCGGCCAUGUUGGUCUUGGUAAGUAGAUCAAGAAUAUAUUUAGUUUGGGAGAUAAAGAUUCCAGAGGAGGACCUGUGAACCUCAAUGCCAAGAAAAACAUGUAAGGGACCCAGAUCCUUGACCGGAAAAAGAGCACUGAGUUGAGCUAUUGUAUCCUUGCAAACUUGGGAAAAUGGAUCGGUGACUAAAAUGUCAUCCACAUAGACAAGGAUAAACACCAGAGAAUGAUCAUUUUUGACAAAAAGUGAAUGAUCAUUUUGUGAACCACAAAAUCCCAUAGAUUGAAGGGCACCAUGAAGUUUCUCAUACCAAGCACGAGGAGCUUGCUUAAGGCCAUAAAGACUCUUAUGUAACUGGCAAACAUGAUUCGGUUUAGUAGGAUCUUGAAAACUAGAGGGUUGCUGCAUGAAUACAGUUUCAGAGAGAUUUCCAUGCAGAAAAGCAUUACUGACAUCUAGCUAGUUUAAAAACCAGUCAUACUGAGAAGCAAGAGUGAGAAGAAGCCGGAUAGUAACCGGUUUAGCAACAGGACUGAAGGUUUCUGUGUAGUCCAAACCUUCCUAUUGAUGGAAACCUUUUGCAACCAACCGUGCUUUAUAGCGGUCAAUAGUGUCAUCAGCUUUCCUUUUAAUGCGAAAAACCCAUUUACAUCCAACAAGAUUUUGAGAUGGAUGAAGAGGAACAAGAGACCAAGUAUUGGUAUUGACCAAAGCAUUGAAUUCCUCCUGCAUGGCCUGUCUCCAGUGAGAAUGUUUUGAGGCUUGGAGAUAAGUGGUGGGAAGAAAAUCAGGAGAUAUGUGAGAAGGAAGAGGGUGUUUAGUGGCGGAAUAAGCCUUAGGCUUAAAAAUACCUGAUUUGGAUUGGGUUUGCAUAGGGUGAGUGUUCGGAGGUGGUAAUGGUUGUAUAGGUGAAGAAUGAGGAGAGAUGGAAGUGGGAAAGGUGGGAGAAAUGGGUGGGGAAGAUGAGGAAUUUUGAUUAUAUGAAGAGGCAGCAGGGUGUAUAGGUGGGGAAGAAGAAGGAGUUGGAGAGAGGUUGGUGAAGACAAGAGUGGAAGGGAUUGAAGAUGGAGGGGUAAGAGGUGAGUUUAUGACAGGUGAAACUGGAGAGACUUGAUGAAAAGGAAAGGUCAAUUCAUCAAAUAUAACAUGUCUUGAGAUAUAGACCUUGCGGGAUUGAAUGUCAAGACACCUAUAGCCCUUAUGAUUGAGACUAUAGCCAAGAAAGACACAGGGCUUACUUUUAGGCUCAAGUUUGGAAGCUACAUAUGGUUUUAACCAAGGAAAACACCUGCACCCAAACACUUUCAGUGUUGUAUAAUCUAGAGGCUUGUUGAAUAAAUUUUCCCAAGGGCAAGAUCUAGACAUGGUAGGCAAUCGGUUGAUAAGAUACACUGAUGUAGAUAAUGCUUCAACCCAGUAAACAUGAGGAACAUGAGAGGCAGCUAAAAGGGUUCGAGCAGUUUCCACUAUGUGGCGAUGCUUACGUUCCACACAACCAUUUUGCUCUGGUGUAUGAGGGCAAGAUAGUUGAUGAUGGAUACCAUGAUCAUUAAGAUAUUGAGUAAACAAAGAACUGACAAACUCACCUCCAGAAUCAGAUCUCAAUGUAACAACAUUAGUAUGUAACAAAGAUUCAGUAAGAGCUUUGAAUUUAACAAAAGUCUUGAACACUUCAGAUUUACAUUUGAUAGGAAAGAACCAACAAUAACGAGUGAAGUCAUCCAUUAUAAGGAGAUAAUAUCUACAACCAGAUACAGAGAGAAGAGGAGCUGGACCCCAAACAUCAGCGUGCAAAAGUUCCAAGGGUCUAGUUGUAACACUAGAUACAGAAACAAAAGGCACCUAUAGCCCUUAUGAUUGAGACUAUAGCCAAGAAAGACACAUGGCUUACUUUUAGGCUCAAGUUUGGAAGCUACAUAUGGUUUUAACCAAGGAAAACACCUGCACCCAAACACUUUCAGUGUUGUAUAAUCUAGAGGCUUGUUGAAUAAAUUUUCCCAAGGGCAAGAUCUAGACAUGGUAGGCAAUCGGUUGAUAAGAUACACUGAUGUAGAUAAUGCUUCAACCCAGUAAACAUGAGGAACAUGAGAGGCAGCUAAAAGGGUUCGAGCAGUUUCCACUAUGUGGCGAUGCUUACGUUCCACACAACCAUUUUGCUCUGGUGUAUGAGGGCAAGAUAGUUGAUGAUGGAUACCAUGAUCAUUAAGAUAUUGAGUAAACAAAGAACUGACAAACUCACCUCCAGAAUCAGAUCUCAGUGUAACAACAUUAGUAUGUAACAAAGAUUCAGUAAGAGCUUUGAAUUUAACAAAAGUCUUGAACACUUCAGAUUUACAUUUGAUAGGAAAGAACCAACAAUAACGAGUGAAGUCAUCCAUUAUAAGGAGAUAAUAUCUACAACCAGAUACAGAGAGAAGAGGAGCUGGACCCCAAACAUCAGCGUGCAAAAGUUCCAAGGGUCUAGUUGUAACACUAGAUACAGAAACAAAAGGCAAUUUGGAACUUUUACCCAUUGCACAAUUGGAGCAGAAAGUCUUAUUCAUACUAGUAGAAACAGGAAUACUAGACUGAGAGACAAGUUUAAACAAGAUUUUGAAAGAAGGAUGGCCCAAUCUUUGAUGCCAAACCUCUGAAAAAGCUUUAAUAGUGGCUGCAUAAAGCUUGUGGGAACCAGCAUUGACAGGAGCAGAGAAUUGAUAAAAUCCAUUUUGCACAGGGCCUUUAAAAAGCGUCCUCACCAAAGUAAGAUCCUUCACAGUGAAGUGAAAAUGAUAGAGAUGAAUGGAACACCAAUUAUCAAUAGUAAAUUGAUUGGCAGAGAGUAAAUCUUGCUUUAAAUCAGGAACAUGUAACAUAUUAUUCAAAGCAAAACGAUAAGAAAAAGUAUGUUUAUACGAAGAGCCGGAAUGAGAGAUAGGCAAACCUUUGCCGUCACCAAUAUAGACUUGUUUAGGGCCUGUGUAAGGUUCAGGAUUUUGAAGAUUGGCUAAGGAACUUGUCAUGUGGGAACUUGCUCCGGAGUCAAGAAGCCAUGAAGUAGAGCCAUGCUGAGAAGUGUUAGCACACAUAGCAGCCUGAGAAUUUCGGUUACCAAACUGAGGAUUCAGACGAUGGGGACAUUCAGAAGCUUCAUGAUCAUAUUGGCGGCAUAUUUGACAAAUGAGUCGUUUGCCAAAAUAGGAGAAAUCGGAUCGACCUCCACGAUGAUGUUGUUGAUUGGUGCGAUUGUUACCACGAUGGCUAGAGAAAUUGUUACCACGAUAGCCAGAGAAAUUGGUCUUGGUCUGUGAAGAUCUAGGAUUUGACUGAUUGCGAUCUUGAGAACGACCUGGAUACUGAUUGAAGUAAGAGGAAUUCUGAGCAAGAAAAGCUUGAGAUCCAUAAUUGGAGGUAAGUGUAGGCAGAAGACCAGGUGAUGAGCCAAGAUUCGAAGAGAAAGCCUGAAAAAUACCAGGAGAUGUAGUGGCUUUCUUGCGAUUCGCCAGUUGAAUUUCUUUGCUAAGAAGCAAGCCAUGAAGUUCAUUGAUUGUUGUAGAACCAAGACGGAAUUGAAUCGCAUCAACGAAAGAAUCAUACUCAGGCGGCAGGCCAUGGAGAGUGACAGAAAUGAGAUCAGAAUCUUCAACCGGAGCUCCGGCGCUGGCAAGAGCAUCAUCAAUUUCCUCAAUUUGCUGAAGAUAGGAGGCAGCAGUGGAUUCUCCUUUAGAGAUGUUGCGAAGACGAGAACGAAGUUCAUGAAUAUGCGAUUGUGAAGCCGCUGCAAGGCGUGAUUCAAGCUUGAACCAUAGCUCUCGAGAUGAAUUGACACCAAUAGUAUAAGGAAUCAAAGAUUCAGAGAAAGUUGAGUUAAUCCAGAUAAGAAUGUUUUGAUCAUUCUCAUACCAAGCAAUGUACUUAGGAUUCAAGAUCUGAUUUCCAGAGGCAUCUCGAAGAACUUUCGGCGGAGCUUCGAUCGAGCCAUCAACAAUUCUAGUGAGAUUAUAACGGCGAAAAAUCGGAGCAAACAAUGCGCUCCACGUGAGAUAAUUGGUGGUGGUAAGCUUGAUCGGAACCAUGGAGCCGAUAUUCUGAAUCGUAAUUAAAGCUGUAGAAGCAGUGCCAGAGGAAUUAGGGCACGAAGUUGUCACCGAAAUUGGAUGAACAAGUGCUGCAGAAUCAGAGAAGGGAGAAGCAGCAGACGCCAUUGCUGGAAAUUAGGGUUUCAGAGAGGGGAGGGAAGCGUAAGAAGGAAGACUCAAGGGAGAGGAGGAUCAAGAGGAAUUUGAGUCGUCAGACAAAGGCGAAAGAUACCAUAUUAAGAAAACUGUUUCAUUGAAAAAAUAAUUAGAGUACAUCAUUGGUUUAUAUAGAGCUAUACAUAUGCCAACUAAGUAGCUAUACAUUUGCCAACUAAGCACAACAAUCCUACCUAUCCUACAACUAAUUACAAUAGAAAAAUCAAGAUAAACUAUCCUUAAUAUCAAUAUCAACACCCUUUUUAGAUUGUUGUAAAUGUCAUCCAUUGAUUCACCUGGUUGGCUCACUUUCGUACAUUUUUGUUCGUUUGAUCUACUUUUGAGGACUUAUAUAGAACGGUUGAACGUCGCGUAGUGUUCUGGUUUAAUAAUGCACAUGACAAUAUAUUAUUAGAUGGAGUGUCACAAUGAUAAUGAACUCAUUUCAUAUAAGUUGUUUCUAUUUGAGACGUAAAAUAGUCAAUUCAAAUGGUAAAAAUAGAUAGAGAUAUUCAGAGUGACUAAAAUGAGACACAUUUUGUAAUUAUAAUUAAACUCUCCAAAUUUGAGCCACUUAAACAAUGUUGGAAAAUGACAUUUUCACACCACUGAAACGUCGUCGUCUCGUGUUUCUUAUGAACCAGUAAAGCCAUUGCCAAUUUCGGAAUAACAAGCUGACCUCCAUUAAUGCUUAAAUCAAGCUUCGCUCCCAUUUUCUCAACCUUUCCCGCCAAACGCCUAUCUCCGCCGAAGCCACCGCCAGACGCUACCUUCACCUGCUUCGCACACACAGCGCCAAAUGUUCGAAAAAAUGCCUCAACCAAAGCCCCCACCAUUAUUCUCCCGCCAUCCACUUCCGCCUACAUCCACCUCUCUUUCUGCCGACAGCGCUGUCACUAAUGCGACUUCACAAUCGUCGCCCUCGGCGCUGCUUCCGCCCAAACCGAAGACGACCCGGGAAUGACAAAAUACGUCCAGUUACUCUGCCGGGAAAUCAACGCCACGAAGGCCGAAAACAAGACCGACCCGCCUCUGGAGACGGUGUUUUUUGGCGGCAGCACGCCAUCUCUUGUGCCGCCAAAGCUCGUGGAUUCCGUUUUGGAGACGUUGAGUCUGAAAUUCGGGUUGAGUUCGGAGGCUCAGGUGUCGAUGGAGAUGGACCAGGGAUUGAUGGAGUUGGGUGUGAAUGGGGUGUCGUUGGGAGUUCAGGCGUUUCAAGAAGAGCUGCUGAAAGCUUGUGGGAGAGCUCAUGGCGUUCGGGAGGUUUAUGAGGCUACGGAGAUUGUUGGGGAAUGUGGGGUUGAGAAUUGGAGCAUGGAUCUUAUCUCUUCUCUGCCUCACCAGACCCCGGAAAUAUGGGAGGAGAGCUUGAGGUUGACGGUAGAAGCUCGUCUUACCCAUGUGUCAGUUUAUGAUUUGCAGCCGAACAAGGCACGAAAUUCAGGGGGUUGUAAGUGGAGCGAGUGAUGAAAUCUACGGUUUUAGUUUUGGAAUGAAUUUGGUCCUGAAGUUGGAGUUUUUUUGUUUGCAGGUAUCCACUAGGGGAGUUCCCGUUGCCUUCAGAAAUGCGGUCUGCUGAGUUCUAUAAGAUGGCGUCUAGGACGCCUUCGGAUGCAGGUUACAACCUCUAGAAAUUAGCAGUUACUGCAAGAGUGGAUAUCACUGCAAACACAAUCUAACUUAUUGGAAGAACAAGCCUUUCUAUGCUUUCGGCCUUGGCUCCACUAGCUACGUCGAUGGCGUGAGGUUUUCGAGACCAAAGAGGAUGAAAGAGUACACAGGUUAUGUGGAGAAAAUGGAGAAUGAUUUGGUGGAGUGCGGUGAGAGUCCUCGUACGGUGCAGGACAUGGCCACGGAUGUUGUUAUGCUCUCUCUUAGGACUUAAAGAGGUUUGGACUUGAAGUAUUUCGGAGAAGCAUUUGGUAGUAAACGAGGGAAGGGCCAUCGCUGCAGAUGAAUUCAACACCUUGCUAGUAAACGAGGACGAGACUGAAAGAAGUCCUGCCUACAUUCGGCUAAGUGAUCCAGAUGGUUUCCUUUUGUCGAAUGAAUUGAUAUCGCUUGCAUUUGCGGUUGUAGCUCCGUAAGCUAAGUGCAAUUCCAUGUACCUGCAGCGUCUGGUGGUAGAGUACUAGAGUGGAACACUAGCAUUCAAGUAGUUUCAUGGCAUCAUCAAAGCUGAAGGCUUUGUAUUUUCUACAUAGCAGAGCAUCAGAAGAGAGAUUCUACUCCUGCACCUAUCGUGGUCAUAGUCGACGAGAAAAUGGUGCAGCAGAGAACCAUGGCCGGAACAUGCGUCAUUCAAGUGAUAAGCGACCAGCUGAGCGUAUUCAAGAAACUAACAUGUUCAAGUUCCCGGCAAUGGGCGAGGCAUCGCGGAGAAGAAUAUGUUGAGGUCGAUUGAAACAUGAGUCGUAAAAGGAAGGCUUGUAACAUUUCACAUUUGUAAUCAAAUAUCAUUGGCAAAGGCUUGUAACAAAGUACCUGUUCUCUUAUAACUUAAGAAAAAUCUUCAAAUGUAAGAAAAUCAAUGUUCCCCAGACGAUGAACGACAACAAACUAUAGCCGUUGAAUUACAGGUGUAUGGAAGAAAUAGAUUGUUAGCAACUAGUUCUACUUUCGUCAUCCACCAGUGCCUUUAUUAAGGGAAUGAUACGUCAUGUCUGGAGCAACUUUGAAGACGAUGAUCAAGAAUUUGGCUUUCUUGCAUCAUUCGUGUGCAACAUACUCCUCUGUGUGACGUAUAGCAUGCAGAUCUACAAGAAAAUAUGUUGAACGGCAAGUUUGCGCCUGAAAUCCUAGAUGGUCAUUUCAACGACUCCAACUCCCUGAAUUUAAACAUAUGAAACAUAUAGAAUUAGAAAUUCGAGUCGCACUUUGUGAUUUACUUACACAUCUUUCAUGGUGGUAUGAACUAUCUAUAAAUGAACUUGUGUAUAGCUUACCAGCGACUACGAGGGUUUUGUUUUCUGCCCAACUUUUGAAAUGCGCCUAAGCUCUUGGGUUCCUUUCCUCAUCUCUCUGCAAAUUGCAAACAAAUUAGGAAAAUCCUGCAACGAAUCCAAAUGUGAAUUUUAAGUGUCUGAAAAAGUGAUACCUUUGGUGCAAAUACACUAUCAGAUAGAAAAUAGGGAGCAGCAUCAAAGUCAGUAUGGAGAUAGCCAGGUAGAAUACACUUAUAUGUUUCUGCAAAUACAAAACAACGCGACAACAUAUCCUCCGUGACUCAAAAAUCUUCAAAAAAGAAGGAAAAAUACAGAUAUAAAAAAUGACAGACAAUCCUUGCAAAACUGCAAUGGAAAAUAAGCCAGAAGAUUGAAACUAUGGCACAGUUCAUUCUUUAUAGCAAAAUCUACUGCAAUAAGAGACUGAGACCUUACCUUUCCUCCUCUAGGAAAAAGCUUCCGUUUCCCCGAGCAAGUAUGAGCAUGACAAAAUUGGUGCAAGAAAAACUCUACCAACAAAUCAAAGUGUAAGCACAAGUAUAAUAAACAAUAACCUAUCUGAAAUUAUAUCAACAAGAGCAAAAAGAAAUACCAUUAAGACGGCGGGCUGAAGGACUUUGAUUAAUCGGAAAACAGCUAUUGGCAAGACCCUACAUUAUAAAAGGGGAAAAGGUAAAAAGGAUUAAACAAGGUAAUGUACAAGAAUCAACAAUACAACCAAUUAUAGUGCCUUAAAGCAACCUCACAUAGGUGGUGAUUCCGUGCAACAGAUGCAGGAUUGCAUUUGGUUUUGCUCAACUUGGUAUUCAUCACAGCAUCGCAAUGCAAAGCUCCGCAUAAAUCAGCUAAGCACUUGCUGCCACUCUGCAUUCAUCAAAUUUUUUUCCAAAGAGAGAAAAAGAAAACAUAUAAGGGAAAGAAAAAUCAUACAUACAAUUAAAGAUAUAAUAGAAAAGAUAGAGAUCAAAUAAAUUUAUAAUCAUGUAUUGAUGUAUAAUGCAAGUAUGCUUGAAGCAGACGCAGAAUAGCUCUUCGGACUUUGAACAACUCCAGAUGCUAACUACCCUUCCCCAGAGUACCAAAGUACAAAAUACACAUCUUAAGAAAGGAAAGAUUAUCACUUGGAUAUUUCUUUAUCUGUGUUAUACAAUGCGAUCUUGUACAUAAGUUUAAGCCAUGUAAUUGUUCUUCGGCAAUUUUUAAGAAAUAGUUUUAUGAUCUAAUUUAUUGCAUCAUGCUACAAGCCUACAACUAAAAUGAUAACUUUAAAUUUGCUUAAUUAAUUUUUUGAAAGCACGUUUAUGAAACCCCAACACAACAGGGAACUGAUAAACAUGGACUAGAUGCAAACGCUUUUAAAAGAAAAGUUCUUUCAUUUGCAGAUAAGCUGAAUAGAGAUAAUUUGAGGUUUAUCAACUAGAAGAACAAAAUAUAAAUAUAACAGAGGAUAACAAAUGCAAAGAGGGCCAGCUGAAAAUGAAAUUACUUCUUGCACUAUUUGGACAAGUGUUCCUAAUUCCUAACAUAUUAAAGCAAGGAAAUACAGUCCACAUACUACAUUCAGAAGAUUGUAGUGUCUGUUGUCAAAAUGUUGAUCAAGAAACAUUUCAGCACGGAAGCUUUUCUUACAGUAUCCGCACUGCCAUUCGUUUAUAUCCAAAUGAAUCUUGUGCUCUUCCUGAUCUCUAAAUAGAUCAUUGUCGGGAUGAAGUCGACAGUUACUUGGAAUCUCAUAGUGCUCAUGUUCCACAAAUGGCAUCAAAUACUACAAAACACAAAUUAGAAGUAGCCUUAAGUAGACUAUUAUGCAUGACACAAUUUUGUAAUAGCACUCAACGUUUUGCCCAUACCUUCUCAAUAAUUUGCCAAGCUGCCCUGCUUCUUUCUCUGGAACAGUGCACUUCAUGAGCAUGCUCUUGCCCUUGUUCAAGAGUUCUAACAUAUAGAAACACGUACCAAGUAUAUAACGCGAACCAAAAGAAAGAAAUACUACAUUCCCAGUUGGAUAUGAAAAAUUGCCAAAUUAAUCUAAAGAUUAAAGCCGUAUUACCUUGAAGAUUCAGAUUUUUCAAAAUCCUGGAUCAAAGGAUGAAGAAAAUAACAUUAGCUUGGAAGGUCCAAGAACAAAAUACAUAAUUAAAUUCACAAAAGAAGUAAAAUUGAGCAUCAUAUGCACAAUUUACGAUAUGAUUCCAAUACCACAAGGCAUAAUUUAUUUUGACACAACGAUAUUUUAAACUAUUCUAAUCCACAAGGUGGAGGAUUCAAACUUGGGUGUGGGGUGAAAAGACAAACUGGCCUCACACGACCAUUCAAAAGUCGAGACGUUUUGAAACUAAUUCAAGGUAAAUUCAAGUUUAGGUGAAGCUCUAAAACCGCUUCUGAUCAAAACCUUUGCGUUUAUUGUUGAAUUUUGAACGUUUUAAUCUAAAUAGAAACACAAUUCGUAUAUCUUGCUACUCUGCGUAAAGUUCUCACCAUCAAAAACCAAGCCUUGAUCGGAUAAAAAUUAUUACUUUACAAAACCCACAAUCCAAUACAGAAAAUCGAAGCUUCCCAGCAAAACCCAACAUCCGAACAAGUAAAAAAAUGGAUCAUAUGCAUACAUAUAUAUAAAGAUAUUGAAGUACCUGGUUUGUCUGCGUAAGGGAGGAGACUUGGAGUACGCUGAAGGAUAAGAAGAGAAGGAUUGAAACAAACAGGUUGGUUUUCUUCAUCUCUUUCAGAAACGAAAGAGUUCGAUUGAUGAGCUUUUUUCUGGGCAAAAGCUAAAACUGAGAAAGCUUCGGGUCGGGGCGGGGGGGGGUGUGAAGCUGAAUGAGAAUAUGGGUCGGUUUGUUUUUCUAUUCUGCUCAAGAAUGACGCGUUUUGAGGAAAAUUUAUGCAAAAUAGCUCUCAAAAAACAAGUAAACUUUUAAUAAAAGGAAUUACAUUUUAAUUGUUUUUCUUCUAAGAAUAUGCUAACUAGUUAAUCAGUACUACGGUCAAGUAUUAUUCAUCUUCACUUGUGUGAGGUGAGUCAGCAUAAUGAGUUAAUAGGGACCGUCGAAUUUAGUUUGAGUGAUCUGAAUUUCCUACUCUUUAAGCUCCGGACAGUGAGAUCCGGAGAGAAUCUUUAUCCACAUUUUUGUACUAUAUUUGUGUUUUACCUAAUAUGCCAAGUAAUGUGUACAUGCCACAUCAAUUAAUAAAUUUAUCUCAUUCAAUGUUGAUUAUACGAAUCAUUUAUCAUUAUACCUUAAAGUAGUAUAAAUACGUAUUCCCUCUAGCAUUUCUCUUUUUCUUUUUCGUUUUUUUUUUUUUUUUAAACAUUAAGAAGAAUAACAUACUUCUGGAUUGUGUAGCUGAGUUGGAAAUCGAUUACCCUCUUGGAAUUUUGUACACUUGUAGUUGACCCAACUACGAGAAGUCGUUAGGAGUCAAAGAAGUAGUUUUCACAGCUUGUGGUACUUUGUACCUACAAAACUUUAUAAGGAAAACUAAUGAAAAUAGCUUGAAAACUUUGAAUUUUAAUGAUAAAGACAAAAUAAAGGAUAAAGUGAAUAGUACUAGGAUUGACUUUUUAGUGUAAAAAUGUGGUUUUUCGUUAAAGUGAACAGUACCGGGUGCUUUUCGUUAAAGUUCCCAACUUUAUAAGCAUAUUUAAGGACACUGAGAAGCCGGUCAAAUGCUUCCUCUGGUGUCACUUUUUUCAGCAGCAGUUUGAGCAUGGCCAUGAAGUUGAAGGAAAAGGAUUAAAACAGAAGGGCAAACCCACAAACAAACUUAGACAAAAUUGAUGUGAAAAACAGUAAUCCCAGUGGUUCACGACGUUAUCAUAUUCCACAACUAUCUUAAAAAUACACUCGAUAUAGCAGUACUGUGUGUACACCAUAGCGAACCGCUUAUCUUUUCUUCUUGCCUCUUUUUUUGGUACUAGUUUCUGGUUCUUGCUCUUCGGCCUUCUGCUCUGCUUCUAAUAUGGCCAACUGCACCAUUCACAGAAGAAUAUGAAACAAAAGAUGUCAAUUUAAUCCGUUUGGUUUCAGAAAGAAGCCUUGUAUAAAUCUUGAGACACAAAACCAAAACAUUACCUCAUCAAGAAUUGGUUUAAGCUCUCUGUAUCGAGCUUCAGCAAGAUCAAAACCGUCCUUACGGAGCUCCUGCGAUGCCAAGGCCACACCGUGCACAUCACAUGCACAAGAAAACAAAUAUCAGAACAGCAUGAAUAGGAAGUUUCUUCUCCUUCAAAAAUGCAGCCUACAGUAUAAUUGCUUCUUUGUUUUGUCAUUCCUUUUUUAAGGGUUUUAUCUUUCGAGGAAAAGAAAGAAACGGACCUUUCCAGUGUGUUGAGUAUGUUCAUGUGCCGCCAUUUGCCAGUACAUAUUUGUACGUUUGUAGAAUUCUCUCAAAGUUUCACCAGGCUUCACAAAAGAUAUACUACAAUAUUAGCUGAAAAAGUAAUGCAGUGAAGAAAACGUAAAGAAUGGUCAUAAUCAGCGAAACAAGUACAAACUAAGCCUGUAGAGUCUCAUUCACGCUUCCAUUAUAGCUUAAAACCUUCAAUAGCAAUUAAAGAAAGAAUGAAGUACCGUUGGGGUUCUUUGCGAAUCUGAAAGCCCAAGACUGGCUCUAAUCUGCUCAAUUCUGGCCCGUUUCUCUUUCCUUCGGAGACUCUUUCCCUCCCCUUUGAUUAAAGCAACAGCAUCCCCCAUCUGAAUCGACCCAUCCUUCCCAUGCUGUACACAAGAAAAAGUGAAGACUGAAGUAAAACAGACAGCUGAACAUUUUCCUUCUUCAAAAGUGACAGUACAACAGUUUUCAUUGAAAAACAGGAAAAUUCAAAGCAGAUGGUGAAAGAAUCAAAAUAAACCUUCAGCAUGUCUCGUAUCAUUUAGUAUAAAGUCUUGUAACUGGAGUCACAGUUUCACCAAAUUUUUAACAAAAUUGUAUACAACACUAAACUUUAAAAUUUUUUGUUCCAAAAUUGUUAGCCACAGAGAGAAGUAAAAAAAGAAGAUCUGACUGGUUAACAAAGGGAGAUAAUUAAAACAUUCACAUAAAAGGGCAGAAAAGUGUAUGAUUACUAUUAUCUUAACCACAAAAUCAAGAUGUAUUUAAUUACUAAAAUUUGGAAAACACAUCUACACUAUGUAAUAAGUAAGAACCUCUUCAUCAUUAUCAUCAUCAGUCUCAUCACUGUUACUAUCUUCAUCGCCUUCAUCUUCACUAUCAUCAUCGUCAUCCUCAUCCUCAUCUUCAUCCUCGGACGCCUCCACCCAUUCAGUUUCCGUUGCCUGGGUCAAGGGAAAAGCAGACUCAUGCUUAAAAUAAUGAAAUUCAACAAAAGUAAAGAUGCCCAGUUGUCCCAAUUUUUUUUUUUUUUUAAUUUACAACAGUAAUAGUUAUGUCUAGUGAUGCUGAGAGAAUUGAAAUAAUAAAAAUAAGACAAUACAACACUUGAAAAUAUUGAGACGAUACAAGCAAUUAUAUGUAGAGAAUACAAACCGGUAUGAUGCACUUCCACUCGUCAAGUUUGCUAAGAUUAAGAGAAUACAAAUCAUCAAGUGUAAUUUCUCGAUCUUUAAUCUCCAUCAUUCCCCCAUAAACAUAUAAUGUAUCUCUUCCAACAACCAUGCAAGAGUUGAUACGUCCACAGGGCUUCACUACCUAACAAAUUAACCAAAUUCGUGAAUCAAAUGGAUGAAUCCAAAAUGUUUGAGAAAGUAUAAACAAAAACAAAAUUAUGUUCAGCAUAGAAAACCUCUGGCAAAUCAGAAUCUUGCGAAUCCAAAUUAGCACUAGAUUCAUUUAUCUUCCCAUCAGAUUCGUCAGCUAACCCAUCAUUACCAACAGUAAUGGUUUUAGCCAUUUGAUGUGAUAUACCAUCAACUUUGCUUUCAAAGUCAUCUGCUUCUUCAUCAAUCUCAUUGUUCUCAUCUUUUUCAUUUGUCGCACAUUCCUCUGGCUCAAUUGAAUUUAUCUUAUCAUCAUUUUUACGCUUUCGUCCAGAACUCUUUUUAGGCUGCAAAAAUGAAUGUAAGGGAAGCUAUAUGUUACUAAAACAAUGGGGUUUCAAAUGAACUGCUUCCAUAUUAUUUAUUAAUAAAAUGUGAAAGUUCUAUGGGAAAAAUCCCUGUACGACAUUGAAAUCGGUACAUGUAUAGUUAUGAAUCUAAACGUUACCGGACCUUAUCUUUUGUUGACUUCGCCUUCCGUAGCUCUAAUGGGUACCUAUACAAAUAGAAAAUUGACUAAAUGGGAAGGAACUAUUGCACAUUUAAAGUUCAUUGCCCAUAUAAUUGCUCAUCAACAAAUUGAGAAAGUAAUAAUAAAUAAAAUGGGUCAGGAAGAGAGUAUUAUAUAUCAACUAGAGUGCAGCAAAAAAAAUUAGCUUGUAGCUGAUUGUUCAAUAAUCUCAACCUGUAAAAAAUAUAAAACACAAAAAAACUUUGGUGGGGCUUACCACCGAUGGUUGUCUAAUUGGAAGCCAUACAGUUCGUCCAAGAACAAGCUCAUCAUUACAUCAGCUGCAUGCAUCAGAAAUUUUUCUAAAAAAAAGGAAAAUAAAUCCACCUACCCUCAAAGGGCCAGUCGUAGCUUCAAGCGAGGACUGUAUUGCCUAGUGACAUAAGAUAGGUAGAACAGAAAAAACUAACCUCCAACUUCCAUGUCCACCACACCCCCAAAGAGCAAAGCUCGCUUCUUAUGAACACACAUAGAGAACCCAGCACGAGGUCCAGGGGGCAUCCCACUUUUCUUCACCUAUAAUAUGCAUUUACAGUUAUUAAAGAAAUCUCAAACUUACAAGCUGCUAAAUAUAAGUUGCUGCUAUUCAUCAUCAAAUAUGCAUGCAAGGAAAUUAUAAAUUGAGUAACCAGCAUACAAAAGCUUCAGAAUGAUGAACACAAAACCACAGCAUAGCUUCUACAAUGUAGUAAAACCUGCAUGCAUGCUAUGCUAUCCUAUCCAAAAGUAGUAUAACAGGUACUUUUACACAACAGAAUAUUCAAUAUCCAAGUAUAGAAGGGGAAGUAAAACUUGAGGUCAGACAAUCAUGUCAUGUUCCGUUUGUUGAUAAAUACACAGUAAUAAAAGAAAACUGUGGCACGAGUAAGAACCUUGUUCCAUUCCCAAGUCCUAGGAUCAAGGGACCACAAGUCAGAAUGAACAAUUCCUUUCUCGGAGCCAGUUUUAUCUGAUGAAACUUCUUUGGAAUAGCCACCAUAUAAGAAAAUCUGUCAUGUCAAAAAGAGACCACAAGGUCAAAUCUUUGAGGAAGUCAAGAAAUGAUAUGCAUAUAACGAAAUUGUUCUGAAUCACUCACUUCAUCCUGGUAAACGAAAAACUGAAACCCACUUCGGGCACUUGGCCACAGGGAACCAGGCCUAGGAGUUAUUUCUUGCCACUGAAAUGAAACAUUGCAGAAGCAUUAGUUAAACAUAUAUGUACAUAAUAUAAUGCACAUGAAUUUAUAAUAGUAGAUUAACACGACAGAGCAAGAUCUCUACCUUGAACUGAUCCAGGUCAAAUACAAAGAGAUCAUUAUGAUACCUGCACAACAAAUUAUUAUCAACUCCACAUUAGCACCCCAACUCCAAUUGUCAUGCAACAAUACAUUAUGGUUUGGGGCAGUUAAUAUGUCAAGAAAACUUCUGAAAUAACAAAGUUACAAUAAAACCAACUUCGCAACUAAACACAUAGUGGUUUGCAUCUGACCUUGACAUAGAAAAUCAACACAAAAUCUUGAGCUAAAUAACUAUGAAACUUCAAAAUGUUUAAAAAUCCAUUAACAACCUCACUUCUCUAAGCGUGUCAUAAAAGCCUCCAAAAACAAUAAUCUUGUGCUUGUACAGUACCUGUAAAAUGACCAAAAGCACAGAUAUUUAUAAAAAUCUCUCUUUAAAGGAAGAUUAGACUAAUCUUUUCUUGUUACUGUCUCAACACACACGCGCACAAAGGUACAUGGAAAUUAGACAGUUAAACUCCAUAGUAAAGGGAACAUCAAUCUAAGGCAACCUGAAUUUACCAUUCGAUGACCUGAGCGUGGACUUGGACUCCCUUUUAAAUUUAGUUGUUCCCAUUGAUUUGUUUUGAGGUCCAACAUCCAAAAGUCCUAUAGCAGCAGGGAAACAAAAAGGUGACAUUAUGAUAACAUAAACUAGAAUGAUAGGUAGUUUAAACAGCGAAAGCAGAUUUUACAAUGAACUAUAUUUUAAACAGGUUUUACCUUGUAGUGAUGAAACCUCUCUUGGUUUGGGGAAGUAAACUCACCACCUAAUGACAAACAAACGCAAUCAUGUUCAUGAUGCAAAAGAAUUAAAAGUGCAAGUGCAACACGUGUGUUUGUACAUAUGAACGAAGUGUUGCCAGUAUACCAAAGAUGUAGAGAUAAUUCUUCCAAGUGACUGCCUGGUGGGCACUACGAGGAGGUGGACUAUUGGGGCUCGAAAUUAACUUCCAGUCCUGCUUUUCAACAUCAUAGCGGUAAAGAUCACCAUACACAAACGUCUGCAGCAACAAAUUUGACAAAAAAAUCAGGUGAACAUUAGGUAAAGAUCAAAGAUCAAAUCCAUUUAGUUCAAAUAAAGCACAUAGAUUCUCAAAAAAGAUCAAGACCUUGUUUCCAUUGUAGAAUUCACCCCCAUAAAGGAUCAACUCUGUCUCUUUCAAGGGAUUGAUACUCAGCUACACAAAAACCAAGCACAAAAAUCCGAGAUUAACAAAGGGUAAUAAACAUUUACGUUCCCAAACAAAACUAAGCCUAACCCACUCAUCAGAAAUUUCUAACAAACACCAGCACAGACAUUACCGUGCAGUUGGACCGUGGAGAUGGAGCCGGGACAUUUUCCUCUACAUGGACUUCCUUCUUCUUAGCUUCUUCCUUUUGUAUACUUGACUGUCAAAAAAAAUGCAUAUCACACGACUUAAAAAUUGAAUCUUUUCUCCAUGUCCAUAUAAAAUGUAAAAGUCCAUCAGAUUAACUUCAACGUAUAAACUCCAAAAACAAACCAUCACUCUUCACCAUAUUUCUGUCAAUAACAGAACACCCUUUUGUUUCUGCACCGCCACAAAAACAACAUUCCAUAUAAUCUCACACUUUCAUCUAUCCAUUCAUUUCCAGAGAAAAAAAAAAACCAAAUUCGAUAACUUUAACUAUGAAUAUUGAAAACCCAAUAACCCAAUUAGUCAAAAAACUCCCAGAAACUAUUUCAGCAGCUCUCAAAUGAUCCCUAACACUAUAUAACAAGCACCCGAUACACACACAUACAUACAUAUAUACACAUGUACAUAUCUACCCAAAUUUUCCCCAAGCAACCAAAUUCAAAAACCUCAGCCCGAAUUUCAAAAACUCAUUAACUUAAUUGGUUUUAAACUCCCAGAAACUAUUCCAGCUGUUCUCAAAUGAUCCAUAACUCCAAGUAAAAAGCAGCCGAUACACAUACACAUAUACAUAUACGGAGAGAAUGAAAUUACCAAAAUGGCAUCGAUGUCGUCCUCGGGAGAGAGCUUCUUGGUCUCUCUGCGAGCUCUCUUCUCCUCAGCUUUCACGGUUUUCUUCUCCGUCUUCUCUUUUCCUUUACCUGGCUUCUUUGUCUUCUUCCCCAUUUCUCGGAACGCAGCCAAAGAGGCGGAAAGCAGCUCUCACAACUCACUACAGAGCGGUUCGGCGCGAGGAAGAAGACGAAGGAAAGAAGGCCUUCGGGUACGACACUAUGAGCGACUGUGUUUCUUUCGGCGCAAUGUCGUUUAUUUGGAUUGUAAUCCCCUGGCAGCUGGGUCGCUGGGUUUCACGCAUUCACGUUGUCGUUUUUAAAGCUGCGAGGCCCAGCCUAGAUGUGGGAAUUUGUUGGGCUGGGCCUUGUUUCGGCCCAACAUCUUAGUACGGCUCUGAUCCAAUGGGAUUCGAGAAUGUCACGUAUACAAAAUCUUCGUCCAAUUUUUUUCCUCCAGGAUCAAUCAACUACUACUCCAUGCAGAGGUGUAAAUUUUCUCGUUUUUUCUCGGAUGCCAAACAGAAUUUACUGCCCCCGCCUCGUAAAAGCCUUGUUAAUCCACCAAACUUACGUAUUUAGACUUUUACCGGUACCACAUUAUGCUUUUCAGAUAACAGCACUGAUUGUAAAUGGGUUCGAAAUCAAAGCCAACUCGUCACAAAGCAUGCAUUAGAGAUAGGAUCAGUGAACUUCCAGAUGAGAUUCUCUUUCACAUUCCUUCCUUCCUUCCUUCCAACAAGGAGUGCCGUACAGACCUGUGUUUUAUCACACUGAUGGAAACAUACGCGGGGUUUUGUUUCGAAUUUAGAUCUAUAUACAUUUGUGCUCACCAAGAUAUGAUUGGGGUCAUACUCCGAGCUUUGAAGAUGAAGUACUUCCCCCCUUGAAUCGUUCAAACGUUCAUAAAGUUCGUCUUUGAUGCUUGGAAUUGAACAGCCAUUGGGCGUAAUGUUGUUGAACUCGACCACCUACUUUCUGGGGUCCAGAUACCAUCCAAGAUUCUUUUGUUAACUAGUAGUCUUUUUCUAUGCAAGAUGUUGGAGGUUCUGAAACUGAAACUGACAUCAUAUGUUUCCAUUGAUCCUCCUACCUCCAUGUUACAGUACCAUACCAUCUUGACCCAAUCAAGAAGCUCUUUUCAUGUUGCUUUCUGCACUUGAAGAUUUAACAAUAGAUGGACGUUUUCCGUUGCCUAAAUGUUGUUCAGUCGUAACAUAACUGUCAAUGCACCUAAACUGAAAAGACUAUGUGCAUGAAGGCCCCUGUGGCAGCCAUGGUAUGCAGACCGAAUACGUAGGAUUUUUGCAGAAAUCAUCAAUGUCAAAUAUUUGUCCCCUUCAGCUUCAUUUUUGGGAUUCUCAGAUUGAACACUGACGUACUUUGCCUACAUUAAAUCAUUUGAAUCGCUUGGCGAGCUACGUCUUUCGGGAUGCUACUCUUGGAAAUCACUACCAAACGCGCUCAAGGUGUUGCCCAAAAAAAUAAAUUCUACUAUGAGCGUUAACCUGAGUUGAUAAUUAAUUAGUGUCCACCCGAGUUUGUGCCUGUCUGUUGUCAUGCCUCAAGACUAUUUACAUACGAAGGUUCAAGGGACGACCAGAUGGGUUGGAUGCGGCAAAGUGCUUGUUGAAGCAUGGUAAGGUUUUGAAUAAGGCGAAAAUUUAUACCUGUGAUCUUAGUAGAAAAUUAGUUAUGAAGUUAAGGUGGAAAGUUUCAAGGUUGUAGGAAGUUCAAAGAAUUGUAAAAUUGAAUGGAUCCUUUGAAAGUUGUGGAUGUACCUUUUCAUAUCGGAUAGAACAUGAAUUUUGUGCUACAAAAUUUUCCCUAUGAAAUCUGUUAUACUUCCUAAACACCCUUGUAAGUUUGCUAGACAAAGUUAGUUUUGCUAUAUUUUAUGAUUUAGAACAACUACUCCAUAUAACCAUGUACAAAACCGCGUCGGAUAUAUAGUUUUAGUUUCUUUAUAUCGGUCUCCAUACCCAAAAAAAAGCAAAUCCAAAUCGUCCCCAUACGACCUGAGUAAUCGCGCAAAACGAAUUUAAUUGGUAAAGUUUUCAUCGCCAACUAGCUGAGCCAUCUAGUCAGGGAAUGGGGUUGGCUGAGGGUAAGCUUGUGGCUGGACCAGCAUCAAAGUCACACUCUAUAUAAGAAUCAGGCAUAUCACAACACUAAUAUCUAUCCAAAAAAUCCUUGCAUCUUCCCACUAUGUGGCAAGUCGUAUUUUAAGUUCCUACUUCCGAAGACUUUGAAGGCCAGAACAACAAAAAAGACCAUGACUUUGGACCUUCUUCUUUUAAUUUGGCGUUAGGUAAAUGAAUUAGCAAAUUGGUAUUAAUUAGUAUUAGAAAAAUACUCAUCAUGCUCUUUGUUUUUAGGAAAUGCUAGUAACAUUUUUACCUUAUCCUUCUCAUUUUACUUUUUCGGUUCUUCUUCACAUUCUGCAUUGUUUUUUUAUGAUCGGAACUGUAUGUAUACUAGACUCUUUAAAGAUCAACUUUGCAAAAGAACAACCAAAUAAAAAAUCAUUUAACCGUUUGAUUACUAUUGUCAAAAUUUUCGUGUUUAAGUGAGAAACAUGGUUCGUUUAUUUAUUGGAUAAUCAUUAUAUUACUAAACGAUUUUGGAUUUAGUUUAAUUUUUGUAUAGAUGAUUUAAAAAGGCGAUCCAAAAAAUAAAUAGUUUCUAUCAUCAGACAAUAUUGCAAGAUGAAAAGAAAAGUUGAAAAAAAAUCCUCUUUUUAUUGAUUCAUUUAAUAAAUAAAUAAAGCAAGUGUUAUAAUUAAAUUUUUGCAUAGAUGAUAAUUAAAAAGUGAUCUAAAAAGUAAACAGUUUCAAUCAUCAAAUAAGAUUGCAGGAUGAACAAAAAGUAGAAAAAAACUCCUCUUUUUAUUGAUUCAUUUAAAGAAAAACGCGUGAUAAUUAACUUUUAUAACGCAUCAAUAACAGCUCUACUAAAUUAUCAUCUUUAAGCAGGUACAUCUUUUCCUAUAUUGAAUGACAAAAAAAUUGUUAAGAUAUAUACCCUCUUAAGUAGUGCUUCUUCCACCUACGCGGAGGCCUUGCUUUUGCUCCUCCCCUUCCAUUUGGGUUUUGGGUUUUAACUUUUUUUAAGUAAUGCCAAACCCUAACACUAACCUCUCAGUGUUUCUCCUUUUAAAAAGUAUCUAAAGUUUAAUCUUCACUUUCCUCUUCUUUCUUGUCUCUCAAAAGGAGAACCCACUGGGUCACUGCUGUUUCAAGUUUCCACACACUAUAUAAAAUUUCAGUUUUUGCGCAUGCGAUUAGGAAAAGGAGUUGUAUACAUGUAUUAGGGUUCAUGGUUUUUGAGUUGUAGCUCCUCCGAAAGGGUUUCGAAGUUAUCGAGCAAAAAAUGCCACCCCCCCACCCCUCCCCCCCCGGCGGGGCGGAUGGUGAAAACUUCUAUGAAACCAGUAGGAGUUGUAUACAUGUAAUUAGGGUUCAUGUUUUUUAAGUUAUAGCUCCUCCAAAGGGGUUUCGAAGUUAUCGACAAAAAAUGCCCCCCGAUGGAGAAAACUUAUAUGAAAAACCUUUGAUGUAUACUCUUUUCUAUUAGUACUGGAAGAAUAGUAAAUAACUUAGGUAUUUGUCGAUUUUUUUUCUAAAUUUGAAAUAAGGAGCUGCUAAUUUUUCUUGUGUUUAAUUUUAGUCAACUACCUCUGUGAACUUAAUUGGCCAAUUUUUCUUUGAACUUAAUUUUAGCCGAUUACUCCUAAACUUUUAUAAUUAGCCAAUUUUUUCCAGAACUUUAAUUUUAUAAUUGCAAAAGGUAAAUUUAUUUCUAAGUAAUGUGGAUAACAUAUUAUUUUUUCUUCUUUUUCUUUUCUGCUAGUUUACUCCGUAAACUUUUUGUUUGAAUUUUAAGGUUUAGGGUUUAGGGGGACUUAAAGCCCAAAGGAAAUUAACUAAUUAUAAAAGUUCAAGAGAUAAUAGGCUAAAAUUAAAAUUCAGGAAGAAAAUUGACCGAAUAUAAAAGUUUAGAGGGAUAAUUGGUUAAAAUUAAACUUCAAUGAGAAAAUUGACAGCUCCUUACAAAUUCAGAGAGAGAAAUCGGUCAAUACCACUAAAUAUAAUUAGCAAUUGCAUGAGGAGGAUCGCCUCUGCUCGGAAGCCCUGAGUAUUCUAAUGUAUAAGGUUUUUAACGAUAAUGUGUAUAUUUCAACUCUUGACAACACUAUUUCUCUCCUCCAAAACAUUAAUACUAAUUAAUUAAUUGAAGAUAAAGAUUAAUUAAGCUGCUAAUUUUGAGUACAACAUUUGAACCUUCGAUGGCUACCUAGAUUCUUUUAACUAGUGGACAACAGAGUGACAAUGGUUUGGCACCUUUUGUUAAUAUUAUUUAUUUUUUCAUUUCUUUAAUUGCAUGCGUUACUCACAUCUUUUAAUGUAUCAUAUACUUUAGCUUUUCUUAAUUUUAUUAUUAUUGGCUUCUAUAUACGUAUUAAUAAUUCAUUGUCCUCCGCAUUUACUUUUUAAAGGCUAUUGCCCACUAGUUACUUCAUAUUUUUUUGUUGAUAAUGUACGUCAGAUAUUAUCACUUAGUAUUACGGUCUAGUGAUAUUUCUUUUCACUUGUAAGUGAGAGGUUUUAGGUUCGAUUCUCGCCAACGACGAAUUUGAAUCACAUUAUUGCUAUCUCAUUGUGAGGCUAAGCUCACCCCAUCUCCCUCAAUGUAAAUAAUAUCGUUUGUUCAAAAAACAAAUGUACGUCAGAUAUUUGGUCUUGUACACUACAUUUUAAGCACACUAAACCAACAUUAAUUUUAAGAUUAGGAAGGUCUUUAGUACGAAUUGUAGUUUUUGUUUUGGCUUUUUAACCAAAAUGAUUUAUGAGAUUAGCGUAACUCUUCAUUUUGGUCUCUGAGAUUUGAAAUCGAUAAAAAUGGUCCGAUCCCUGAAUUUGUCUAUCAUCAAUCAUUUUGAUCAUAAAACAUCUUAAGCUAAAAAGCCUUUUUUUUUAUUUUUACACAGAGUACAAAUUGUAGUUUAAGAUUUGGAAAUCCCCACCACUAAGGGUCCACAAGACACAAGAUUCUUCCUUACUCUUAAAAUUAUAAAUAUAAAAACAUUUUCAGAUCUUUAAAAGAUUUAGAUUUUGGAGUUCUCAAGCUAGUCAUCAACAAAAGAGAACUAUAUAAAUAAAUAAGUAAAAAAUUAAGCAAAAACUAACUCAAAAAUCAAUAUGUUUUCUUGUUGGGGCCCAAGUUAGUGUACAGAUAAGAGACUUAGGUACAAGAUUUAUAUUAAUUUGGCCGGUCUCUCAUCGUUUAGUCGUCAAGGAGUCAUAUCUCUUCAAAACCCCAAAAUCUAUGAGGACGAAACCAGAUCAUAUCAAAUUUAAAGGAGAUUUGAUAGACGUUUUAUAGGUGGAUGAGACAUAAGAAGAAAGAUAUAUAUAUAUAUAUAUAUAUACCCUGAAAAAGUUGAUGCAUAUAUAUGCAUCUCCUGCAUGGUUGCAUGUCAUGUGCAAUGUUAUUAAAGAUAUAUAGUUAGGUGGGCACAAAGACGGAACUUGCUUCGUUGCUGAAUAAUUAGUAGGAAUUUCUGAUAAAUAACAUGUUGCUACUUAUGGUAUAUUUAAUAUUGCAUAAUUUAAAAAAAAAAAAAGUGAAUAUGUGUCAAACUGCUGAGCAGCCAACAUGACACAGUAGGAGUUCUUACUAAUUAUUCAGCAGCUAAGCAACGUUCUACAAAGACGACAUACGUGAUUAAGAUCAAAGUUUUGUUAUUGUAUGUAUUCAAGUUGCAAAUAUAUUUUGUUAUAUGAGAAAAUUUAUAAUUAAAAUUAAUACGUGAAUAAGCAUUACGCACUACUUCAACAGAAGACAAAUUUCUCGAGUUAUUGAUACCAAACUCGCACGAUUGAUUAUAACGCAUGCCUAUAAUUAGUAUAUUUAGUUGCAAUAUUCCCUUUUAUUAUCCAGCUUUCAAUGAAUUUGGGUUUAUUGAAUAAAAAUAAAUUUUGUCAACCAUUUAUGUUUUACAAAUUUCCCACAUUAUACCUCUACAAGCAUUGACUUUUAUAAAAUAUCCAAUAUAAAAUAGUACUUAACAAUUCUUUAAGAAACGAAAAACAAAAUCCUGUCAUGUUUUCUCUCCCACCACUCAAUCGAACUUUUCUUCUCUUCCUCCAGCAAAGAUUGUCAUCCCACAUACAGAGCAUAUUUAGCUUUUCGAAUAUGUCUUCGUUCAAGUUGUUCAGAAUUUAAGUUGAAUAAUUUCCAAAACCCCAGUGAGUCGCCACAAAAUACUGGAUCAUCACAUGUAUAAUAAUGUAAGAGGAGAGCCAUCAAAAGCCUCUCUCUUUUUUUAGCCUGGAAUAUUUGGAGAGUCAACUGCCAAAACCUAUAGCACAUCUUUCAAAUGCUUUUGGAACCCAAACGGUAUUUUUUCUAAAAGCGAUUUCAAUUAUUUUAAAAGCACUUCCAAACAAGCCCUAAAACUAUAAUUAUUGCAUAUUUUAUUUUAUCAAUAAUAAAUAUGUAACUACGUAUAGUUUUUUUUUUUUUGAACAAAUGAUAUUAUUUACACUAAGGAGAUGAGUUUUGUCUCACAAUGAGCUCGCAAUAAUGUGGUUCAAAUUCACCUUUAGCGAUAAUCGAACCUUAGACCUCUCACUUACAAGUGAAGAGGAAUACCACUAGACCGUAGUACUAAGUGGCGUAACUAUGUAUAGUUUGACUUGCCUUUUAAUCCAAAAUCAGGGAGGUUGCUUACCAUAAUAUAUAGUUAUUCUUUGUAUUAACUAUUUAAUUUUUUUUUUGUCUAUUAACUAUUUAAUUUCAAUUUGCCCUAAUUAUUAUUAGAAUCUCCCUCCAAAAACCAAACCACAUCUAUCUUUCCGAAAAAAAUUUCAGUGUGAUUGUCUCAUAUGGUAAAUCAUUUUAUUAAUAUUCUAAUACAUGAACCUAUAUUAAUGUUAUAGCAUGUUAGGUUAUACAUGAACCUAUAUUAAUACUAUACCAUGUUAAUCUAAUUACAAUAGGAAACAAAUCAUAUUUAGUAUUUACAACUAAAUACUAUAACUCAGGCCAGCAUACCAUAAGUUUAAUUGUGUUGUCUGUCUAUCCAUAUUAUAAUACGUGAAUUAAUAACGUACCAUGUACCAAUGUAACACUUGAAAAAAAGUUUAUCCAAUUCUUAUCCUAAAAGCUUUGUGACACCAUGUGAUGAAACGCUUGGAAUGCCCUACUACUUCCUAAAUUUCGGGUUUUCACACUUUCUGCCCUGCAUGGUGUGCCCAUUUGUCCUUAAAAUAUAUCCAAGAAGAUUCCCUUCCUAGCCAACUCAAGCAUCUUGAUACAAAAAUAUAUAACUCUAACCACCACCCUAGCAUAAGACACAAUUUCACACCAAAGAAAGAGAGAGACACGGAAAGAGAAAGAGUGGGGAGAGAUAGGAGAGAGAGAGAGAGAGAGAGAGAGAUGGGGGGAGAGUUCUGUGUAGCAAUGGGAAAUGGAGUUCUCACAAAGAUAAGUAAGUCAUGGAGCAAACUAGAGAAAGGCUUAAACGAUGGAGUUUCAAAGAGCAAAGUUGGCAAAUACUUUAAGUUAGAAGCAAGGAGGAGUUGCUUCACCAAGGAGCUACGUGCCGGCCUAGCCACGUUCCUCACCAUGGCCUACAUCAUCUCCGUCAACGCCACCAUUCUCGCCGACUCAGGCGGCACAUGCUCCAUCGCCGACUGCUCUGUCCCGGUGAACCAAACCGCCACCCCGGAUUGCAUGAUCUUCCCCAACGAAGGAUACCAAAACUGCCUUGCAAUGAUCAAGAGUGACCUCAUUGUUGGCACAAUUUUAUCAGCCAUGAUCGGGUCGAUUGCCAUGGGCGUUUUAGCCAAUCUACCCCUGGGGCUAGCUCCAGGGAUGGGACCAAACGCCUACUUGGCUUAUAAUUUGGUGGGUUUCCAUGGAAGUGGGAAACUGUCUUACCAAACUGCCCUAGCUGUGGUGCUACUUGAAGGGAUUGCUUUUCUUGCAACUGCUGCUUUUGGGCUUAGAGAAAAGCUGGCCAGGCUCAUCCCUCAUCCUGUUAGACUUGCUUGUGCAGCAGGGAUUGGGCUUUUUAUAGCUUUUGUGGGCCUUCAAGUCCACCAAGGUGUUGGCCUAGUGGGCCCAGACCCAUCCACAUUGGUUACAAUCACUGCUUGUGCUAACACAAACCCAGCAACUGGUGAGUGCCUUGGUGGGAAAAUGCACAGCCCAAAGUUCUGGCUGGGUGCAGCUGGGUUUAUAAUCACAUGUUAUGGCCUAAUGAAGGAGAUUAAAGGCAGCAUGAUAUACGGCAUCGUUUUUGUCACAUUCAUAUCAUGGUUUAGGGGCACAAGUGUGACAGUGUUUCCCAACACACAAAUUGGUGACACGGAUUUCAGUUAUUUCAAAAAAGUUGUUGACUUUCACAAGAUUCAGUCCACAGCUGGGGCUAUAAGCUUCACCAAUUUCAAUAGGUCUGAGGUUUGGGUGGCUCUAGCAACCUUGCUCUAUGUUGAUGUUCUUGCCACCACAGGCACAUUGUACACCAUGGCCGAAAUGGGUGGUUUCGUGAACGACGAAGGCGGGUUCGAAGGCGAGUACUCGGCGUACUUGGUUGAUGCGGGGUCAACAGUCGUGGGAGCUGCACUGGGGGUGACCCCUAUCGCGACAUACAUAGAAUCUUCAGCGGGUUUGAGAGAAGGCGGGCGGACGGGGUUGACUGCAAUAACCAUCGGUCUCUGUUUUUUUGUGUCGUUGUUUUUCGUUCCUCUUUUGUCUAGUGUGCCCCCGUGGGCUAUAGGGCCUUCACUUGUGAUGGUUGGGGUGAUGAUGAUGAAGGUUGUGAAGGACAUUGAUUGGGGGAAUAUGAAGGCGGCUGUGCCUGCUUUCAUGACCAUGAUUCUAAUGCCUCUCACUUAUUCCAUAGCAAAUGGGAUUAUUGGUGGCAUUGGGCUCUACAUUGCUCUUAAUCUGUAUGAUUAUUUGGUAAUCGUGAUUAAGUGGUUGAUUAAGAUGAAAAGAAUGGUGGGAAGAGAACAUAAUCAAGUGUCUGCAACAGCUCCUGUAGACUCAGCAAUUGAAAUUAUUUGAAGCCCUUUUUUGGUUAAAUUGUUGUUUUGGGGUGAUUAUCGGCGGACCCUUUUGUAAUAAGUAGCUUUUAUUUUUUUUAUUUUUUUCUCUUAUUUAUACCAGUGAUAUUGUGAAAGGGCAGACUCGAAUACAGGACUUCGGAUGCAUGAGCAAAUACUAACCUCUCAAUCAAUCAAUUUUUUAUAUUUUUAAUAUUUCAGGACCAACAUCCUUUUUGCUGUAAUUUAUGCAAUUUAUGAGACCAACAUCCUUUCUACCUACGACAAUUACACAUCAUGGACAAAGAUUAUGUUCCAGAAUUAAAAUAUUUUAACAGACAAAACCCAACACUCAGAAUCCCGGGCUUCUUGCUCCUGAUAGAACUAAAACUAGGUCAAACUUUGUUAGACUACAACCUAAUACGUGGUUCCUGCGUGCUGGUUUUGCAGCUCUACAGAAAGAGUAGAGCUAUUUCGACCAUCAGAACUGACCAUCUUGCGUAUUACUUCUCUAGUAGAGGUUAAACCCGCAUGUGUGGACCCCACCUCUAUUAGAGUUACGUAAGGUGGUUUGUUCAAGAUGAUAUAAAUAACAAUACUCCCACGGUACAUACAAAAAAUCACAAAAAGUGUUGUAUCAUCUUAGGUUCUAAUUAUAUGGACGCUGCAUAUGCGUUCAGACGCAUCUUCGAUCCCAAUAGCACACGUAUCUCCCGGUUGAAUGUUGUUUGCCUUGCUGAAAGCUUCCCAACCACUCGACAAAAUUUUGGAGAAACAAUUAUCAAUGUAGAGGACUGGCCACAAUCUCAUUGUUGUGUCUCGAAGGAAAAUUACCCUCCUAUCUGGUGUAUGCCUUCCCCUGAUGGUCAUGCGUAUUGGCAAGCGCACUGGCAGCUCCUGCACAAGAAUCGAAGGGAGGUAAGAUAAGUCAAGCAAAACCUAAAGAAUGCUCGGUAUCCAGUAAAAAAUGAUCACAAGCGCACUGGCAGCUCCUGCACAAGAAUCGAAGGGAGGUAAGAUAAGUCAAGCAAAACCUAAAGAAUGCUCGGUAUCCAGUAAAAAAUGAUCACAAACGCAAGGCGAAUGCAGGGCUAGGACCUCGAUCAAACAGGGCAUAUCCAUUAUAACAAUCAGCUUGCUGAUGAACAUCUCCAUAAUUAGAAGUGUAUAAUUAUCAGAUGCACCGUUCUGUGAAAAUGAAACACUAGUGUAUGUGUAAUACAUAAUGAUAAUUAAGCGUUCAAGUUUCCACAUUGAUUUCUCUAUUUUUGCCCCAAUGUCCAUAUAUUGAUCGAAAGUAAAACUACAACAAUCGAUUGAUUGACUCUACAAGAUUGUGUCAAACUAACAGAACUCUGAAUAGAUAAAUCAAUAUGUCAGCCUGUUCGGGCCACCAGAAAAACUUCCUAUAGAAGCGCAUGAUUAUCAGAUGCAUCCUUCUCAAAAAUGAAUUGAAAGCAUUUGGAAUGAGCUAACAAGGUUAACAAAAGAAAAGCAUGUGUUAACAUGAAGUAGAAGGAGGUAGCAGCACCAAGAAUCAGUCAGUCCAUAAAUUUAUCAUGUCGAAACAGAGUAAAAGUGAAUGCUAGGAAGGUGCAAAGAAAAGACAUAAAAUAUGUAAGGGAAUUAACUAACAUACUAGAAACGAUUGACUGCCUACUGCCACCAAACAGGAGAACGAUGAGCUUGGAAAGGUUUCAACUUGAUCGACAGGUUCAGAUUUUAUCACAGGCACAGGAAACGCAAUGUCCUUUUCUCUUUUAAUCAUAUUAGAAAUCUGACUACACACUGCGUCGACUGGCUCGAAUGAUUUCCCUGCAUUUAGAUGUACUGUAAUUAAUUUGGAGUGAGAUAUCCUACAGCAAUACACACUCAUGCAUUCUUCUGCACAAACACAAAUAGAGCUUCCCUUAAUUAAAUGAUUUUAUAAUAAUAUCAUACCAUCUAUUUCUGGUAUGAUUUUCUGAAAGCAUGGAUCUGAAAUCAAAUCUACAGACUCUUUUUUAACAGCCUUCGUCAUCAUAUCUGUUCACAUCAGAUAUUCUUUUGGUAUUAAUAAAUGACAUUUUUCCAGAAACGGAGAGGUUCUCUAACAAUUAUGCAGGGACACAUAGCAUUUGGAAGAAAGAUCAGUAGAAUGACAGAAAAAUUUUGGAAUCCAAAUGUAACAGGAAUACCAAAAGACUCUGGAGGAGUUCCAGUAAAGUUCUUUUUAGCUCUUUGAAAACUUUCAUCGAUCAAAUCAUGCUCCUUUUUGGAUGCUGCCACCUUAUUGCCUGCCAAUGAAAUUGAGAAUACAUAACAAACAAAAUUAAGAUAUUGAACACAAAGAAAACUGUGUAUACUACAGACAUUAUACACUCAGGAAACCGACAAUCCAACAGAUAGGAGCAAGGAAUUAACUGCGUCUUGCCUGAUCCGUCAGCAUUCAGCAAUUCUAUUAUAUUGUUUACAGUAUAAGAGACGCUACCUGUAUCAUUAGGAUUCACAGCAGCUGUUGGGAAGAGAUGAUGAGAGGUCUUGUUGGUGGUUCUUGAAUCAUCACCAGAAGGUGAUACCUUUUUCACUCUGGCUUCAGAAGAAUUAUUUUUCUCAGUCCCAUCAAACUUAUAUGCAUCCGAAGGAAUUGCUAUAGUCACUGCUUCUCUAGCCACUGGAGCUUUAUCAACUAAACUAGCCUCACCUCUCAAUCUUAGUGAUGAAUCAUCAUGACUUGAGCAUGUUUCAUCCAUCGGAAUUGCUGCAGUCACUGCCUCUUUAGCCACUGGACUUUUAUCAACUGAGCCAGCCUCGUUUCUCAAUCUUAGUGAUGAAUCAUCAUGAGGUGAGUAGGUUUCAUCCAUUGGAAAUGCUGCAGCCACUGCUUCUUUAGCCACAGGAUUUUUAUCAACCGAGCCAGCCUCGUUUCUCAAUCUUACAGAUGAAUCAUCAUGAUAUGAGCAUGUUCCAUCCCAAACAACUACUUCGUUGCUUCCACCAGUGCCAGACUUCAGUUCCAAUAGUUCAAAAUUCAGUGAAUCAUAUAUACAGCUUCUGUUGUCUUCUUGUUUGUCUCCCAGUUCUCUAUCGAUCAUACAGAUCAUAUCUUCAAUGUAUUCUUCUUUUGGCUUGAGCUUUGGCAUUUCAUUACUAUCAUCAUAGUUUGAAGCAUUUUCUGUUGCAAUUGUACAUUCCCCCUUGUCAUUCAUAUUAUACAGGUGUUGAUCUAUAACUCCAUCUGGUUCUUUCAGCUUAAGCUUUGACCUUUCAUGACUAUUAUCACAGUUUGAAGCAUUUUCGGUGACCACAGGUGCUUUCGUCUUGGCAUUCAUACCAUACAGAUCUUGACCUAUAUCUUCAUCUGGUUCUUUCAGCUUAAACUUUGACCUUUCAUGACUAUUAUCACAGUUUGAAGCAUUUCCGGUGACCACAGGUGCUUUCCUCUUGGCAUUCAUAACAUACAGGUGUUGAACUAUAUCUCCAUCUGGUUCUUUCAGCUUAAGCUUUGACCUUUCAUGACUAUUAUCACAGUUUGAAGCAUUUUCGGUGACCACAGGUGCUUUCGUCUUGGCAUUCAUACCAUACAGAUCUUGACCUAUAUCUCCAUCUGGUUCUUUCAGCUUAAACUUUGACCUUUCAUGACUAUUAUCACAGUUUGAAGCAUUUCCGGUGACCACAGGUGCUUUCCUCUUGGCAUUCAUAACAUACAGGUGUUGACCUAUAUCUCCAUCUGGUUCUUUCAGCUUAAGCUUUGACCUUUCAUGACUAUUAUCACAGUUUGAAGCAUUUCCGGUGACCACGGGUGCUUUCCUCGUGGCAUUCAUACCAUGCAGAUCUUGACCUAUAUCUCCAUCUGGUUUUUUCCGCUUAAGCUUUGACCUUUCACGACUAUUAUCACAGUUCGAAGCAUUUCCCAUGACCAUAGGUGCUUUCCUCUUGGAAUUCAUAUCAUGCAGGUGUUGACCUAUAUCUCUAUCUGGUUCUUUCAGCUUAAGCUUUGACCUUUCAUGACUAUUAUCACACUUUGAAGCAUUUCCCAUGACCAUAGGUGCUUUCCUCUUGGCAUUCAUCGGAUCCAGAUCUUGACCUAUAUCUUCAUCUGCAUCAGACGUAAGAGAGGUGCUUGAACCCUGUUUGUCCAUCAAACUGUUAUCAACUGUGUGGCAAGGACCAUCUUUGACAGAGGAAUUUUGGUUAUCCCACGUCCAGUUCUUCUGAUUCAUGGCCUCAGGAAACUUGAGUUUCUCACACCCUGAUUUGUCACAAAUCUUAACAUCAAAAUGUGAAUCCGUAACAUAAUUGAAGAAAAGAAGUUCUCCGACUUGUAGGUCAUUGUCUAAUGCAAAUGCAUUCCAUCCUUGUUGAAAAGCAAGGGAGCCAUCAACUCUGGAUAUCGUAACUUUCCACUGCCACCCUCGUGAAUCUUCAAGAACAGCUUUUUUAUUGACCAAUGCUGACACAGUAGGAGCAAACUUAGGAGGCAAGAACUGCAAUGAGAUGACAUGGUAAGCUUAGAAGGGACAAUCUCUACCAUCAUAGUGCAAAAAGGGAGUAGCGGAAAUUAUAUAUUACUAAGUAAUAUAUACUUAUCAAACUCACAAGAUAAUGAAAAAUUAGUUAAACCUUUUGCGUGAAUCUCUCUACAGUAUACAUCACAUUGUUUACAUAAUUCUAGAAAGAACGAUACAAAGUAAUUUUCGAUGUUUAAAAUAAGUACUUCCUACGGGAAUGUUAUCCCCAGAAAAGAAGAGAUACUGUUGAAUUUGUUUGUCAGUUUGAUGCACAUACUAAAAAAAGAGAGCUACAAUCUACAUAGAACAUGGGAAUAAAAAUUAAAUAGAUUACAAUUUAGUAGGGCGGGGGGAAGAUGGAAAAUUUAUCGUACCAAAACUUUAGAAAGCUGAUCUCCGAUCAUGAUUUUGAAAAAAGAGGCGACAACAGGUGAAGCUUUUUUCUUGUUCCCAUGAUCCUGCAAACACUUCAGAGUACAUUCUGCACAAGCUUCGAGCUUACUACCCAUCACUUCUUUCGCUCUGUUGAAUACUUUACCACUACAACAAGGAAAAAAGAUAAAUGAAUACGGUAUUCUAAUGAGAUAGUAAUGUCAUAUAAAAUCAGCUUUGCAGAAACAUCAUAAACUUCAAAGUGAUGUCAGCAGUUCUUCUGAGAGACCACGCUAAUAUGAUUCAGAGCAGGAACUUGAAAUUCCUGGCUCUGUUGAUCGUUUCCGCUAAGUUUCUUUUACUCUAAGCCAAGAUGGCUGGAGAACAUUAUGAAGCUGAGUGCUCGAUGGAUGCUCUGUUGAUCGUUUCUGCUAAGUUUCUUUUACUCUAAGCCAAGAUGGCUGGAGAACAUUUACUCUAAGCCAAGAUGGUUGGAGAACUUUUACUCUAAGCCAAGAUGGCUGGAGAACUUUUACUCUAAGCCAAGAUGGCUGGAGAACAUUUACUCUAAGCCAAGAUGGCUGGAGAACAUUAUGAAGCUGAGAGCUCGAUGGAUGCUUUAGCUCUACCUAACGUUGUUCAAGUUUGCGGCACGAAGCCAUUUCAAGUUUGUUUGUUUGCGGCACGAAGCCAUUACUGUUUGUUUGCGGCACGAAGCCAUUUCAAGUGGGAAUUUGGUAACAUGGUGCAGCAAGAAGCAAAGCGUUAUUUUUACUAAACCUCUUCCUACGGUUCAGUUCAUGCGCAUUAUGUCCAAGCUUGGCUCAAGGAAUCCCCUCGAUCCAGCUUGAGGGGGAGUGUUGGAAUGCAUGCAAGUCAUAUCUUUUGUUAAAAUGCAUGCAUGAAAUAAACAUGUUGGAUGACUAGUGAAGUUAGGCUAGUCAACCUUCUUUGUGUAAAUUAGACAAGUUAGGCAAGUUAGGAAAUUAGGCAAGUUAGGCAAGUUAGACUUAUGUUCUCUUUCUUUUCCUAUAUAAUGUUUCAUCUUGUAAUUGUUUUGAUAUGAAAUACACAUCAAAAAUUCAACAU
Molecule: long non-coding RNA, 129033 nt
Filed under: Malus domestica (apple)
Lineage: Eukaryota; Viridiplantae; Streptophyta; Magnoliopsida; Rosales; Rosaceae
Description: long non-coding RNA (MDOM_LNC006270)
Source: RNAcentral